UUGGCAGCAACUUUGCUUGUCUUAGCACUUUCUCUUGGUUUUGUAUCUGAAACCACCGCAAAUUACUACUACUCUUCUCCUCCUCCACCGGUCAAACACUACACUCCUCCGGUGUACAAGUCUCCUCCACCACCGGUAAAGCACUACUCUCCUCCGGUUUACAAAUCCCCACCUCCACCAAAGAAGGACUACGAGUACAAAUCACCUCCACCACCGGUUAAGCAUUACUCUCCUCCUCCAGUUUACAAGUCUCCACCUCCUCCCAAGAAACAUUACGAGUACAAAUCACCUCCUCCACCGGUUUACAAAUCUCCUCCUCCUCCGGUUUACCACUCACCUCCACCACCUAAAAAACACUACGAGUACAAAUCACCUCCUCCACCGGUUUACAAGUCUCCUCCCCCUCCGGUCUACCACUCUCCUCCACCACCUAAGAAACACUACGAGUACAAAUCUCCUCCUCCACCGGUUUACAAGUCUCCUCCUCCUCCGGUCUACCACUCUCCUCCACCACCUAAGAAACACUACGAGUACAAAUCUCCUCCUCCACCGGUUUACAAGUCUCCUCCUCCUCCAGUCUACCACUCUCCUCCACCACCUAAGAAACACUACGAGUACAAAUCACCUCCUCCACCGGUUUACAAGUCUCCUCCUCCUCCAGUCUACCACUCUCCCCCACCACCUAAGAAACACUACGAGUACAAAUCUCCUCCUCCACCGGUUUACAAGUCUCCUCCUCCUCCGGUCUACCACUCUCCUCCACCACCUAAGAAACACUACGAGUACAAAUCUCCUCCUCCACCGGUUUACAAGUCUCCUCCUCCUCCGGUUUACCACUCUCCUCCACCACCUAAGAAGCAUUACGAGUACAAAUCUCCUCCUCCUCCGGUUUACCAGUCUCCUCCCCCUCCGGUUUACCACUCUCCCCCACCACCAAAGAAACACUACGAAUACAAAUCGCCGCCACCUCCCGUCUAUUCUCCUCCUCCACCGGUUCACUACUCACCUCCUCACCACCCCUACCUUUACAAAUCUCCACCUCCUCCAUACCACUACUAGAUAAACUGAUCGUCAGACUCAUGGUAAUUAUCACUUCUCGUACUUACCAACAGCAUGGUGCACCUCAAUUAUAGUUUCUUAUUUCAUAGGUUUACAUUUAUUCUUGCAGGAGUUGACGACACUACACAAGAAAACAAAUAAUCUUUUGGUGAUAUAAUAAAAGAUACAAGAUCAUUAAGAGAUAAUAUCGAAACGGAUAUAUUUUCUAAGAGAAGUUUCCCAUUUAAUGUGUUUUUUUCUCCCAUAAAAUAAGUUGUUGGAAUAAACUUCAAACAUGUUUGAUGAGUUGUCCCUUCAUGCAUGCAAAUUGGUCAUAUGUUUGUAAGUUCAAGUCGUGUUUUCUAAAUUACAGUUUCAAAGUUUGAUUGUUUACUUAAAUAAAAGUAUAAGUUCAUUUUCGUUUCCCUUGCUCCACUAAGUAUUAUUCCUAGUUUUAGUUGGCUGCUAUAACUUCUCAAAUAAACCAUUAUACAAAGAACAAAACUUUUAAAUAUAACUAAAAAAAGAAUAAUGCUAAUUUUAAUAACGCAGACACCGCCGGCUAAACUGUAAACCCGAAAUCUUAAAUUCUCAAUCGUAAACCGUAAAUCUUAAACCCAAACCUUAUACCCUAAACCCAAAUCCUAGACCCAAACCGUAUACUCUAAACCAAAAUCCUAGACCAUAAACCCAAACCGUAAACCUUAAAUCCAAACCCUAUACCAUAAACUAAAUCCUAGACCCUAAACCCAAACCGUAUACCCUAAACCUAAACGCUAUAAAGUUUGGGUUUAGGGUUUAGGAUUUAGGUUUAGGGUAUAUGGUUUGGGUUUAAGGUAUACAGUUUUGGUUUAUGGUAUACAAUUUGAGUUUAGGGUUUAGGAUUUGGUUUAGGGUAUAGGGUAUAGGGUUUAGGUUUAAGAUUUAAGGUUUAGGGUUUAGAAUUUAAGAUUUAGGGUUUAGCGGCAUCAUCGUCAUUAAAAUUGAAGUUAUUUUUUUUAGUGAUUUUUAAAUAAAUUUAAUAUUUUUUAAUUAAUUAUCUACGUGACAUAUUGAUUAGUCAUGGAAAGAGAUAUGAAUUUAAAAGUUUUUCCUAGAGGUUUAUGGGGUGAAGCUAAGUUUGUUCUCGUACAAAAACCCUUCCCCAUGCAAAACCCUUCCCCCCACCCCGAAAAAAAUAAUUAAUAUACUAAAAGUUUCCUGAUAUACAUGAAAUGGCAUAUAUGUAUCAGACUAUCUAGCGGAACUGGUCAACAACACCUAACAGUCGUCUUAUUUCUAAGCAAUAAGCUCAAAUGCAGCAUUAACCGCCGGUAAACAAAUAUUACAGGAUUGCCGUUAGCUUAUACACGUCACAUGCCUUUCUAUUGCUUCUGAGAACUAAGGAAAUGUCAUUUUUGUUUGGUUCCACCAACCCUUCAGUCUUCAGAUUAACCAACACCAAAUACAUUAAUUAUGAAAUUACGCAAGUAAAUGGAUGCAGUGAUUAAGUAUACAUUUUUCUUUUAAAAUGUUUAUUUUCUGUAAUUUGGUAUAUGGAUUCAACAUGUUUUUGCAUUUAGAUCCUUGUGUGCUUGGAAGAUUUUUAUAUCAAUUGCCAUUUAACUCAUAGAAAUGCAUAAACAGAGCCGGCCCAUGGUAUAAGGCUACAAGUAGGAUAAGCGGUCGCUUUGAGCCCAACAUUUUAUGGGUCUUCGUUAACUAUCAAAAAGAUCUGAUUUAUUCUUUUCGUUUUAAGUUCAAACUAGCUUUUGAUCCGCGCGGACGGAUGCAUGUCCGAUGUAAUCAAAUGUUUUUUGUAGUUUUAAAAUCAUUCAUGUUAGUGUUUCAUAUGUUAUUGAGUUUUGACAUUAGUGUAUCUUGUUUAUUUUGUUUAGUGUACAUUUAUAAAGUAUGAGGUUUUAUUCUUCUUAUUUUGUAAUAAUUUUGUUUUGCUUGGUAAACUAAACAUAAAGUGUAUAAUAUUAGAGGAUUUAGUUGAGGUUUAAUAGUUUUAUUAAAGAAGAAAAAUUAAAUUUUGUGAUUUAUAUCAUAUUUUUAAGUUUUGUUUAUGUAGGUUUUAGUAAAAAUAAAUAUGAUAGCAACUAUAAACCAAUUGGAAAAGUAACCACAAAAAUAUAUAUAUAUCUCUCGUAAUUAUAUUAACAAAGCAUAAUUAGAUGAAUUGAUUUGAGCCAUUUGGUUGUGAUAUUUAAAUUAGUAUCAUUUGUAACCCAAACAAUAGUGGACCUAAAAAACAAAUGAAAGCCCAUUGAAUAUUUUUUCCGGGAAGAAAACAGAAACCAUCUGCCUUCUAUGUGUUUUUUUUUUCCGUAGAAACUUUGGGAACUCCUACCGAUCUCUUCGUCGGUGCUAUCUGUUGUUCAAGCGAGAUCUACAGACACGCCUAUGAUUGUUUCACAAAAAGGAUUUCUGAAGAUAGAUCUACUCAUUACUACGGCAGAUCAUGGCAUACAUGUUUAAUCGUGUUCCUAUUCCUCGAACUUUGUUUGUUUCGAUUAUUUGUCCUAAUUUCUAUUAUGUGUAAUGAUUUUGUAAACACGAUCUAAGGUUUGGAAGACGAAGACCCUUCUCUCUGAUAGAUAGAGGCCGUAGCGUGUAUAAUCAAGUCUUCAAACCUCGUCGAAGUAAACGAUGAGUAAUUACUAACAGAAGGUCGUCUUUGUUCGUGUUUAUUCAAAGGUAAUUCUAAUCUAUAAUUUUAAGUUUAACAACAGAUGUCCGCUUCUGUUGACUGUCUCAGUUCUGAUAAAUUGGCUAAUUUUGAGAGUUUUAAUUCAUGAUCUCGCACUUUAGAUUACUAAUUUAGACCAACUACUGUUUAUGGAUAGAAACAGAAGGACAUGGGAGAUAAGGAUUUAUAGAAAAGCCCAGGGAGAGUGAUGGUGUCGGAUAGAGAUGAUCAUCAAUUGUAAAAUGACAUAGCAAAGGGAAGGCACAAUGAUCAUUUAGUGGAAAGUAUCAAGUACCAGUAGUGAAGAUGAAAAAGAAGACAACAACCAAGACAUGACAACAGACUUACUACACGGUUAGUAAUCACUUCUCUAUUGUAACUAAUUACUAAUGUGAAAGAAAAGUAGGACUGUCUAGAAAACAUGUUUAGAUUAGAGAACCCCGGAAUGUCUUGGUUGUUAUUAUGCAGGAUAUAGUACUUGAUAAAUAUUAAAGGGAUCAUGCUUACGGUUAGAAAGGGCAGAAUAAUAGUUUCAGCCCUUUAAUAUAAGGGCUAGGAAUUUAUUUACCCAUUGGUCUGCUAAAACCAUCUCAAAGGUAUCUCUAAAAGGGGUAUUCUGCCUCCACGAAUGUAAGCACUUAACUUGACCUCGCCAGUUAUUCUUGAAAGGCCUGAGUUUUGUGAGAUGAUGGAAAGUUGUAAUUGCAGACAUUUUUGGAGGAUUUGCUUUGAAUGAUACGAUGUUGAAGCUAUAGAGGAAGAGGUAUAUAUACGUAGUUAGUAAAGGGCUGAAACUCACGCAUAGUAAGAAAUACCUAAGAUUUUGUUAGUUUUGAUUUUUUUUUGUAUUAAAUAGCGGAUCAAAGUCUAUAUGAUUUUAUUCCAAGAUUGAUCCGUUUGUUAGUUGCUUAUAUAAUAUAGGUUUUGAGAUAUUAGAUUGUUUACGGCAAGAUUUGUUACAAAAAUUGAUAUCGAAUUUUAUGAUAGUUGCUUAAAUAUAGGAAUAUAUUAUGGAAACAAAUUAUUUAUAGGUUAAUAAUAAAUGUUUGACGUGAUUUGGACGAUUAGAAACUUAAAAAAGUAUUUUCUGGUAGUUUAUUGAUAUCGAAUUUGCUUAAAUAUAUGGAUAUAUUUUGUAAGGUAAGUUGUUUUGGCAAAUAAUAAAUGAUUAGUUUUGAUUUUCACUUUUCACAUAUAUUGAAAAAAUCGUAUUCUAUUCUGUAAGUUAAUAUUGAACCGGAAUUACAUGAUUUAUACGGGUUUAUUGAUAUAAACUAUGAUCGUUUGGUAUGACAUAUAUUUGUAUCUGUCUAAUAAACUGGUUUUGAUUCUGCAGACCAAAACUACUAAUCUGAUGCACUGAAGUAAGGGAGUAUGACAAUGAUAUACAACGGUAUGAAAUAGGUAAACAGCAAUUGUAUUUUUAUUGUUUUGUGAUGUAGAUGUUUAGUAAUGGUUUGUAAUAGAUGAUUUAGUAGUAAGAUAAAACGUCUGUGUUUAAUGUAAUGCAUAGAACGAUAUGUUAGGAAGUGGUAGGAUGUGGUUUAAUUUAAUGGUACGAUAAGUAAGGAAACAUGUUUCUCGGUUUAAUAAUAAACGUAUUUCUUGGUUUAGUAGAGGAUGAAACUCUAAGUUUAAUGUCAGUGGCAUUCUGUGGUAAUAUUUGAAAAAAACUAAGGGGUAAGUACAAAAUGUACUUCUGUUUUAAUAGUUUAGAUACUGAAACGGUUCCUUGGUUUGUAUUUGUACCGUUAAGGGUUUUCACAAUUUGCUAAAUCAAUGUCGUCAGUGAAGAUAUCUGGAUUUAUUCCGUGAUUAAGGUCUCGUCGUAUAUAUUAAUCGAUCAGGUCAACUAUUUGUUCUUUGUUUUCUUUGUCGUUGUUCUUGAUAGGUAAAUCCAUCAGGUUUCACAUCUGCUCCUCUAUAUUCCUUUCUACCGUGCACGUUAACGUUACAUACAGACAUAAAGAACUUUAUGUAGAUAUAAAAAAAAUAUGUAGAAAAUACAUAUGACUAGAUUAAAAUCUGCGACUUGCGCGAGAUAAACAUUAUAUAUAUAAAUUAUUUUAUGUAUUAUAUGUUCUUACAUAUUAUGAAAUAAUAAAUAUAUAUUGAAUAAUUAAAAAUCAGUAACUAUUACGUAUAUAAUUAAAUUGGUGCGAACGUAUAAAUCAAUUUUUUAAAAAUUUGAUAGGAUAUGUAAUUAAAUUUAAAUGAUAUUAACAUACAUAGUAUAUUUUUAAUAUUAAUGUCUAUUAAAUGAUGCUUUCUACUCAUAUGUUUUUUUGAUCAUGUGCAUCUUUAAGAGCAAAAACUUUAAAUUAGUGAUAACAAAAUUUUCAUUGUGGGAUUAAUAAUUUUAGUAAUUUAUAAUUUUAAAAAAAUUAUCAAUGGAAGUUCAAAACUUUUAUCAAAAAAAAUUAUUCAAAGUAAAUUUUGAAAUUAAAAUAUUUAUUUAUUCAAUAUGGUUUAUAGUUUAAUUUAGAAUGAUAUAUAUACAUAUGUAUUUUAAAUCUUAAUGAUUAAUUAAAUUAUAAUUUUAUUUAUAUGAUUUUGUAAUCAUUUGUAUUUUGUCAUAACAAAAAUUUUAAACAAUGGAUCGCAAAAUUUGAAUGUGAGACUUUUAACAGUUUUAGUAAUUUAUAGUUUUUUUUUUAAAUUCAAAAUAUAACAUAUACAAAAAAAUCUAAAUUUUUAUAAUAUGGUUAUUGUGAUUUUUUUAAAUUAUUUUAAUAGUUUAAAAUUAAACAAAUUUGAUAGAAGAUACAUUAUUUUUUUAUCAGAUCUUUAUUAUUCAAAAUCAUUAAUUGUCAUAUAUACUUUAGCCACAUUAAGCAAUUCCGUAAUUUUUAUUUAAGGAAAUAAUAAAUGACAUUAAUAAUGAAUUUAUGGUUAGUUUAAUAAAAAGCUUAUUAUAUAUUUAGAUGGACCAACAUAUUUCUCUAAUUAUUCUAAGAAUCAUUCUAGUGAUGACAAAUGACUACAAAAAGAAGUUGUAAUGUUUCACAAAUAAUAUAUAGGGGAUUGGCUUGAUCACUACGAGAAAGUUCUUUAACCUUGAUAGAUUAUAAUCUCUGAAGGCAAAAUUUAAGAAGAGUUCAUUUGAAGAUUUAGGUUAUAUUUGUAUUCUUUUCUAGUUAUGUCCUAUAUAUGUUGGAAUUAUUAAUUUAUAAUCGAUCAUAGUUGCUAACUCAGUAGAAAAUAAAUCUUUUCAUCAACUUUAUCGACGUAUAGGUGAUGAUUGUGUUCGAUCUGUCUAACAUUUUCAAUUUUUUCUUGACACUCUAAACUCAAUUAAAACUUUAUGCCUUUGUUAUUCAUGUAAAAAAAUUUAUGCCCUAUAUACAACUAAUUUUUUUGCUUAAAAUAUGACGCCUUCCCUCGCCUAUGCUCGAGACCGGCCCUAUCGAUCAUCUAGCAAACGAACAUAAUGGUUCAUGACAUAUGCCCCCAUACUGAACCUUGCGGGGCAAUAUUUUAUGAUCAUCGUAAUGGUUAAUUUUAAUUAUUAAUAUUUAAUGUUUGGUUAUUUUAUAAAAUUAUAGAUAAAAAUAAUGGUUUUUGACUAAAUUUUGAUGGAGUGUGUAUUUCAGAUCUCUUCGGACCUUAAAUAUUCGAACCGACCCAGAUCUGAUACGUACUCAAAAACUACAUGUAUUUUAAUUAUAUACCCGAAACAAACGACCUGGAUCUAAAAAAAAUCUGAAUUGAAACUGGAAAAUUUUUAUUACCUAAUUAGGUGUAAAUGUAUAAGGCGCCAGAGAUCCGGGACCUGAAAAUGUGUCUAACUCAUUACAUGACGCAGAUAAAUCGAUAGUCUACUUUUAACAAAAGGGAGCAUAUAGAAUCAAACUUUUAGGAGAGCAACUUGCACUUUGUAUGUGCGGCAUUCAAUUAAUUGUUAUUUACAGACAGAGAGCAUAUAGGUACAGAACUUGAUCCCUUUUUUCUUGCAUCGUACAGGACUUGACUUGUAGUCAGAUUUAGUUUUCUCUUGAGACUGGCAUGUUAUAUCAUAGCUAUCACGCAACAACAUAUUCUUUUUUACCCUCACCUCUAUAUAUGCUUGAUUGGAAACUUUCGAAGACUAUGAUGCAUGCUCUCUUCAAAGUAGCGUUAUAUUUAACUAUUUAGGUAUGUGGUUAAAGCAUAUCUCGAAUCUAAAUGGAUACGCUGAGCACAUGUUGGUGACUAAUGCAACUGAUAUAGCUGCCACAUCUGGAACGGCCUUUGGUGAGCUUAAUGAUCUCUUGUGUAGAUUCACCAUGUACACAGAUAGAUAAAAUUAAGUCAUACUUGCAAAUAUGCAAUUAAUCAACAAACUUGCGCUUUAAAUAAUAUAUAACCAACAAAAACUUAGGAUUUUAAUAGGGUUGAACCGGAUCAAUUUUCUUUUAAGUAGGAUGCAACCAAAGUUUAAGAAGAAAACAUAUUUCGUCGGUUAAAUAUGCCUAAAACUUACUGAAGUAUCCAUUAUGUUUUGUAUCUUAGUUUAUGCACCCGAGUGACGCCAACGGUUCAACACUCGUGGAUUAGUACAUUCAACCAAUCUAAUUAGAUAUAUUUAAGCAUUAAGGUUGUUGUAUUAAUAAUCCAAUGAUACGAGUGAUAAGAACGGCAGUGCUUGCUCACAUCUAUAUUACUUUACAUGUAAUAGUCAAGGAAAGAAAAUAAGACUUACACGUAUUGUACUGUGUGAUGCGACAUUUGAUGUCAUUCGAAAUGAAUACAUAUAAAUUAUAUAGUAACCUACAACACAUAAUUUUCAUUCGCUGUAUUUUCAGUGGACCAUAUCCCAAUACUUUACUUCGAGAAAAGAGGGCAUAUAAAAUGACCUCAUAUACUUCUACUAAUAGUGGGGGAGGGGGGACAUUUUUACAGAGAAAAUUAUGGGAAAAUAGAUAUUUUAAAGGGAAUAUAGAUAUUUUUUAAAAAGGGAAAAUAUAUAUAUUUUUAAGGGAUAAUUUGAAAAAUACCUCAUUUGUGAUUUGAAAUUUGACAAAUACACUUUGUUUUAUAUUUUAUGAAAACUACACUUUCUUAUAUGUAAAAAGACAUUUUACCCUCAUUUUGAUUUAAAUUAAAAAACCUAAAUUGAAAUCAAAAUUAUUUAUGUAUUUUUUGGGUUCACGGGUAUUUUUGUUGUUCGUGUUUAAAAGUACAAUAAAAUCUAAAUACAACUUAGUGAAUUCAUAAACUUAAAUCAUAUAAGUCAUAAACCAGAAUAUGCAUGCGUCCUUAUUAAGUGAAUUAAGUAGAUCAGGUGCGUCAUAUAUAUUUUUCAGUAAUGUUCCCUUAUACAUAUGAUGGUACAUGAAAGAAGAACUUCAUGUUGCGUCAUAUACACGGUACUUGGAUAGUUGUAUGUUUGAUUAGUUCAAAUUUUGUAUUCUUGGUUUUUGCAACUUAAUAUUUGGAUCUUAUGUUGCAAGGAGAAGGUAAUAUCUAAAUAAUGGAGUUUCAUAGAAUGCCUCCUUGCUUUCAUUCCUUGAUCAUUUAUCACCUCUAUUUUUCUCGUCUUCUUAGUCGUAUUUUAUUAAAUAUAAAAACGAGAUGGAAUGUAGCUUGAUUUUUUAUUAGUCCGUGUAUAGUUCAAUGCAGUCCUGGCUCAAUAGAUGUUUUGUUACAAGUUUCGACCUGAAACUUUCUUAGUCCUUUUUUUUACCCCUAGGCAUCAUCACAUCAAUGGACAGGGCUCCCCUGUUUUUCGUGAGUAAAACAGAGCUCAUUCUUGUUCUAUAAACUGAGCAGUUUAGGCAAUAUUCUUUGCCCUAGUGUUGAACUGCACGUUGAAUAAGAUGUUUAAAUGUAGAUGGAAUAGCUGAACAAUUAGUUUUAGUGGCAGCCAAUGUCAAAGUGGAUUUUAACGAAAGCUGCCUCAUGUGACACAAAGUUCAGAGACUCUACAUAACUACUACGUUGGUGAUAUACACAGACUUUAUGUUGUUAACAAACCAAAAGCUGAUCGAUGGUAUAUCUUUGCUAAUUUUUCUGGACGGGAUAAUCAUCUUGUACAUGACACGAUUUAAAAAUAUAUUACAAUAGCUUUCAAUUAUUUGAUUGGAUAAUUUAGUCAUUUUAUAUAUACAAAAGGGUAGUUUUCAAAAAAAUUAAAUAGUAGUGUAGUUUUCAAAUUUGAAUCUCAUAUAAAUGUAUUUUCCCAAAUUUUCCCUAUUUUUAAAGGGAAAAUAGAUAUUUUUCAAAGGGAAAAUAGAUAGUUUUUAAAAGGGAAAAUAUAUUAGUAUAUCCAAGCUAUGCAUAUUGCAUAAAAGACAUAACAUUUUACAGAGAAAAUGAUGGGAAAAUAGAUAUUUUAAAGGGAAAAUAGAUUAGUAUAUCCAAGAUAUGGACAUUGCAUUUUUUUUUGUCAUCAGCAUAAACAGACUCAUACAGACUCACAUAGACUCUGUGAACCAAACUGGGAGAUGUUGAUCCAUGUGAACGACGAAAGACGGCUGCUUCCUGGCACUACGUGCUAGGCUAUCCGCCUUUGUAUUUUGCGUUCUUGGCACAUGGACAAUCUCUGAUCGGGAAAAAAUUUCUUUCAGGGCUUUAACAUCGUCUAAAUAACUUGGAAAAACUGGCAAUUCUUCUGGUUCCGAAACCAUCUUCACCAAUUGAGAACAAUCCGUUGCAAACGUAACCUGAAAUUGACGUAAGUUCCUCGUGCAUUCCAUUGCCCAAAGUAAUGCUUCCAUCUCCGCAUGUAGAGGAGAUAGACUAGCCCGAACAUUCCUUGCCCCCAUCAGCCCCUUAAAACCUUCUAAAGUACUAAACCACCCCUGUCCGGAGAAACCACUAUCCUCUUUCCAGGAACCAUCUGUGAAACACCAUCUUCCUUGGAUUAAUGGUAAUGCCGGAACCUCUGCAUGUGGCUCUGCCCUCUGUUUCUUCGCUAUCUGCGCUUCAGCCCAUAGUGUGGACUAGGCAUGGGCGUUCGGGUACCCAUUGGCAUUCGGAUCAGGUUUUUCGAGUUUUCGGGUUUACGCUCCUAGGUCCCAUACUAAAAUUUUAUUAGUACGGGCCGGGUUCGGAUAAUAACACUUCAGAUUCGGUUCAAAAUUGUAUUGCGUCCUAAAACCCAUAAAAUAAUCAUAUAUCGUACGGAUUCGGGUUAUAUCGGUUCGGUUCGGAUAUAACCGAAGUAAAAAUCAAAAAUUUUGAACCAAAACAUAAAAAAAAGCAUCUAAAUUAAAUAAAAAUUAAUCUAUCACACAUAAAAUUGAUAAAAUAACAAUAAAAUGUUAAAUCAAGCAUGAAAACAAUCAUCAUUUGUAAACGAUAUGUAUUGCCUUAUAGAGAGUAGACUUUUUAUUUCAAUGAGCAAAUUAUAAAAUACUUAUUUAUUACUAAUUGGUACUUAAACCAUUUAUUAAAAUUUUAAUAUUUAUUAUUAUAUAUCAUAUUACCACAAAUAUUGAAUUUAAUAAUUGAAAUACUUAUAUAUAUAUUUCAAAAUAUUUAUAUUGACUAUUAAUUUCGGAUUUUUCGGGUUACUCGUUCGGGUUCGGUUAAUAACACUUCGGGUUCGAAUAUUUUUUGUACCACCCUACAAGACCCGUUCGGGUUUUUUUACAUUUCGGGUCGGAUAACGGGUCGGGUUUUUCGGUUUGGGUUCGGUUCGGAUUUCGGAUUCCAGAUUUUAUGCCCAUGCAUAGUGUGGACUCUGUUUUUGCCUGUUUGAGCGUAUCCCUAGGAUCCAUAUCAAGAUUACUAAAAACUUUAUUAUUCCUUCCUUUCCAGUACCAUAGAAUCCAUGCAAACUGAUGAUCAUCUAGUUGCGGAGAAACCCGCCAGAAAAGAUGAUCCAUAUUUGUAAAAAAAGACCUUGUUGGAAAGAUAGCGGGAUUUGAUAGUAUCUUCGAUAGUGCCCAAACCUGUAGUGCUGGAGGACAUUCAAAAAACACAUGAUUAAUUGAUUCCUCAUCAGCUCCGCAUCGUGCACAACAUAUAUCACCAGUUAUCCCUCGCGCUUGCAGAUUCUUCUUGACUGCUACACAUUCUGUCACCAGUUGCCAUAAAAAAUGUUUCAUCUUUGGUGGACAUCGAAUUUUCCAGCAAAACAACUUUAAAGCAUCAACUGUAGGUCCAAGCAUCACUGGUGGUCGUUCUCUAUCUGGAUAAAUCCGUUCUACCUGAUAUCCUGAGUUGACCGAAUAUUUUCCAUUGUUUGUGAAAUGCCAACCAUCUCUACCCUCUGAAUGCACAUUGCAUAAAAAGACAUAAAGCCACUUCUUUAACCAACAUAAUUACUAGUUUUUCCAUGAGCUAAUGACAUUAACAAACUAUGAAUAUUUUCUUGAGUUGAAAUUUGAUAGAGACACACCAUAGAUUUUCAAAGCAGGUUUGUUUACUUGCAAAUGUCGAAACAAUCUUAGCAUUGUUUUUAUAUAUGUCAAAGUUUCAAGGGAAAAAAUCUAUAUAUUUUGGUUUACAUAAUCAAAUCAAGUAAGAGCUUCGUACAUCCCAAUAUAUUUUCUAAAAAAAAUAUCUUGUUAUGUAAAGAACGGCUUACGGCAUCAAGUGAUUUCAAAUAAAAUUUAGAGGCAUGUUUACAUAUACAUUUUUCAUAUGGUGUACGUAAAACAAUGUUUCUUCUUACAAAAUAAAUCUUUCUUUCUCAAUAUUUAUUCAGACACUUGUUUAUAUAUAACUUCCACUAUAUGUUUUAAUUAAAUUUCUAUUUGAUAGUUAAUUUUUAUUCCAUCUGUUACUUUCUUAUAAUUUUAUACUACAUAAAAUUUUAUAUAAAUUACCACAUUUGUAUCAUAAGUUUUGUAUUUUUUUUGUUUUGCUGUAUAUUUCUAAACAGUUUAUUUUUACUCCAACAAACUGUUUAUUAAUUUUCUUUCAAUUUUGUAGUUUCUUUAUUAUAAAUAUUUAAGAACUUGGCUAAUUUUUUUUAUUUUGCUUAGGGCAGCAAACACCCUUCGCACAUGUCACUUAGAGCAUCUUCAACAAGCACCUUCAUUUUUAAUGGUGUCCAUCCUUAAAAUAAGGGGAUGAGAAGGUGGUUCUCCAACGGUCACCUUCAAAUUUAUUAUUAGAAAUUUACAUUUUAGUCCUUAAAAUUAUUAUAAUUAACUAUAAUCACUAAACUUUCAAAAACCAAUAAAAUAUACUAUUUGAAACAUAUUAAAAUAAAAUAUUUUUGAAAAAUAUAAUAAUAUGUAAUCAAAGGUAACUAUAAAUAGUAAAAAAAUGUUAAUAAAAUAAUUUAAAUCAAAAUAAUUUAAAAAAUAUAUAAUGAUAAGUACUAACAUAUGAUAUGUAAAAGUUAUUCAUACUAUUGUCAAAGAUAUAUAAUUGUAAAGAUUAAAGUAAAAAGUAAAUAGUGUUUUAAGGGGGUGAAUAGUGCAUCCUCAAAUUUGAGGGUGUACUAUUCACCCCCUUAAAAUUUGAAAAGAUAACUGACUGGUGGAAUGCAAAACCAAAAAAUGAAGAGAUAAGGGGUUGUUGGAGAUGCUUUUACACUCAAAACAAAUAAAAUGAAUUGACAAGCACCAAUAAAAAAAUCAAAUGAAAAAAUUCAGUAAACAGGAAAAAUGUAAUUAAAUGUUGUAGGUAAAAAUCAAAUAAGUUUUGCAUUUUUAUUCUAGUUCCUAAAAGAAUUUCUUAGCUUUAAUAUGAUAUGAACAAACUAAUCAACCAAACUGAAACGAAGCUUUGAAUUUUUAGACCUAGUCUAACGUGAGAGAUAUCAAAGUUGAUGAAGGGCAUAUUAAGAUUCUUUUUAAGUUUCGCGCUCAUUAUAUUCGAUGAACAAUCAACUUGCUAAUGAAUUAGUAAUAUCUCAUAUUGGAGUUGGAGAAAUAAUUAUCAUAUAUAUAGGAUUAAUCUAAUUAUUGUCUAUUAUUGUCUAUUAAUUGUCCAGGGACCAGGGAACAAAGUUAUGUCGAGUGCAAAACUAAACACGUUCAGAAGACGUGGAAGAGAUUAGGGAAAGUUUGUUUCCCUCAAAUACACAUUACCUAUACAUAGUACUAGUACGUGUCUUCUUCAGCAACUAAAAAAAAUGCACAAUGCAUAUAGCAUGGUUGACCGAUGUAUUUUAAUCCCAAAAUGAAGUAAACAAACCAAAUAUUAUUGGCUAGCGAGUAGCAAGUUGGUGACAUAUAAUUGGGAACAUUGUAGCUUUUAAUUUGAGUGGUGGAUUUGGGAUACAAGUAUACAACAUCACAACCAAGAGAAAAAAGGAAGAAAAAAAAAUGAAUAGGAAGACGAUAACUCAAGAAGUGAUGUACGUACGUCGAACCAGUUUUAGAUUCUUGAAGAUGACGAGACACGAACUGCAGUAAUGAUAUUUUUCAGCGACUCGAAGAUGUUAACGCCAUUCCCAAAACAUUAUAAAUAUAGAAAUAGGAACAUAGGGUUUACACGAAGAAAACAAAAACCAACAUUUUGUUGUGAUUUGAGACAAAGAUCAUGUCAUUAAGUCCGAGAGACCCUCUUGUCGUAGGAAGAGUUGUAGGGGAUGUUGUUGAUCCCUUCAUGAGACUGAUUUCUCUUGAUGUUACUUAUGGCCAAAGAGAGAUAACUAAUGGAAUGGACCUAAGGUCUUCUCAAGUUCUGAACAAACCAACGGUUGAGAUUGGAGGAGAUGACCUCAGAAAUUUCUACAACUUUGGUUAGCUAUUUUUCUUUAAAUUUCGUUAAUUCUUUACUUAUUUAUCUACGUGAAGCUUUUCAUGCAAUAUUUUCAUGCAUAAUCAUUUGAAUUUUUCGAUUAUGAAAAAUUUACUUUUGAAGUUUUGGUGAUUUUUGGGGAAUUUUCGCCCCUCUGGUUAAAUUUUUUUUUUAACAUUUCAAAGUUAGAAUAAACUUUCUAUAAAUAAUAUAAAAUUACUUUUAGUAUGUAAAGAUAGAAAUCGUACCCAUGUAUCUCUAGAAAUGCAUAUAUAAUAUAUCAAGCAAUUGAUAUAGUCGGGCUCGGGUAUCCGAAUUGAAUACAUAGUUUGAAUACAUAUUUGCACAUCAGGACAUGCAACUACUAUAUUUUUGUAACGUAAUUAACCCUUCAAUAUAUUUAUUUGAAAUAGUUUCACCUUGUAAUUAUUUCCUGUGUUAUAUAUCAUCGAUCUGCAUGUCAGAUUCUAGAGAGAAACAAAUACUCGUGUUAUCUUGAUCGCUUUGAUAUUUCAUCAUCAUCUUCUUACUCGGUUACUUUUAAAGGUUAUGGUGGAUCCAGAUGUGCCAAGUCCAAGCAACCCGUACCUCCGAGAAUACCUCCAUUGGUUUGUAUUUAUAAUUAUUCUAUGUUAUGUAUAGGAGACAUCGAAGUUUAUAGACCUACACGAGACACCCAAAAUUAUGGUAGUAUUCGAUAUGUGCCCACUCUUAUAGAACUAAAAAGGGACAUAGAGAAUAAACUUUUGACAGAGCUACUUGUCAUUAGAUGAAUUACAAAGAGAUUCUAUUUAAGUACAUGACAAGACUUGUAAUUAGGUUUAGUUUCCACUUAUUAAUAGUGUCAUGUUAUAUCAUAGCUAGCAUCAACAUAUGUUUUUUCAGGUAUAUGGAAAUGAUUGGAAACUUUGAAAGAGGUUGAUGCAUAUGCUUUGUUGACAAAUAGCUUUUAAUUAAAUUAUGCGGCUAAAAAAUAAUCUAAAUGGAUACUCUCAUCACAGCUUGGUGACAGAUAUACCUGCCACACCUGGAACAGCUUUUGGUGAUUUUUUUUUUUUGUCAAACGGUGAGUUUAUUUAAUUAACUAUAUAGAUUCACUAAUAAGUAUAUAUAUAUUCCCUAGACAGAAGCCAUAUAUGCAAAUAUGCAAUUAAUCAACUGUUUGCCAUGAUGUGAACAUUAGCCUGUAUCAUAUGUAAUAUGUUCUAUAUGUCCGUUGCAACCAUUCCAAGCGUUAAUCGAAUAUAUGUUUUUUUUUCCUAAUCGAAUAUAUGUUUGAUGACUUUUUGUCAAGGCAAUGAGUUGGUGUACUACGAGAAUCCAUGUCCCACUUCAGGAAUCACUACAAGAAAACAUCGGUAUUUUGACGGACAUUCCGACGGAAAAUGAAAUCCUCGGAAUUUCCCGAAGAAUUUCCGAGAAAAUUCCGAGGAAACCCAAAAUUUGGGGUUCCUCGGAAUUUUCUCGGAAUAUACCGACGGAAUUCCGAGGAAACAUCAAUCCGUCGGAAUAUUCCGAGGAAAUUCCGACGAACUAGUGAUCGAUCGAUGCGUUUUUGGACAUAUACCCAUCGAUCGAUCACAUUGUUACGCUUUGGUCCAUCUUAGUGAUCGAUCGAUGCGUUUUUGGACAUAUACCCAUCGAUCGAUCACAUUGUUACGCUUUGGUCCAUCUUAGUGAUCGAUCGAUGCGUUUUUGGACAUAAAUCCAUCGAUCGAUCCGUUUAUAAAAAAACAUUCAAGAUUUUGAAACCCCAAACACUAGUUCCUCAGAAUUUCCUCGGAAUAUUCCGAGGAAAUUCCGAGGAACACUUGAUAUCCUCGAACGAUCGAUGGGAUAAUCUCAUCGAUCGAUCACAUUGUUACGCUUUGGUCCAUCUUAGUGAUCGAUCGAUGCGUUUUUGGACAUAAAUACAUCGAUCAAUCCGUUUAUAAAAAAACAUUCGAGAUUUUGAAACCCCAAACACUAGUUCUUCAGAAUUUCCUCGGAAUAUUCCGAGGAAAUUCCGAGGAACACUUGAUAUCCUCGAACGAUCGAUGGGAUAAUCUCAUCGAUCGAUCACAUUGUUACGCUUUGGUCCAUCUUAGUGAUCGAUCGAUGCGUUUUUGGACAUAUAUCCAUCGAUCGAUCCGUUUAAAAAAAAUUGACGUUUUGAAACCCCAAACACUAGUUCCUCGGAAUUUCCUCGGAAUAUUUCGACGGAAUUCUGAGGAAGAAAAGGGUUUCCUCGGAAUUCCCUCGGAAUAUUCCGAGGAAAUUCCGAGGAAAUAGGGUUUUUAAACCGAAAACAACGUUUUGCGGUUUGAAUAACACCUAUAUAACCUUUAUUAAGUGUCUUACGUUCAUUAUGAAGUCAAAAAUUUGUUCAUUACCCUAUAAUAAACACUUUUCCGAUUGUAUGAACGAAAUCCCCACAACAUAAGAGAAACACUUAUACACUUUAAUGAACGGUAAAGGGAAUACUUACAAUUCGUUUUGAAAUUUGUUAUUUCAUGGUUUAUGCUCAUCUAUACAAAGAAUCCUCAAUGAUAUGCAUUACAAUUGUAUAAGAAAUGAAAUACGGCAAAAAAAAUUGAUGUUUUGAAACCCCAAACACUAGUUCCUCGGUAUUUCCUCGGAAUAUUCUGAGGAAAUUCCGAGGAACAAUAUAAAUUAAUAGAAAUACAUGCACAGGAUAUUCUUUUUCCUCGAAUUAAUGAAAAUAUUCCGAGGAAAAUCCGACGGAUAUUUAAGUGGCCGUCGGAAUUUCCUCGGAAUAUUUUCAUUUAACCGGGCAAACAAGCCGCCAAAUAUUUCGCGAAAAUUGAAAUUGAAAAUACUGAGGGAAUUCCGACGGAAAAUAUCCGUCAGACCCAAGGUUUUAUAAACUCGAACCACAUCUUCUUCCCCAUUUCUCUCUUCUUCCCCAUUUCUCUCUUCUUCCUCUCCGGCGAUCUCUCUCUCCUUCCGGCGUUCUCCACCUUCUCUCGCGACGAUCUCUCCGGCGAAUCCUUUCCAUUCCUUUACAAAUCAUGUAAGCACCUUAUCCCACUCUCUUAGGUCCUAUUUGUUAGGUUUUUAAGUAGAUUUGAUGAUUUUAGAAGUUUUUUGAUAGAUUUUUGUUAGGGUGAUUGGGUAGGAUUGUGAUUUGUUGUGUAAUAGGUUUAGAAUUGUGAUUUGGUUGUGUUGAAUUGAUUUAGAACUUUUUUUAUAAAUUGUUUAUUAUUUUUGUAUUUACAAAACGUUUAUAUAAAUUCGAUUUUACAAAACGUUUUUUUAUAUAAAUUCGAUUUUUGGAUUUAUCAAAGAUGAUUUAAAAUUUAUAAAAAUAUUUAUAUUUAUUAAAACUAAUUUUGUAUUUAUAAAACAUUUUUUUGAUUUAUAAACACUAUUUUUUUAUUUUUUUAUUUAUAAAAACUAUUUUUAAAUAUACAAAACGUUCUUUGUAUAUAAAUUCGUUUUUUGGAUUUAUAAAAGAUGAUUUCAUAUUUUAAAAUUAAUUUUGUAUUUAUAAAACAUUUUUUGAUUUAUAAACACUAUUUUAUUAUUUUUUGUAUUUAUAAAUACUAUUUUGUAUUUAUAAAAAGAUGAUUUCAUAUCUAUAUAAAUAUUUAUAUUUAUUAAAACUAAUUUUGUAUUUAUAAAACAUUUUUUUAUUUAUAAACACUAUUUUAUUAUUUUUUGUAUUUAUAAAACUAUUUUGUAUUUAUAAAAAGAUGAUUUCAUAUUUAUAAAAAUAUUUAUAUUUAUUANNNNNNNNNNNNNNNNNNNNNNNNNNNNNNNNNNNNNNNNNNNNNNNNNNNNNNNNNNNNNNNNNNNNNNNNNNNNNNNNNNNNNNNNNNNNNNNNNNNNAUGGAAAUACAUAAUAUAUAGAAAAUAAAUAAUAAUUAAAUAAAAAAAUAAAAAAAUUAUAUUAAACCUAAUUUAAAUCUUAAAAUGUAAAAUAUAUAUAUUAAUUGAUAUAUAAUAUAUGCAAAUAAUAAUAAUAAUUAAAUACAUAUUUUCGAAAAUGGUAAAAAUAUAUUAAGAUUUAAACAUCUAUCUUAAAAUGUAAAAUAUAGAUAUUAAAUUAAUAGAAAGUAUAAGAAAUAGAAAUACACCAUUUUAUAUAGGAAAGUCUAAAAUGGAAAUACACAAUAUAAGGAAAAUUUUAAAUUUGGAAAUAAUACAUUAAAUAUUUAUAUUAAAAUGUUAAAAUAAAUAAAUAAAUACGUAGUAAAUUAUAUAAAAAAAUGGAAAUACCACAUUAAACAACAAAAAAUUAAAAUGUAUAGUUUUACAUCAAGAAAGUCCCUAUAAAACUCAUUAUUCCAUCAACAUCAAUCUCACACUAUCAAGGAAAAAUUCAAAGAUCUCGAGCAAAAAAAUGGUUCCACCAUCAACUCUUACCGUCCCAAAAACCUUUAAUGAGCUUGAAGGAGAUUUUUUAUAACAACGAACUUUUUGUUAGGUGGAUUCAUUGUUGGGAAACCCGCAACUUCCAAAAGCCAAACUUAUUCAUGGGAAUUGAAUUGCUUUUCAUAGACUCAAAGGUAUUCUUACAAAUCUAAAUUACUCUAAUCCAUAAUUUUAUUGUUAAUAUUCAUACUAAUUCUUUCAUGAUCAAACCAUUACAGUUAAUAACCAUUCAAGCGUUUAUCCCGAAACACUUCCUUCCUCGCCUAAUCAGGUAUUGGUUCAUGUUGGUUUAGUAUUGUUUUUGGUUUAUUAACCGGUUUAGGAUGAUCCUAUUGUAAAUAUAAUUUAAGUUGGUUUAGCAUAUAUUAUGCUUAAAAUAACUUAAAUUAAAUAUUAGUAAUAUUAUGCUUAAAAUAUAAUUUUAGAGAGUUUUCAAAUAUAGUUUACAGAACAUUAUAGGUGAUGAAUUUAAUUUAUUAAAUUCGUUUAUUACUUAAAACUAAGUGUUUUUUUAAAACAUACUGAGUUAUAAAUAUCAAUGAUGGAUUGAUGAGUAUAACAUGAAGACAAAAAUAUAAAUAUUUUAUUUUCAAGAUAAGAAAUUCAGCUUUUAUUCAGUUACUCAAUAUAUAAUAUCUUAAAUUAUUUUUUUAAAAAUAUACAUAAUUUAUAUAUAUAUAUUAAUCUUCCAAACUCAAACUAUUAUAUUAUAUAUGAAUAAUGUUUUUAAAUAAAAAUAAUUUCUGAUUUUAAAAAAAAACAACAAAUGGUUAUUUUCAAAUAAUGGAUGUAAUUUACAUUAUACUAUCAUUUAACAAGUAUUAGAUACGUUUUGAUAUAUCAUUAUUUUCUAUUUCCAGAAAACAAUAAAUUGUUAAACAUCAAUAUCGUCUAGGUUAAGUAUACGAACAACACAAAUUCAAACAUCACAAAAAUAUUUACAUAAACAUUAUCAUACAAUAAUUUAAUCAAAAAAUGCAAUUCAAAAACAAAAUAUUCAAAAGAAUAGUUAUAUACUUAAUAUUUGAAAAUAAAAGAUAUUUUUGCUAAAACUGUACUUACCUGGCCAAGGAGAUCGACCAUCUUUUUACGGAUCGACAGAUUGUUGAGCAUCUGGUCGAUCCGAAAAUACUCUGCAGUUUAAUUAGAUAUCUAAAACAUUUAUUCCAACACUCAACAGAUAGUUUUGCUAAAUAUGAUAACUAGAUAGCCAACAAAAUUACAAAAAAAUAUUUAAAUUGUAAAAAAUAUGUUGAUUUAACGUGUUAAAAUUUAAAAAUAAAUUUUAAUUAUGACAUGCAUCUUAACAUUUUAUAAAUAUAUAUCAAAAUAUAAAUAAUUUAACAACUUAAAUUAGAAAAAAAAAUAAAAAUUCCGGGCGUAGCCCGGGUUAAUCCCUAGUAUACAUGUAAAGCCUUGGUUCUGAUUUGUUCUUCUGUGUUGAGAUUUACGAGCCCUGUAAGGGUCUUGUUUAUUCUCUUUCCAUGAAACGACAUUGUCACAACCCAAACCCAACAAAUUUUAAAACCUUAACCGUAAAGCCCACGUUUUAAGCCAAAACCCUAAAAAGGGUAUUUUAGUAAUUUUGAAUGAUCUAAACCCUAAACUCUUCUACAUAUAUAUUGAGGGCACGACCUAGAGGAGAGGGAGAGACAACGCAGCCUGCAGUUACUCUGAGAUAUCAGUGCCAAGUUGGAAUUUUGGAGAGAAGUUUGCGACCAGAUACGAAAGUGUUAGGCAAAGAACUAAAGUGGGAUUGAUAGAUCUCGUUGCAAGGAAGACACAGCAACUUUCGGAUCUCAAUUACGAGGUAAUCUCAGUUAGUUACUCAAUCUACAAGUUGAGAGAAAACCAUUACGUUUCUGAAAUCGGUUCAGGUCUGGUUUUUCUGUUUCGCAGAGCCAUAUUGGGAAGAGAUUUAUGGUUGAUACAAAAGGAGUUAGGUGACGGUCGUGAUAUUGUUAGAAACUGACGUUACCAUCUUUCUAUAUCCACUAAGAAUGCUUCAUUACGAGGUAAACUCUGGAAGUUAUUUGAUCUUCAAUUUGGAGAAAAAUCAAUGUUUUCUGAAUCCAGAAAUUCUAAGUCCGAAACCUGUUUUUCCAGUUUCACGUAGGGGUUUUGUGAGAAGUUUUCCCAGUGAACUAGAGAGAGUUAGGACGCGAGUAAGGUGUCGCUGGAAAGAUCUAGCUGCAAGGAAUCUAUAUCUGUUGACAUUAUCUUGUUUAGAGUUUCAGAUCACUAGAACAGAGUGUCAACCCGCUAGUUUCAGAACCCACUUUCAACCUUAAGGCAAAGGUGAGGGUGAGAUUUGUGGACUUUUAUUAUUAUUAGUUGAUCGUCAUCAACUUCAUCACUUAUCACUUUAACAUUUAUCAAUUAAUAUUGGAAAGGGUUAUGAGAUGACAAAUGUUAAUGCGAUUAAUGAAUGUGUAUUGAAAUAAAUGAUGUGUUAUGUUUGUUAAUUGCUUAAUAUGUUGGGUGAUGAAUGUUCUAGGACUAGUAUUUUCGCAUGCAAGUUGGUUAAUAAUGUUAAGAGUCAUGUGGGCAGAAAUGAUCAUCCUCACUGAAUGACUGUGUGUUAUUCACCCCUUUCCCUCUUUCCUUUUGUUGUUCAAGUUAGGACACAAGAGUAUGAUUUGGGGGACGGGUGUUACAGACAUUGUUGAGCUACAAUCUCUUAAGUCUUAACACCCCCAUAAGGCAAUUGAGAGAUUGGUUUGAUGGAAGACCUUCCAGGGUGUAGACUGUAGAUAAAUCCAAGCAAGUAGUUUAUAUGCUCACGAAGUUCUUAAUAACAUAGAUAAUAAAAACAUGAAAACCAAGUAGAGAUUUCAGGCAAUCGUGUGGUUUAGGCGUUGAAGGGAGAAUGAGCGCGCUUCUUGUUUCAGUCUUUGUACAUGAGAAAGCUUCUGUUGGGCUUUGAAGACAUCGUUGAUAGAAAUAUCUCUCUUGGGCUUACAUGUGAGCCUUUUAGCAUAUUGUAUUUCUGACCCAUCUUUCGUAAUGUCUUCUCUUCUCCGUUGCUAUCGUAUUCUCCAUCGCCGGCAGAGAACCUCUCUGCAUCUGGUCUUCUUCUGGUUUUUGUUUUGUCGUUGAAGAGAAAAAAAAAACCUUUCUUUUUCGUUCUUCAGACACACUGACAAAGCAGAGUUUGACUGAAAAGACAAAGCCGCGGUUUUCAGGUAACAAAUUUCUUCAAUUGUUCAGGGUUUUCGAAAUUUGUAUGGUUGUGUGUAUACAGGCUUACUUUCGAGUUCUUGUUGGGUUUUUGAGCCUUUACUUUUUUGGAGCCUUUGAGCGGCCUUGUCUCUCCUCUUCUGAGUUCGCCCUAAGCAACAUCUUUCUUGCCUCUUUAAUUUUGUGAUCAUCGGUCUCAGUUCCGGCGACUCACGGAGGUUCCUCUCUCCUCUCUCCUUCUGACUUCUUUCCCAUGACUCUUUUCUUCUAGUUUACUCGAUUGCAUAUUGUUUGUCCUUGCUGUGUCACCCGUAACCUAGACCUGUUUUCUCCGGUGAACCCGAAUCUUUGUAACCCACUCAGAUCCCCUAUUUUUUUUUUUUGGGAGAAUUAAAAAAAAAAAAAAGAAGACUAUAAACGGUUUCAGUGUCUAGUAAGCAGCUGCGUGGUAGAUAAAAGAUGCUUACUUUUUGAUUGGUUCUCCGUGAAACUAUUGUAGAUAGUGAAGCUUGAGGGAAGUAAAAUUCAAAGGAUGGAAGAUAAAGGAAAGGGCCUGGUGGGAGAAGAUGAGCAAACCUCCUUUUCUGUGUUAGAAGGGGGCCCAAGCUAUAUGGAAGUAGACGGUGGUGAUGCUAGUGAUGAUAACUAUGAUGAUGAUGGAAACAGUGAUGAAGGAGGCCAGGUAGAUGAUGAUGAUGAUGACUCUGAAGAAAGAGAUGAGUCUGAAGCUGUCAGUGGAAUUCCAACAACAUUCGAACGCCUUGAAUAUGAAGCUCUCGCUAAGAAGAAACGCAAAGCACUUACUGAGUCUCAACGGUUCGUCUUUCACUCUCCUUUUGUUUCUUUAUUUUGGUAUAAUGUUUCUAGAUGCAAUGACAAUAAAUUUGAUUUUCCUAGAUUGUGCAAUUCGGUGAAUAAAUUGUUUAAAAUCUCCCAUAAGUUUUGUUUAAUGCUUUAUACUUCCCAUUCAAGUAGCUUUUAGUUGGAUUUGUUGGUCAAGUACUCCCCCUUGUGUUGCCCAACAUAUAUUUUGUGUUGAUUAUUUCUUUUUGUGAAUGUGACAGUGAUGGUUCAGAUAAGAGAUCCAGGUAUGAUGCUAUUAACAUCUGGAAUAGCACCUCGGGCGAGAAGGGAUUCAUGGAACUCUACGAUACUGGCCGCCGACGAAAGUCUAGGAAGGUACGUUUUCCUUGGACAGCUUUUUUUUUUUUAAUAUUUCACGAGUUAACUUGUAUUUCAUGUGUCUUCAGUCCGCAUCUUGCAUCAAGAAGUUUGACCUUUUGUCUAUUAUUUAGCUUUAACUCUUUUUAAAAAAAAAGGGAUGAACUGCAUGUUUGUUCUUGAACCUCAUUGAAAUACAAGUUCCCUCCUGCUUCACUUGUGCACUUUCUCGUGCUACACUCCACGAAAUUAUAUUAUGGGACAUAUAUCAACUCUGCAUAUGCUGCCACUUUAUCUUUUUUUUUUUUUUAAAUGACAGUGUAUAUACUUGUGCAGAAUAAAAAAAGGGGUAGACGACAGGGGUCAAAGAAAAAAGUUUCACCUGAAAUUCAGAAGAGGUUGAGUGAGGCUUUUUUUCUUCACGCAGAUAAUAAAAACAGUGAGGUAAUCCCAGAUGAAGUUUUUAUUUUCUGUGGUAUCGUGCCUUUUAGAGAGAAUAGCGUAGCUCGGAAACACAUUUCAUAAUUGUCCUGAAAAAUUAACCUGAUUUUUCUCUACCACAAUAUCGUUUUGACUAUUACAUUUCAGAAACUGCUGCUUUUUCCUAAAUUGUGUUGUGUCAUAUUAUUUAUAUUUAUUUAUGGACUGAUCCAGAUUUAUGUUGUUUUACUUUCUUCCAGGCUUUACCUAUUAUAUUAGACGUUAUUAAGCAAGCACCAACCUUCGGUCGAGCGUAUCAUUACCUAUCGCUUGUAUAUGAUAAACUUGGUAGGACCGACUCAUUGUCUACUCGAGUAUUGAGGAUUGCUGCAACUGUUGAAGGUCCAAAAUCACCUUGUUGGAAGUUGCUUUACGAGAGGUCCAAGUAAGUUAUAUUUGUUCAUGCCAGUCUUCAUUUUUAUACAGCAGAAAUGGCGAACGCAGAAACAUUUAUGUUACUACUAUUUGCUUGUCAAUAACGGUUAUCUAGAUGUCAAGAUAGUGUUUACAGUAAGACCGUAUCAGAGAUUGUAGGGCUUGCAAGUAAUUAAGUAACAAGAACCCAAUGUCAUUAGCCUUGGUAAUAUAGUUAUUGGGAAAAAGUGUAAAACGAAAACGCAGGAAGCUGUUUUGUUUUCUGUUUAGAAUUUUGUUUGACAGUGCCAAGCUAACUAACAAAACUAAUUGAUUUCAGGGAACAAGGGGACUUGUCUGCAAGGGGUUAUGCGUCCAAAGCAGUACAAGCUGAUCCAGAGAAUUUCCCUUUGAAAUAUGAAUAUGCAGACCUCUGCCUAAAUGCUGGAAAAUAUAAAGAAGCUGCCGAAACCUAUGAGCAAAUAUUUCGUCGGUAUCCUGAGAGAAUUGAGGUCCUCGAUUGGGGGACAAAGGUAUUAUAAGCUGAAUGAGUAUAAAUUUAUUCUAAAUUGCUAAUCUCUGUGAUGUAGUUUCUCUACCCCAGAAAAAAAGACAAAUGGUUAAUGCCAAUUUUAUGAACUUAUUUCUUCUUCUUGGGUUUCUCAGUACUUUCUAAAAUCCGGCGAGGGUGAACGAGCAGCAAACAUCUUAGAGGAUCAUAUAAAAUCUCAUCCAUCUGAAGUGGGGCCUGAUGUCUUGGAUCUACUGGCUUCUGUUUUGAUGGAAAUUAAUGCGUAUGAUAGAACUCUUAAGUAUAUUCAUGAUGUGCGCCAAAUCUACAAUCCAGGAAAAGAACUGCCUUCCAGCUUGAAAAUCAGACAAGCCAUCUGUCAUGUUCGCCUCCAAGAAAUGAAGCAAGCAGAGGUUUGUGUAUCUUACAUUAUAAACCUGCUAAUCUUUUAUCCCAAUGAUUGCUUUAAAACUAUACCCUCCUCUAAUUAUUUAGUAGAUGGAUAACAAGAUUUGGGAAAAAAAAAGAAGAGAUUUUAAAUCUAUCUAAAGAGAAUGUGGUUUGCAUUGGUCCUUGUCAUUCUUAUUACUUCGUAUUUCUUCUCAAGUUCAUGUCUCACUUUUUUACACCAGGUGAAGUAUGUCAGUUCUGUUAUGUUAUGAUCUUUAGUAUGAUGUGCAGUCUUUUAUAUAGGGGUUUCUCUUUUCAAAACGUUGAUGUACCUUCUCUUGUGAAUGAUGUUGCUUGCCGUAUCUGCAGAUUGUUUUAAGUAUUCUACCACGGGAGGCUGUAUCCGAACAUUCAGACCUCAUCAUCAAUUUGGCUGAUGAGCUAACAAACAUUGGGAAUUUUCACACUGCUCUCAAAUACUAUUUGUUAGCAGUCAAUGACACUGUGAAUGUAAGUUGAUAAGCAGUUGUACUCGAUUGUUUCUUCUCUUACAACUUUUGCUUCGUCCCUGGGCUAACUAGUUCCGUGGUUUUCCUUGUAGGAUGGUUAUUUGUUUGUGAAAGUUGCUCGCUGUUAUACGUCGUUGGCCAAACGAGAUCAGGCCAUCAUUUUCUAUUAUAAAGGUACUUUUUAAUCUAUUUAGUAAGAGUUUGAUUUAGGUGUUGUGCAUAUGUAUAGCCCCCUCUUGUCAAUAGUAGAGAUACAAUUUCACUAUGUUCUGUUUGUAGUUAACUACAUUGGAUGUUUUGUGAAGGUUUCGAAACUCAAAUAUCUUAUGAUUUUCCAUGUCAUGCAAAUUAAAAUCGUAUUGUUUAUUGUAUUUUCAGUUUCUCGUUAGCUUUUUUCUAUUUGUUGCUAACUGAAAAUUCCCUCAGCUUUGAAUGAACUCAGUGAUCCAAUUGAUGCUCGCAUAACUCUGUCUUCACUUCUCCUGGAAAAUGGCAAUCGAGAUGAAGCUAUAUCAGUGCUUUCCCCUCCGGAAAAUCCAGGUCAGCAGAGAAAAAAGAACAUUUCUUCUCUUGCCGUAUUAUCUCAACGAGUGUAUAGUUUACCCAUGUUACAAUACCUUAUUAAAUAUCACUUUUGUCAGAUUCACUGCUAAACUUUGUACAAGUAAUGGAUUUGCGAUAUCUUAACUGUUUUUUCUUCCAAAUGUUAGUUAUGCGAUUUGCAUCCAACUAUUUUGUCAUAAGAUAUAAGUUUGCUAACAAUGGUUCUUUUUUCUAAGUGUAGAUCUUGAUACUUCUAAACAGAAGGCAUGGUGGAAGAAAAGAAAGAUCAGGAUGCAUCUUUGUCAGAUCUAUUAUUCAGAGGGGAUGCUUGAGGAAUUUGCCAAUACAGCAUUGCAGUUGGUUCUUAAGUGGGUUUGGCGGCGGACGGUAAUAGCUCUGUACCCAAGUUUCAUAUAAGAAAUAUGCUAAAGAAAUUGACAACAUAAAUAGUUACUGCUUCUUGAAUAAAAACGUACUUGGACCCAUCUGAACAUCCAGCAUUUCGUUAGAGUUCUUUCAUUUAGCAUUAGCAGAUUGUGGUUUGAUAAAAAAAAAUUGUAUGCUGGCGCCUUCAUGAAAACGUGUAGGUCAAGGGAAAAAGAAAACGAUCGGUUCUUUCGGAGCUCCAAAGAAAUAGAAGACGCCGACGUCCUAGAGAUGCUCAAGCUUCAGAGUGAGUAUAAAAGUAAUCUAUCCAGCAUAGUCUGUAAGCCUUGCCGUUUCUGUCUGGACAUUGUUAGUAACCUUUGUUCCGAAACAUGUUGAGCUAGGUUGAGAGGCGGACCCAAAAAGUGGCGCAAAAUCAGGGCAACAUUAAAUGAGGCAAAGAGAAUCAGAGAACGGGCUGCUAUUAAAGCUCAUAACGAAGAUAUGUGCAGUGAAUCUGAGGUAUCUAUCUAUGUAUACCAGGAUUGCCAGCUAUGUCCUCUUUGUUUUGAUUACUCAAAAUGCUUUUGCCUUUUAUGUUGACCGGGGUUAUACUUUUUGACUUUUCUACUCAGGAAGAAGCUAUGAAGGAUGAAGAGUAUCACCGUCUCUUUGUAGAUGUAAUUGACCGUUCCCUUCCACAUAUUAUUAUAACUUCUUUGAUGCCCUCUUCUCCUUUAUGUUUGUCAUGACUCCUUAAAUUGCAUGUCUUGUAGUUGUGCAAGGCAUUGGCAUCGCUGCAAAGGUUUUGGGAAGCUCUGGAGAUAGUUAACCUGGCUCGUAGAUUGGACGCCAAAAUGCUGCCUGUUGAGAUAAAAAAGGAGCUUCAGUCACUUGGAGCUAGUAAUCUCCUAACCCCAACCUUGAUAUCCAUUUUUCUUCAAGACUUAUAGAUAAGUCUUCGUUGGUUUAUGGUUAACAGCGCUUUCUUCUUUUGAUGUUUACAGAAAUAUCAUGUGAUACUAUGGAUCCAAAGCAGUGGUUUGACUGUGUAAGAUCUGUCAUUCAGCAACAUCCGUAUCGUUUGAAUGCCUGGAACUGCUAUUACAAAGUCAUUUCAAGGUAUACAGAGCGGUGUUUCAUAUCACUUGGAGACUACUGUCGACUCUGUUUUGUUUGCAGUAUGAAUAUCGUGUUAUUAUGUGCAGGCUAGGGAAAAGAGCGUCAGUUGUCCACCCGGUUUGGUUUGCAGUAUAAAUAUCUCGUAUGAUUUUGCGCAGACUAGGGAAAAGAGCAUCGAGUGAAGCUAAGUUCAUGCAUCACUUAAGAAGCAAGUACAGAGAUUGCGUACCGCCUAUUCUGAUAGCCGGUCACCAUUUCACCGUGACAAGCCGACAUCAAGAUGCUGCAAGAGAAUACCUUGAAGCAUAUAAACUAAUGCCAGAUAGCCCUUUAAUCAACCUCUGCGUAGGUAAGCAUGCAUCUAUAUUGUUCUCUCCGUUUUCACGAGUUAGCUAAUCGGUUAAAUAAAGUGUUCACACCUGUUCUAUCUUUUUUUUCAGGAGCUGCUUUAAUCAACUUAGCCCUCGGUUUCCGACUCAAGAACCGGCAUGAGUGUCUUGCUCAAGGCUUUGCGUUUCUAUACAACAAUAUAAGAAUCUGCAGUAACAGUCAAGAGGCGUUGUAUAACGUUGCUAGGGCGUAUCAUCACGUGGGUCUUGUGACUCUUGCGGCUUCAUACUACGAGAAGGUUUUAGCGGUUUACGAGAAAGAAUAUCCAAUGCCGAAACUCCCAAACGAAGAUCCUAAUGUUGCGGAAGAACUACGAGAAGGUUUUAGCGGUUUACGAGAAAGAGUAUCCAAUGCCGAAGCUCCCAAACGAAGAUCCUAAUGUUGCAGAAGAGCGUAAACCUGUUAACUGUGACCUACGCAAAGAGGCUGCGCACAAUCUGCAUUUGAUAUAUAAGCACAGUGGAGCGUUUGAUCUCGCGAGGCAGGUCUUGAAGGAUCACUGCACUUUCUAAGUUUCGUUCGUCUUGUAAACUCUACAACCAACUAUUAUUAUUGUCUUAAGGCUGGUUUAUCACUUUAUUGUGUAGUUUCAACUUCAUUAACUGAAUUUACUUGGAGUAUUAAUAUAUAGUUGCUACUUGCAAAGAUUACUAUUUCAAGGAUUUAUUUGUAGCGGUGUCAACUGUGCAGGUCUAACUUAAAACUCAUAAAACCCGUAAAUAUUCGAGUCCAAUCCACCUGGUUUGGAAAUAUUUUGGGUAUAUUUUAAAAUCCGGCUCAGUGCUAAUAGGGUUAUAAUUAAAACUUGUAAGCAUUUCUGGAGUUUUAAGUUUUUCGGAAGAAUUCAUUAAAAUAUUAUAAAUGUCAUUUUUACCAUUUUAAAACAUCUAAUUUUUAAUAAAAAUUGAUUAAAAUUUUUUGUAAGUGUUUUUUAUAUUUUUAAAACCAUAUUAUUAACAAGUUAAGUACAGUUUUUUUGUCAACUAAGUACAGUUAAUUAUGAUGUUUCAGUGAUGGACAUAUUUUAAGUUUGACUGGUUUAGCACAAUUUUCAAAUUAAUAGCACUUUAACAAUUUGACUGCGUUUAUCACAAAUUUUGUUAAGGAAAAUUUUAAGCCUAAUAUAUAAUUAAUAAUUGUCUAAUUUUGUAGGCAUAUGAUAUUAAUUUUCAUCAAUAUUUUGCUAAAAUCUUAUUGGCUUUGCUAUUCGAGCACCGUGGUUAGUACUAUCACUAUCCUUAGACUAGCAUGAGACUAUCUUCAACAAAAUAGCAUAGCAUAGUCUAACCACCAUGAUCGUUGUUAUUGUUGGGUUUUGCACUUGAAUCACGUCUCGCAAGAAGACAUGAAGAAAUGCAUACACACAACAUGAUAUAGGCCUGAUGCAAAAUGUUUCCUUGUAUAGUUGUAUUCAUUCGUUUAAUCAUCAUUAUUAAAUGAUAUAUUUAUAAUCAUCUUCGUUUAGCCAGCCCUUCUUCAGUGAUGAUCUUGAUUUUUAAUCCCUUUUGACUAUCUCGACUCAAAAAAUACCAUUGAGAAUCUCUCAUCCACAUACAAUGUGUUCAUCAUUGAAACAUCAUAAUUAACUAUCAUACCAUCCUUAAUCAUGAUCAACUGUUUAUUAUUGUUCAAUAACAAAAUUAUAGCAGGAUAUCAAGGUUUCAAGUUGGAACUUAUCCCUUUCUCAAAAAAAAAAUUGGAACUUAUAAAAAAAGGGGGUUUCAAGUUGGAGGAGUGGUGGCCAUAAAUGAUCCAUGCAUGUUCAUUUGGUUGAGUGUUCAAUAAUGCAAAAGAAAAAAAAAAGUAACUCGGCAAGUCUCAGCUCUUUCUGGCCUGGCCUUACAUGACUUGCAGUUUUCUCCUCGUUCUCUUCUUACUAAACAAGUCCCAUGUGGUUUGUUUUCACUGGAUAUCACCUCUUUUCACUUUAUAAAUUGAGACAAUGCCAGCGUAGCCUGUAAUUGUCCCCCGUGGCACUUAUCACCUGUCGUUUUAUUACUAGACACUUGUAUAUUUAUUUUAUGGGAUUGUGGGGUUUACGUCGUUUUAAGAGUGUUGCCUUUGCUAUACAUUUUUUCUUUCCGUGACAUUUCAUCUACUAAAGACGAUUGUCAAUUAUGAUCACCGAUCAGCAAGCCAUGUAGAUGAUAUUUCGAGAGAGGUUCCGAUGUAGUUCGUGAUAUACAUCAGAAGGUGUGUCAAGACGUAUGUCGUACGGCAAGAUGUUGAGUGGAGAAGUUGCUUACAAAGAGAUUGUUUAAGGUGAUUGCGUGUGUAAGUGGAGAUUAGAAAAAGAAAGAGAAUAUCUUGUUGAAGACAAAUGACGUUUUCCAUUAAGCAAAGAGACUUUGCUUGGAGAAGAAGUGUUACUUGGCGAGGAAUAAGAAGUUUCCUUAUAUGGGAAUGAAAGUUCAUUAAGGUGCAUUUAAUGAACUUGGAGAGCAAGUCUAUGGUUUAUAUAUAAGGAGAGACGUGCCCUUAUGAGAAAGAUAGCACCAGAGAUAAAAGUGAGAGAAAGUUUCAUUGUGUUCUUGGUGAGUGUCUGACGGAGUGCCUGACGGAGUGUUCCGUUGUACUUGGUGUUGUGACGUUGGUGCUGGCGUUACGUGUAGCGGAGUUGUCCGUUGUGGUGUGGUGAUCAAUCUGUACGUUGGUGUUGGCGUGCUCGUUGGUAUCCUUGGUGUGCAUUAGGUUCUGACGUACUCGGUGACGUACUUGGGUGAAGUACUUGGUGGCGUACCUUCGGAGACUUGGAGGUUGGAGCCUAGACUCAGGGGGAGUUUAGCUCAAGGUUGGUUAACCUUGAAGAGUUCAUGUUUUAGAAGAGAGCGGUGAUUCAAGAGGGUUGUGCUUGUAUUACGCGUUUGCGAAUUGGUUGUAAUUUGCUUUCUCAUUCUAGUGAAUUCGAAUAAUGGACAAGGUCCCGGGGAGUAGGAAACGAACCUCGUUAACAAACUCUGUGUGUCAUUUACUUACUGCUAUAUAUCCCUGACUCAUCCGCACUUACAAGUGGUAUCAGAGCGGGGCUCGAUAGAGUUAACGACUAGUUUCGAGUAGAUCAGGGUGAGUGACAGAGACUGCGUCAGGAAGUACGACAGAGUUUGUAAACCUGUCUUGAUGGAGGGAUAUCGAGAAGGGACGUCUAUGACAAAGCCACCUAGGCUUGAUUAAUCUAAUUAUGGAUAUUGGAAGGUCCGUAUGCAAGCCUUCAUUAGUGGUCUUGAUGAAGAGUGUUGGAGUAUAAUUGAGACUGUUUGGACUCCUCCUGUGAUACUUGAUGAUGAGAAGGUUGAAGUUCUUAAGCCGAGAGAGAAGUGGACUACCGUAGAGAAGAAGGCUUCAAGCUGCAAUUCUAAGGCGAAGACGGCGAUCUACAAUGCUAUUGAUGCGUGCUACUUCAAGCUGAUUUCUCAAUGUGUGUCAGCUCAGAAGGCGUGGAAGACAUUGGAGAACAUGUUUGAAGGUACUUCAAGUGUCGAGCGAACCAAGCUGGAUAUGUUAGCAUCUAGAUUUGAAAAUCUAAGGAUGGAUGAAGAAGAAACCUUGGCUCAGUUUAGUGCCAAGUUGUGUGACAUAUCUAAUGAGUGCUUUGCGCUUGGGAAGCAGUUCAAGGACAAGAAGCUGGUGAAGAAACUGAAGAGGUCGCUGCCAAGUGAAGUUUGAGUUAAAGAUUUCUGCUGUAGAAGAAGCUCAUAAUCUGGAUGAGAUGGCUUUUGAUGAGUUUGUUGGGAUUCUCCAAGCCUUUGAGUUGAGCAAGGCGUAUGGAGAUAAAGAUUAGAAGAAGGAUAAGGAUAAGGAGACGGACGAUCCUUAUGGUGUUGCUUUGAAAGUCUCACCUUCUGAAGAUCCUAUGGCGAUGCUGUCAAGAAAUCUUGCUGAGUAUCUGAAGCAACAACGAGGCAGAAGAGACAAUGGAAAAAGAGGUGGUUUGAGAAGAUCACCAUCAAAGCUACGAUGCUAUGAGUGCAAUGGGAUUGGACAUGUUCGGUUGGAAUGUCCAAAUUUACAGAGGCACGAUAAGAAGAAGAACAAUAAGAGUGACUCUGAUACUGAUUCAGAUCAUGGUGAGAAUCUGAAGAACUUUGUGGCGUUUACAACCUUGGGUUCUGUGAAGAAGUCUGCGGCGGAAUCUGUGUCAUCGUAUGUGUCAUCAUCUGUGUCAGGGUCUACACGUGGAGAUGAUGAUGUUGCUGAAAGUGAGGAUGAUGUUGAGGGUUUCGAUCUGGCUAAGAAGUAUGAGACAUUAUAUGCACAAUAGGAAACGAACCUCGUUAACAAACUCUGUGUGUCAUUUACUUACUGUUAUAUAUCUCUGACUCAUCCGCACUUACAGGCCAUUCCAGUCCAUGAGAUUAUAAAUUAUAAACAAAAAUCAUGAUAGUAUGAUCACCGUAAUAACAAAUCGGUUGCGAAUUACAUAAUCUAAACGUUAAAACAAGUUUUAUGCACACAAAAAAUAAACAAAACUCUGUUUGUAAAUGAACUCUAGUCAGCCGUCAAAGAUCAGUUCCAAAAAAAUCGUUCUUAAGUGGCAUUUGUUUUUUUUUUCUUUUUACAUCGAAAAAAUGCUAUUAUAUUACUUAAACUUGAACAUUUUUUUUUUGUGUGUUAUUAGUUGUUUUCUAACACAUCUCACAUUUCACAUUUUUUUGUAUAACUCAUAUUUCUUAUAUUAUAGAAAUUAAAAACUUUAUAUAACCUCUCCAUGGUACAUAUCACACAUCACACUGACAUACAAAAAUAUCACUCUCCAUUGUAUUACCAAAAAAAAAGAGAAGAAACAGCAUGACAACAAUAUACGGUACAAAUCCGACGGCAGCUAACGACCUAGCCCCAAAACUCGAGUACAUCACACGAACCAACAACCACCACCACGUAAGACCCGGCCUGGCCACGCGCCGUUCAUGGAAGCAAAUGCUCGACCUAGGCUCCUUCCACUUCCCGCGUAAGAUAGCUUCAGUAAUAACCAGAAUCAAAACCAACAUCGUCUACUUCCAAACAAACUACACCAUCGCCGUCCUCUUCUCCGUGUUCCUCAGUCUUAUCUGGAAACCCUUCGCUCUCCUUAUCCUGCUGGCCCUUAUCGGUGCGUGGCUGUUCCUUUACUUUCUCCGCGACGAACCACUCAUUGUAUUCGACCGUGAGAUCGACCACCGUGUUGUCCUUAUUGUCAUGUCCGUUCUCACUCUCUCGGUCCUUUUCUUAACUGAUGCGAAGCUCAAUAUUGCCGUGGCCGUUGUGGCAGGCGUGGUGGUUAUAUUGUUGCACGCGGCUGUUAGGAAAACCGAAGAGAUAUACCAAAACGAAGAUGAAACCAGUCCUUUACUUCCCCAAGUAUAAAAUGAUCUUCAUUUGCUAGAAUAUUUCACAUUUUUAGUUGUCUUUUCGUUUUUUUUAAAUCUAUUUUCGCUAAAAUCUUAUUACCAUUGCUUAUUAACAUUUAAUAUUUGUUUUCUAUUAUGUUCCCUGAUGACUACAAUAUUAAAACAAGGAAACACAAACUUAACACAACAAAAAAAGUGUUCUAUAACCACACAUAGUCGAGUGGUACAACAGGUUUGGAAAGGCGCUAAACACUUCAGGUUCCAAAUUUACUAUCUCAAAUAUACCUGUUUGUGUGGUCUGACCAUUUCCCAGGGGAUUAUAAAAAAAAAAACAAGUGUCCUAUAUUGAUCAGUAUGCGUCACAGUAAAAACUCAUUUCAAAUAAAUUUUUUUUCUAUAACCACUUAUUAUAAACCAUGCAUGAUGGGAACUAUGGGAUGGCCGUGAAAAUGUUAAAUUUCUAAAUCCGUUUUGUUAUCUAAGAAAGGUGGUUUCCUAACGGAACUUGUGGGCGAGGCCGGCGUAGAAUCUGAACUAUGAUCGUAAUUUGAUUGACCGACAAAAUUUGCAUACAAAAAAAAAAAAUGCUACACAAGUAACCACUUGAAUGUUUAGGCAAUGGGUGAGUCUGUUAGUAUUCCGAUGUAAGGGCCGUUAAGCUUUCAAUGGAAUUAUUAUAUCAAUACGAGUACAAAAUAAUCUACGUAUCAACCCUUCAAUGUUAGACAUCUUAUACAUUCUUUCUCGGGUGCAUGAAGAAUAUAAUACUAUAUUCGAAACAAAAAGAUCUCAGAUUCUUUGUUCUCUUCAUAAAUCACUUAACGAGAUUAAGGGGAACUUGAAGAGCAAGAGGCACCAAAGGCUCGUGAACAAUCCCAACCGAUAUCUUGCAAUGAUCAGAGCUCAACAUCUUCUCCAUCUCCUCUUCAUCUGAUGAUAUAAUCUCGUUGAUUAUUCCCAUUAGUAUUCUCUCCAUAGCUUCACCAUCGGUCCAAUCUCUAACCGUGGCCUUGACCAAGGUCCGGUUUUGACUGAUCAAAUCCCAAACCGGGAAAUUAUUCCUUGGCAUCAUGUAAUCUUCAGCUUUGAGUCUAAGACUCGGACAGUAAUCACCAGCACCAUCUCCAAGAUAGAUCAUCUUCAUCUUGUUUCCUUCUUUGGUAAAAGAAGCUUGAAUCCUCUCAAUUAUCAAACCCUAUAAAUAUAAAAUUAUUAAAACCAUUAAUUAACCGAAGAAACACACACAAGUGGAUCCGUAUAGAUUCAACACACGACAUGAGUUGAUAGUUGCAUAUAAAAUAUUCAAAUAUUAAUUGUAAUCCGUGCAUGUGACAUGGUAGUAAAGUAUACCUUGCACAUGUUAGGAGGGCAACGAGAGCAACCGUGGGAGGAUUUGGUGAAGUCAUGGUACGGAGAUACUAUUAACCUUCCUUGUUCAUCUACAAGUCCAGGAUUUGUAUUAAUCUCAGAGAAAUACUCACGAAUCCCGAGAUGUUCAAGGACCGUUUCGAUGAAUAACGUGUUCGCGUCGCUCACUAUUCUCAGCUCGCACCUAAAAAUAACCAAACCGUAUAAGUGAACGUGUACGUGUCUUUUCUUUAAUCAGAGCAUAUAAUCAAAAUUAAAAAUAUGGAAUUACCCUAACGCAUGAGCAGAUUUGAUAGCAGGGAUGACACGAGGAUGGAUGGGGAUUCUUCUCAAGACUUGUUUGAUUUCUUCAAUGGUUUUGCCAUGAUCAUGAAGCUCCUUCAUCAUCCGAGCCUGUUAUUAUGAAAACCAAAUAUGAAAUAUUGAUAUUGGGUUGAAUGAAAAUCAGAAAAUAUAGUUAGGGAUGGAUGCACAAACCAUGAGAGAGUUAAAAGGCAUUGUGGGGAGAAGCUGGUCGAACAAAUCAGUGAAGCCAAGUUGAUCGACGACCCAAUUAUCACUGUCCACGUCGAUGAUCGUCUUGUCGAAAUCGAAUACGAUGACAAUGUUGUUCUUGUUAGCCAUUGUCUGAGAAAGCUGAAAAAGAAUCUCGUGGAAAACCUUAAUGUAUGAUUGUUGUGGAAUGUUUAGAAGAUGAGUGUGAUUUAUAUACAAGUGAAAGAGAGAUACGAAUAGGGUUUUUUUCUCGGAAGAUGCCUUUGGAAUAUUACCUUGCGCGUAUGCAAAGAAAAAUUGAAAUUUGGUUCUUAUUUUUAUUAACCGUUGGAUGGUAACGAUUAAGGUCAAAUAUUGACUAAGUGUGCUGAUCGGACGGUGCUGACGGCUCUUAGUUUAUUUUGUGGGGUAUUUAUUAUUUUAGAUUGGCUUGUUUUUGACCCAAAAAACAAGAUUGGCUUGUUAAAAGUUUCCUUUUAUGUGGAAUUUUAGGCAGUUGAGAAGACGCGGACAUGAGACAAAAGAAUAUUCUACCUAUUAAUCCGUUUCUCUAUCUAUUUAUUAAAAUAAAAGUAAAUUAGUUACAAACAAAAAAAAGAGAGUAUGAGAAAAAAAUCAACCAUAAAAAAGAAGUUUAUGCAACAUUAGUAUAUAUAUACAUAAUACAAGUAUUAUAUAUAUAUAUAUAUGCUAUUUUGGGUAAGAAUAUAAUGUUUCAUUAUUGAGGGGUUUUGUUUGUUCAUGUGUGUAUUAGACUAUUAGUUUUGAUGAAUUUUCUCAACUAAUUACAUUUAUGUCGACAUAUUUUUUCUACGUUAACAUUUAUUACUUACUUGGCAAAAGGAUUUUGUUCUAUAUAGUAUAUAGAUACAAAAUUUAAACAAACGGAAAAAAGAUGCAUGCAUGGGUAGUGGCUUUAUCGAUUAGGUCACAAACUUUACCAAUAAAGUUAAAACCAAAAAAUAAUUAUACUCGGUUGGAAUAACCUUUAGAACACUGAAUUUAUCAAAAUAUUAAAGUCUGGAAUACUAUGGAAAGUGCAUCAGAAGGCACCAGCGAGUAGGGAGGAAAGCUGGCAGGAAUAUUGAGUGACAAAUGUAAUAAGAGGAAUAUUCUUGGAGUUAAGGAUCAUCAGAACCCACUUUGGUGGCCACAUCUUUCAAUACUCAUCAAGCUGAUCUCUUCGUUAUAUCUAAUAAGAAAAUAUAUUUUUAAAACAUUUGGCCGUCGAUCACCUAACAAGUCUUAACAUGACAACACAACACUGUAUAUGUGCAUAUCUCUAUCUAUUAAAUAUACAUAUUUUUCGAAUGAUCAGACGUUAUCAUCAGAAGAUCCGCAUCAAAAGAAGCUUCUACUCCUCUUCCUCACGUCUUUAGAGACCUACUCUAAUAUAAAACACGGAGGAAAAUAAAUUAUUGUCGUUGCAACUCUGUAGCACCACGAAAAUCCACAAUAGUGAUAACUUGCGUGUCACGCGAUCUACUAGUUGAAUGGUUAAUUACUUUCCUCUAUCUAAGGGUCGCGUGGCGUGGCCAUAUAUGUUGCUCUCUACACUGUUUGGAAGGUUAGGAUAAUAAAUUGUCUUUUAUAUUUUAAGAGGCAUUUUCACAAGUGUAACAAGAACUGUGUACAUGCUGAUAAUUUUUGCCUAAAAAUAAUUAAGCCACUGAUAAUAUAGUUCUCGUAACUGAAGAUAUGAAGAUAUACAAACUACAUUUUAUUGUCGGUGGCGGUAAAAAUCACAAAAGGGUGUCUGCAAAUCAAUUGAAAAGGAGAGAUAUAGGGAGCUAAAUGCGUUCAAGAAGAAGAUAUGACAAAAGAAUCAAUAAACAAAUUUGAAGCACAACCCUCCCCAUCGUUUCAUUAUCGUACUAAAAUUGCCACACAACAUAAGCUGUUUCUUAAAAGAGUAAUAUAAACAAAAAAAAUAAAAAAGAAUCUUUAGCAACCCAAAAGAACAAAAGACAGCCUAAGUAGGUUUCUCCUUUUCAGACAAUUACCCUUCUGGUAAAAAAGGUAUCUCCUUCUUUGCUUUCCCAAUCUAACAUUUGUUUUAUCUUCCAACUCCUGAAAAAUAUUCUGUUGCUUCUUCCUGCUUUGGUCUUGGUCACAGCAUACCUCUGUUACGACUACAAUGUUUCUGGUUACAUAAUCACUUUGGUUGUUAAACGAGAGAGCGAGAGAAAAGGGAGAAAAUGGAAAGUUAAAAUGGAGCAAGCUGGUUCCAUGUUUCUUUUCUUUCUUCUCCAGUUCAUCCAUAAUACAUGUACAAGCUGUUGGCUGCUGCACAAGCAAUUGAGUUCUCCGUUGGGUGCCAAGCCAUAUGCAGCAACUUAGUUGUGAAAUCGUGUGCGUUUCCGUUCGCAUCUGAUCCUGGACUCUCUGAUCCUGCAUCCAACACACAAAUUUUCACUCCAAAAGAAAACAGAAAAGGCUUGAAUGUGUUUUACUGUGACCACUACCACUAACCUCGUCUAACCACGCUUGUCAUAGAUCUGGAAGAUCUCGCAGGUGUCUGGAUUUGCCUCCUAAUGUAAACCAUUGAUUCACAAUUGAUCAACAUACACUUUUAUGACUUGGGUUUAGCUAUCAAUGAUCUCUGUUUUUCAACUUACCUCAUCGGGUUUUUGCUAGCUUCCAACGUUGCAGCUUCAGUACUUCCUUGUGACGCUCCAAAUACGCGGAACAGAUUGCUGGUUUCACGCAUGUCAUUGGUUCAUCUCUUAUAUAAGAUAGAAAAGUAUUGAAUUGACUACAAGACAAACAAUCAAACCUGUAAGAGCCUGUUGCUACCCUCGAUCCAUCACCACUCAGACAACACUCGAAUUUAUCAAAGAUGGAGUCAUUUUCAUAGAGAUCACAUAGCUGCAACAGGGUAAAAAAAUAAUAUGGUUAGUUUUCCAUACAAGAUUAUCAAAUUAUAGAUGCCCACAGAAAGAAGCUCUCACCCUUGGUCUCAGAUGUUCAUGAACCUGGUAAGACGCAACUGGACCAGAAUCCAUGUUUAUGUCCCACAGCUGAAACGUCAGAAAAGGCAGAUAUCAGAAAGAACUGUAGGAUACAACUAUAUUGGCAUACCAUAAGAAAAUAACUAUACACAUGGGAAUCAGAUGAUUUCCAACCUUGAGGGUCAUGUAAUCGCGACUAAGUAUGUAUCUCCCAUUCUUUGAGAAUUUAAUAUCUGAAAUUGAGGCAAUUAUCUCUGUGAAAAAUGAUCUUGAACCAGGUGCUUCCGGUUCUUCAAACCUGUGAUAGGAAGUAACAAUUGUCAGUGGUCUGACACUUUUAGCCUAAUAAUCUUCACUUCCAUGUCAUUUACUACAAGAUAAGAGAAAGAUUUGAAAUGAACCUACUUAUUUAUAUCCCUUGCUUACUUAGAAUUUCAACUUAGUUUAAGCACAUAUCGCAACCCGCUCUGUCAAUCCAGAAAAACACUACCCUUUUCGAUAAAAGGAUGAGGAGAAUAGAACUUACAAUUUAGUAUGAGAAUCGCACAGAGCUGAUUGCCUCAUAUCAAUCAAACGGAUGGAGCCUUUUGAACUGCUAUAUGCGAGCAUAUUACAAUGGAUUGGGUGGAGCUCAGCUGAUGUAAUAACCUCUGCAGAGACCAUGUAGCAUUCAAAAACAUACCAGUUAAACUCAGCUGAUGUCAAAAGAAGAAAAGUUCAAAUAAGGACGUUAUAACUUCUACCAAAAUAAUGGAAGAAAGCAUACCAGUUAAGUCCUCCAUGUUUGUGGGCUUAACAUCAACAAUAUUGAAACUCUGGUUGCUGACUUCCAAAUUCCAGAGAUUGACUCGCAGAUCAUCAGCCGAAAUAAAGGUUUCUCCAUCGCUUCAAAGAUUAAGGAAAUGGUACAUUAUCGCAAUGCAGAAAAAUCAGUGAACUGUAACGCAUGCAUGUAUAGGUUGUGAAAUUUAAAUUAACGAAGUACGAUAAUGUGAAGGGUAGAACGAUAAAAUUCUAAAACAUAUCCUAGAUUUUUUCCCGGGAUGGAAACUAAAGGAGUCAAGAAGUGGUUUAAAAGGUAUCGAGAGCAAAACAUAUAACUCGUGUGAAAACUUAAGAAAGAGAUUACCUGCUAUUUGAGAUUGAAUUAAUAUGGUAAUCGUGAGCAUGCGCAUACACUCUUCGGCAUCUAGCCACAAGGUUUGUCUCCUGGCUAGUCACCUAGAUUAAAUAUGCAGAACGACCAUUAUUCCAAGCCAAGUAACAGUUGAUUAAUGCAUGUCACAAAAAUUUGGUACUGAGCUUUACUUACGACCAAGGGAAACAAUGACAACUAGUACACUCCCUACCUUUCACAACUAAAUAAUAUGAAAACAUGCACAACCUACAGUCUUAAAGUACAAAUCAACCACAUAGAUUACUGGAUCCACUCUUUCUACUGGGGAGAAGCUCCGGCCAUGGCAGGUUGGAUAUCUAUAUGCAUUUAGUCUUCAGAAUCCUGAAUCUAUAACUCUAUUUGACACCAAAAAAAGAAGAAGAAAUAAUAUUGCAUAGAGUACAACUACCAAAGGCAAACGCAGAGAUGGAAUGCCUCCUGGCGGGAAGGGAAAGUCCUUGCUCAGGUAGUCUUGUGGUUUAUCGGCAUGUACUCCAUUAGCAAUUAAUGGAAGAGGGCUACUUGAACCUGGAUCUUUGGACGGAUCAAUAUUCAUUUCAGAAAUUUUCUUGAUCUUCUUCUCUUGUACCUGUUUGAUCAAAAAUGCAUAGAGGGGUAAGAAACUACUCAUCCUGUUUUUAAUGGAGUCUUGGAAGCAUAACCAACAAGCUUCUAGACCACUUUCACGAGUGAGGCUGAGACCUAUAAUAAUUGGAAACAAGAUAAAAGGCCAUCCAGAUCUCGCACCUUCCAAUAUUUGAUGGUUUUAUCAUUUGUGGAAAGCAGAAACAAUGCACCAUUUGCUGGCUGACACCAUCUGAUUUUGUUGAUUUUUUCCUCUAUUUCCAAACUCUUGAGAUAGUCGAACUGAAAGAGAUUGGAGAGCGAGUUUAUUUUUUUUGUAGCACUAGCAUCACACUUAUUUGUAAGUGAAAUCUGGUGAUAUCUUUCAACGUACCUCAGGUUCAUGACUCUGAAACUCUGUUUUGUAUCGAAACUCAGGAUGCCUAACUGUGUAAUCCAUCUGCUCAGCAUCCCUCCUGGAUCCACCAUUCUGAAAAUAACAUUGAAUAAGAAUGCAUUACAGCACAAAAACAGACGAUUGAAGUAAAUCUCGCAGAAGAAAAAGGGACGCACAUCUUUAGUAUCCGUCCUCUCAAAAAGAACUACUCGGCCCCCACGGUCACCAGUUGCGAGAUGGUCUCCACUUUUAUCAAACUCAAUGGCUGAAAUGAUGUCAACUGCGGAAACAAAUUCAUGCAAAAAAAAAAAGAAUCGUCAGAUAAACAGGAGGAAGAAUAUUCUACUCCAUAACAUAGAGAAGGUGAAACAGUGAAGUAGACUACUACAACAAGAAGAGAAAUGCCGAGACACAGCAAAUUAAAUUUGUCUGAAAACCAUCUUGCUACAUUAGUACUCCAAAAAAUCACAUCAGCCAAAAAAGAACCAGCUCAAUAUUACAAAUUCAAAUAUAACUCAUGAACCAAAAAUGCAUAACAAAUGAUAACCCUACACACUUCCAGCUCGACAGACAAUUCAUCAAACGCUUUCCUUUGAUUUUUUAGCAAAGUCGAGAAAGCAUUCUAAUCAGUGGAAACAGUAUGGAAUAGAACAGACAGAAGCUUAGAUCACUAACAGUGCAAUCAAAGACAAAGUCACAUAGAUUCAUUCAUCAAUGGGGCCACUAAGCAGUAUAGGAAGAAGUCAAUAAUAAUCCCCCUAUCAUCCAAAUCAGAUCCAAACCACAAAAUCAAAAUCCUUAGUCCUCAAAUAAUACCCUCUGGAUCUAAAACUCUCUAUCUCCUCGAAAACACUUGACAAUCUCUAACGAGGUAGGCAAUUAUUAUUUAUUUACCUUCAUGGACUUCUUCUCCGGCGGUUCGCUCGCCGAAGACCUGAGAGAAUCUCCACUCUAGAGACGGAGGAGGACCACUAGCAGCGGCGGAGGAAGCAGCAUCGUCACCUCCGUUCAUUUUUCUUUCUUAUUGCGAAGAUAAUCCAAUUAAAAACAAUCUGAGCUUCCAAAUCUUAAUCACCGAGUCGAAGAUCGCGUCAUCACUAUAACACAUUCCAUUCCAUAGCUUUCUUCAUCGGUUUCGCGAUUGGAAGCACUUGAUCGAUGAUUGAUUUCGUCUCUCUCUCUCUCUCUUUCUCAAGGAAAAAAUGGAUUUUCGAUUCUCUCUCUCUCUCUCUCUAGAAAAUGAAGGAGCGAGAGAAGAAAAUACGCCUUCCUCUUUGUCUCUUUCUAAAAGGAUAAAAUUGGAAUUACGAUCCUUUUUUUUCUUUCUUCGGGACCAAACGAACGAAGGAACAAAUCGUAUUAAGUAAUGUCUAUUACUAUAAUGUUUUUGUCCCGAUAUCAAUUUUAUUGUUAGAGUUACUGGCUGUGACAUUCUUUUAUCCGAUCAGUAAAUUAUAAAUGGACGGUGACAUAUGGCUUCGCGUAUCAUUGGUCAGUUGUGGAGGUGCGCUUGCCACUGUUUGUAUGAUGGGGAAUAUUUAUAAAUAUCAUUAGUGCCAUUUCUAAUUAAUUAAUUUCCCCAGUUAUCCUAAAAUUCCAUUUGCAGUUUUGCACAUUGUUUGCUUUCUGCGAAAAACUUUUAUUAUAAAACAAUAUUAUAGUAGGAGAUGCUCAGAACAUUGUACUUAGAAUAAUACUUUCUCUUUCUUAGCAAGAAAAUAAUCGUUUUCUUACGUAAUUUCUUUAAAAUGAAUACAUCUGUAGGGAGACUUUCAACGCAAGCGGUAGAAAAAGAUUGAACCAGUCUAAAGCCAGUAAUAAAAUGUAAAUAAUGAGUAUCAGAUUAGUCUGAAUGUCAGUGUUUUGGAAACUUAGGAUAUAAACGGGAUCAUGAUGUAUUUGUUGUUUUAUCUAGAGUUCACAAGUUUUUUAGAGCCCAAUACAAUAGGAUACAGAACAAGCCCAAGUUAAUAUAGAAUCCCAAAAACUCUAAACACAUGGGUUUAUUGGCACAUCUUUAGGCUCCUAAAUAUUGCAUUAUGCUUGUUAUUUACCUUAGUGAAUGGGGCUCUUAAAAAACUUAUAGAAAGCAGAGCACGUUUUUCAAAUAUUUUCAUUAACACUAUCAUCAAGGUACUGGAUUUUGCAAUAUAUGGUUUGAUGUUUUAAUCUCUUACUGUGAGUGAAAAUAUCUAUCACAUGCUCUACUUAAGGAUACUUAAGCGAUACUGGAAUGUUUAUGGAUGUGUAAGUGUCAUUCUCUUGGUUAAUGUCAUGUUUAUCUUGUUUCUUGAUAUAUCCCAGAAAUGUGUGUGUUCUAGUUUUAGGGUCUAGGUUUUAGGAUGAAAAUCGUUCAACCUUUUUUUUUAAAACGUACUUUAUUCUUCCUUUCUCUUCCAAAAGGGACAUUGUUUCCAAAACUACAAUUUAAAGAAAAAACAAAUAUAGUAUGAACGAGAAACCAAGAUGAAGAAUAAUAGAGAUAGACACAUGUGAAACGAUCAGGGGCGGAUCUAGGAGAGGCAUUAGUCGGGGGCAUAAAGAUAAGGUUUGAGUUAGUCGGGGAACUUUCAUAAAAUUGAGCUAGAUUUAACACAACUGUUUAAAGAAAAUCAAAAUUUAGUACGGGACACGUGACCCCGUUGGUCGUAACGUACGUCCGCCACUGGCAACGAUGAUAUAGUUGUGACGAGUUCUGGUCCUCUGGACCACUUGACCUUUAAGGAUCAAAAUGAAGAAACCAAAGUUGAAGAUAUGUUUCAGACCGAGUUGUAAUUGUUUGAGCACGCUGUGCUCUGGACGUAGGAACGGUGCGGUCAAGACCUAUUUACUUAGCUUUCAAAAGAACCUUGAAUUCCUUGAUGAGAAGAUGAGAUGGUUUACUAGCUGAGGUGUGCAGUCUCGAAUUUUUUCUCUUUUCACAGAACAUAAACUAUAUAUAGCUUGAACCAGAAAAUAACAAAUGGUUCUAACCUUGGCGUUUGGAGAUAAUGUAGAAAGCCAGUUGAUCGUCGCCUCGAAAUGCAUGCACUGGACUGGAGGAGUGAAUGUUGUAUUAUUGAAAAAGAAGGCCCAUACCUCUUGAGAAUAAGAUCAACCGAAAAUAUAUAUAUGGUCUCGAUCUUCAUCUGACGCAUCGCCACGAAGACAAGUUGACACAAACAUUUAAACCCCACUGCCGAAGUCUAUCCCGCGUUGGAAGUUAAUACAUAUAUAAUGAUGAUUGUAUAUAGUUUACAUACACAUACUUGUAUAGUGUAGAUGUUAGUGUAGAGUAGUCUAAUGUAUGAGUAUAAAUACUCCUCCUUGUACAGAUUUUAAUCUUAAUGAAGAUAUUUUCAUAUUAGAUUAUGUUAGUUAAUAUGGUAUCAGAGCGUUUGAGCUGAGCUCAACCUCCGAUCUUCUUCAUCGAUCGUCGAUCGUCGCUUCCGAUCAUCUCCGAUCAUCGUCGAUAUUCUCCGAUCUUCAUUCCUCUCCAUCUGACCUACAUCCGCCUUCAUCUUCCAUCGUCUUCCGCAUUUUUCAUCAUUCUCAUCGUCUUCAUUCAUCUUCGAUUCACCUUUGAUUCAGCCGGAUUUAAUCUUGAUUUCUACUUUCCUUCACUCACUAUGGGAAAGAGAAAGUGUAACUCCAAGUAUUGAAGCGCUACUCCGGAUAAUCAAUCUCCGACUCGUCGCGAUGGAUCUCCUCAAUCUAUUCCUCCUCGCGAAGCGUCUGGAUCUUCGAAUCAAGCUCAAAAUGUUCAGAAUCUUGAACCUCAGGCUCUGAUUCGUCUCUCUAAACCGUUUGAGGUAUCAAACUCUCCUGAUAGCAUUCAUAGUCCGUACUAUCUGCAUAGCUCUGAUCAUCUUGGCUUAGUACUAGCAUCUGAAGCUUUAGACAGAACGAACUAUAAUAUCUGGAUAGUUGCUAUGACUACUAGUCUAGAGGCGAAGAACAAACUUGGAUUCAUUGAUGGAUCUAUUGCUAUGCCUGCUGAAACUGAUCCAUAUUAUAAGAUAUGGUGCCGUUGCAACAAUAUGGUGAAGUCAUGGUUGCUCAACAGCGUUUCUAAGAAGAUAUACACUAGUAUACUCUACUUCAAGGCAGAUGCAGACAUUUGGAAGGAUUUACACUUUCGUUUUCACAAAUCCAACCUUCCAAGACUAUAAAAGCUGAUGCAUCAACUCCACUCUCUCAGGCAGGGCAAUAUGGAUCUAUCUUCAUAUCACACUCAAACUCAGUCUUUAUGGGAAGAACUGAACAGCCUACACGUUCCAGCUCGAACUGCGAAAGGUCUUCUUGCUCAAAAUGAGAACAACAAGGUUAUUGACUUUCUCAUGGGCCUCAAUGAUAGCUAUGAUCACAUCCGUAGUCAGAUUCUCAUGAAGAAGACAUUACCUUCUAUGUCUGAAGUCUAUAACAUUCUCGAUCAAGAAGAUAGUCAGAGGUCUGCUCAGAACUCUUCUCACACUGAGCCUGAUUCAAUCACCUUUCAAGUUUCUUUCAACCCUAACUACGGCAAGAACCGUUCAGUCAGCACUCAUUGUGGUGGUUAUGGUCACAUUAUUGACCGCUGCUACAAAUUGCAUGGAUAUCUCCCAGAAUUUAAACCCAAUGGGAAGUUCUAUCCUAAGAAGACUCAAUCUCAGAGCUCUCAAGUAGCAGUAAAUGUGAUCACUAUUCUGACUGAACAUCCGGAAGUUAUAGCUUCUCCAGGAUCUUCUUCUCUCACUCUGGAACAGAUGUGUAGAACCUAAAAUCUACACUAAGUAUUUGAUAGUGAUCGGGAGUUCAAUCUGGGGAAGAAAAAGGAUGUGGACAACGAUAUCCUUAGAACACAACGGUAUAAUCAAGUAUGAGUCGGCGAAAAUGGACUAUAUUCGCAGGUCGAAUAUCAUAAAGAUAUCGGGAAAGAGAAGAUCGUGACUGAACUCGAGAACGAGCUGCCUACGUACCCGUCGUGGGAUCGAGUCUAAACGUAGUUCGAUUAUCAUCAUCUCGAAAUGGAUUUUGGUUUCAUCGGUCUUGAGCAAGAUGUCGGGUUUGUCGGUCCCGAUAGAUACAUCGAGUUCGUCGGUUCUCAGGAGAGACAUCGAGUUCGUCAGUUCUCAGAAGACGUCGGUUUUAUCUCUUACCAUCUCGGGCGAGAUGUCGUUUACCUCCUUUAGAACGAGACCCCAUUCACGAAUGGGGAACGAGUUGAACUCGAGACGGUCGAUUACAAUCUCGUUAUAUCGUUUAUCGUACGAAGGAUAAGUCUUGUUCUUCAACAAACGUGGAGACGUAUUGGAGUGAUAGAGAAACGUGUAUGAUGAUGUGUAGUAAACCCUUUGUCUUAUUGAUCUAUGUUAACGCAUGGAGCCUGGAUUUACUAAGUGCACACGUCUCCUCCUUAAUAAUAAUGGUAAUGGAUGGUGUUUUAUUUGUCGUUGUGAGCCCCCGUAAGCUCUCUUGGAAGAUGACCUUAUAAAUCAAUUGCUUUGUCUUUUUAUAAGGGUUUCAAGUUGUUGCACGUGCUUCCUAAAAUUCAGUCUUUGACCUCUUCUUACGUCCAUGUGAGUCCGAGAAAUCGGUAACUAACUUUUGACUUCGUCUUUGACGUUUAAUAACAACACGAGACUUGGUGAUGAAUUAUUGUCCCACAAUAAUUUCUAUAAUAACAUAUAAUUAUAGUAGGAGUGAUUUGGUACAAAUCAUGGUCCAACAAGAUGCACCAGUUCAUUGCUCACUUCAGCUCACUACUUCACAAUCAGAGCAUCACAUCAUCAAAAGACGGACUUCUUCCUUCGUCUUCAGCUGUACCAAAGGCUUGCAAAGCGAAUGGUACUUUCCUACCUCUAUACACUUUUUCUCUUAUUGGCAUGCCUUCAUCUCUUUCUUCUGGAAAUACUAUAGUUUCGAGUGAGCCUUGGGUUAUAGAUUCAGAUGCUACUCACCAUGUUAGUCUUAACAAAUCCCUUUUCACUUCUAUUAAACCCUUUAUCAAUAUCUUUGUUACCUUACCUACUGGAAACUCAGUGAGCAUUAUUGGAAUAUGUUCUAUUACUCUUAGUGAUAACAUAACACGUAAAAAUGUUCUUUACAUUCCUCAAUUUCGUUUCAACCUGUUGAGUGUUAGUUAUUUGACUAAGGAUACUGAAUCUAUGGUUGGUUUCACUGCAUCUGAUUGUUUUAUACAGGAUCUUACACGAGAGUUGAUGAUUGGUAAGGGUACACAAGUUUCCAAUCUAUAUGUUCUUGAUUCAGGUUCUUUAAUUUCUGCUUUUCUUAAUAAUCAGAACAAUGUUGCUUGCUCUGCUGUUGUUGACAAUCAUACAUGGCAUAAUCGUUUAGGUCACCCUUCUAUGGCUAAGAUUGAUACAUUGUAUGAUCACUUAUCAUUGAAUAAAACAGAGAAUGUGUCCUAAAGCUAAACAAAAAUGUGUUCUUUUUCCAUCAGAUAAUCUUAUUAGUAAGAACACUUUUGACAUGAUUCAUAUUGAUGUUUGGGGUCCCUUCUCUGUUAUUACUCAUGAAGGAUAUAAGUAUUUGUUAACCAUAGUUGAUGAUCAUAGUCGUGCCACUUCGAUUUAUCUGUUGAAAGCUAAGUCUGAUGUUUUAACCGUGUUUCCUGCUUUUCUCACCAUCGAUGAAACACAAUUUCAUAAAACUGUCAAAGCUGUUAGGUCCGACAAUUCUCCUGAGUUAUCAUUUACCAAUUUAUACCGCUCAAAGGGUAUUCUCUCUUUUCACUCCUGCCCUGAAACACCUCAACAAAACUCUGUAGUAGAGAGAAAACAUCAACAUCCUUAAUGUAGCUAGAUCUCUUCUCUUCCAGUCUAACGUUCCUCUAGCUUAUUGGGGUGAAUGUAUCUCUACUGCUGUCUUUCUUAUAAACCGAAUUCCCACACCUGUCUUAGACAAUAAAUCUCCUUAUCAAAUCUUAAUGGGAAAAAAACCAUAUUACAAUAGUCUUAAAAGCUUUGGGUGUCUUUGCUAUAAGAGUACGUCCACACAGGGUAGAAAUAAGUUUGCCCAUAGAGCUAAAACAUGCGUUUUCUUAGGAUAUAGAGUUCUAGAUCUUGAAACUCAUAGUAUUUCCAUUUCCAGGCAUGUCAUAUUUCAUGAAAACAUAUUUUCUUUUGUUGCUUCCUCACUUUCCAAUACGGCAAAAACUUUCUUUCCACGUCUUGCAAUGUCUGAUGAUAAUGUACCUUCUGUACCAUCAUCCUCUGGUGAAACAUCGGCACCUGCCACUUUACCUUCUGAUGUAGGUUUGUCUUUCGCAACUACAUCUUCUCGCAUUCGAAAAAGACCUGUUCACUUGGAAGACUAUUUGUGCAAUUCUUCUCAUUCUCUUUAUCCCAUUUCAGCUUUUCUUUCUUAUGAAAAAACUCUCUUCUGAACAUUUUGCUUUCAUCAAUUCUACUGUCAAUAUCACUACUCCCAAAUCUUUCAAUGAAGUGAAGAAGUCCAAAGAGUGGUGUGCUGCUGUGGAUGAUGAAUUUGUGUCUUUAGAACGUCUUGAUACUGAGUUUCAUCGUUUCAUGUCCAAGAUGGGUUUUCUCAACAUUUUAAGCCAUCUUGAGGGAGACUAAUACAUAUAUAAUGAUGAUUGUAUAUAGUUUACAUACACAUACUUGUGUAGUGUAGAUGUUAGUGUAGAGUAGUCUAAUGUAUGAGUAUAAAUACUCUUUAUUGUACACAUUUUAAUCUUAAUGAAGAUAUUUUCAUAUUAGAUUCUGUUAGCUAAUAGAAGUCUGUUUAAAAAUAAAAAUCGUUCAACUUGAACAUGUGAUUUAUAGUUUUCCUGAUAGAAGCUAAAUUUGGAUUGUCACGUUGGGGAGUUUAGGGCUUUAAUCAAUCUUUAAGUGGGUCUUGUUAACUUAGAGACUGUAUGCGCAAUCUGCAGACUUUGUUGUCUUAUUCCAUAUGAUAAUCUUUUAAAGUUUAUCUCUUUUAUUUUUGAAAACGUCCAUUUUAAAAGAGUUUAUUUAUAUUUCAAAAAUAAACACAAACGAAAAUUAAAUGAUACGUAGAAGAUUAUAGAUCAAGGACGGACCACUCUCUAAAUCCUAUGUUGUAAAUCACAUUUUCUUUGUUGUUAUCUAGAUGGACGGCUCUCGUAAACUAUUAUUCAGUAGGGUUUGGUGACUGAAACAUACUAUAUAAAAGAUCAUAUUAAAUUCGUUUGGGGCCGGCACGCGCAAACGUGGCGACCAACCAACAUAAGAUCAAAAUGGAUAAAAGAAUAUUUUUCUUGGUUUCGACUUUUGAAUUCGUAUUGCCAUGUGCGUAAAACGAAUUAAAUUAAGGACGCCAAGGGUUAUAUAAUAUGUCAUCGUGCACAUGGAAUGAUUGCGUUUGGUGGAAUAAUUUUUUUUUUUUGAACAUUUUCGUAAAAUAAUAAGGUGGAAUAAAUUAAAAAUUAAGUUUUGAAAACUUUUAGAGUCAUUUAGCCCGAUAUUCAUAUUCAGCUUGGUAAUUAGCUAUUCAUGCAUAAAAAACAAUAUUUGCGUAUCCGGUUAGUGAGGGAUGAUGAAAUUACCUUUAUGUCCAUGCGAAGUGAGAGAGUCGCUAGAAGUCUAUGCUGUAGGUAGAUUUAGGUAGGGUAGUCUUGUGUCAGUUAGUAUGUCAAUUUGUGUCAGAUUCAUAUUGUGUUCAAGAUACAUUAAGAGAUUUGCUACAUACAACUUUAUAUGAUAUUUGAUUCCUUGUUUCACUGUAUUUUCUUGGAUCUUCUUUUUUUUUGCCACGAUUUUUGGGUUCUUCUUAUGUCCUUUUUCUUUUGCUAAAAUUUGGAUCUUCUUAUUUCCUUGUUUCACUGUAUUUUUGGGUUUGGUUCCUUGUUUCAUGAUGGAACUUGGUUAUUUGGUCCAUUGUUUUAUCGUAUUUCUAGAUUUUUCAAUCUGAGUCUCCUCCAUACUGCGUCACCUCCGCGUCUUGUCGAACACUUCGAUGUGUCUCUUCGUCCAGAUCCGCCGUUCAUCGCCUUGCUCAUCUCCCGCGGUUGUCAUGCUCUGGAUUUGGAGUUGGUGGCUUUCACCGUCGCGACUCCAAUUGGUCUUCAAAAGCUCGCUGAGACAACAAUGGCCAACUUUGGCUCUUUUGCAUAUAUGAUCCUAAGAUUUUUCAUAGUUUUGUUUCUGACUCCGAACUCUUGCAUUGUACAUAUAUUUUCUCGAAUUAAUCCCUAGCGUUUUGAUUGUACAUUCUAGACCUCUUCACAAAUGAAAAAAUGAUCUUUGAUCUCUGUAUAGUUUGUAUUUUUGACCUGAAACUUACUAAGUUGAAGAACUAUCUUUGAAGUUUCAACCUAAAACUUCAAAUGUUCACUUUAGCCUCUAUCAAUGAAAAUAAACCUAUAAAUGCAGUAUAUACACCUAAAUGCAUCAUAAAGCCACUUCAAUGAACUAAAAUAAGAUGAUAUACAUAUCAAGGUAUAUCACAGGUUAAUUUUGGCUAACAAAUGAUAUUGUUGGCUAUUACAAGCUUUAUCCGGAUUAACUUCCUAAUACCCAGUUAAAACUCACACGUACAUACUACUUCAUCUCUUAUAAUUAAUCAACUUGAGAACAUGAUUUGUAAUCCAGUUAUAAUACACAUUGAUAUUACAAACAAAAAAAACCUAUUAUCCGACUAUUACUGUCAUAAUCCAGAUUAUCUAUUUAUUAUCCGAUUAUAAAACUCAUUUAUAAAUAUUUUUGUAGAUAUUAUGAUAAAACAAGACUAUUUUAAGAUAUUUGAGUAGCUUAUAAAUUACAAUACCAACUCAUUGUCGUUUAGCAUCCAAAUUAAAUGGUUCAUACACAAAUUGUAUAUUAUGAAUUAUUAGCCAUUAACAAACUCUACAAAUAUAUGGGUAAAAGGUAGCCGGAUUAAAUCAUAGUUAGCUUCAGUAAAUCAAACAAAAUAUCUGGAUUUAAUCAAAGUUACCAAAUUUACGGUUAACCAAAAAAAUAUGUUUGUAAGUCUUAGUAAUCGUCAUUGCUAUCUGGAUUAAAGAGGAAAUCCCUAGUAAUUGUUGUGGAUUAGCCACCGUCUACAGUGAUGAGAUCUAUAAACCACUAAUCAUAUAUUGAGCCAUACGAGAGAGCCAUGAGCAGCACGGCAGCUUGAUCUUCCUCUCCAAGCUUAUGUCGCUGCUUCACGAAGUAAAAAUGGAUAUAUCUUGCAGUGGUAUUGUGUUAUUACCAUUUUUGCAAUAAAAUUCAUGAAUGUGUCUAAUAACCGUACAAUAAAAAUAAUCCGGAUAAAAAAGAUAAUAUCUAGAAAAUACAUUAUGUAUUUGUAUCAUCAAUGCUUAUUAGAACCGGAUAAUACAUAGUUGAUCCGGAUUAUGAAAGACAGUUAAAAAGUCUUUAUAAAUUGUAUAAAUUAGAACAAAAACUGCAUUUUGUAGAAAUUGUAUAGUAUCUUGUAUCCCAUUCUUCCGUUAUUCCAGUACCAUGGACUAGCAAUAGCGGAACUAAGAAUCUGCACUGUCCCCUUGCGAAAUCAGAUGCCAUUACAACUUGCCUACCUUCUUAGCCGCUGAUCCCUACUACAACAUCAUCCAUUUGGAUCAUGGAGACAUUGGCACCUGUCAAAACCCAAAACAAAGAGAAGGUGGAAACAAAAUAAGAACCUGGUUGCUGCUUAGAAAGAAUCAAGAAGACUAAUUUUCAGAGAGAAAUACUGGUCUCAUUACCAUCACCAAUGGCAACGGUCAUGUCAGAAGUCCGGUUCUUUACAAGUGCAACGAUUUUAGUUUCUGAAAUGGAGCAACACGGUAGCAGAGUAUGCAGAGCAUUUACAUGCCACUUGGAAGAGCAACACGGUAACAGAGUAUGCAGAGCAUUUACAUGCCACUUGGAAGAACUGCAUAGUAAAAAGAAAAAAGAAAAGAAAUACAUAUGAGACUGGUACAGUCAAUAAUGAAGGCCAUCCUUCCCUCAUCACUUGCAAUACUGACAUUUUCUUCUUCUAAGCUCCUCGGACACGAAUUCAAUGAGUUACUAGUUUUUUUUUAUGAUGAGUUACUAGUUGUUACAAUUUGCCUCAUGUUUCUAGUCAGAAGCCUCGAUGAGAAUCCAUAGGAUAUUGGAGUUUCUUGCUUGUCACUUGUCAAGACCCAUACAUUAAUCCCUGCAAUUCUGAUAUAUUCGAGUGGGGACUUUCUGAGAUGUUAGCGUUCUGGCUCGCCGUUUCUGUACACCAUGGCGGCGAUGGAUCUGGAGGAGGUGAGAGGGGAUCUUCAAGAGGAAGAGGUACCUGGAUCGCGUAAAACUCAUAGAAGCUUUUUUUUUUAUUUGAGUCAGCUCUUUCUUGAGAUGAAAUUUGCUCAGAUCCUGGUCAGACAGUUAGGGGAGGAGAAAAGGAGAUCCGAAUCGGGAAAUAUAAUAGUAUGAACCGAAUCAAAAUCUUCACAAAGAAGAAAGAGAACAGAAGUGAGACAGUGAGAUGAGAGAGAUGAUGUAAUUACAAAUUUGAAUAUUGUUUAGCCUCCCACUGUUAACCGGUUGCGUGUAAUAGGGUAGAGUAGCGUAAUAAUUACAAGAUCAUAGACUUUAGAAUUUAGUGUGUCAGACUCAGCUCAGAGUUAUGGUAGGGGCAUCGUGGGUAAUAUGAAAUGUGUACAUUAUUAUUUUCGCAGCUAUGCCGUUUACUUAAUUAUUUUCUGAUUCCUAGCCAUAUGAUGCAAAUACUCAAACUUUUAUUUUUGAAAAAGGACCUAAAUUAAGCUUCCAAGAUGAGUACUCAAUCCCUUUAUGAAAGAUUUUCUAAACUUAUUUUUGUUCUAUAAAAUAGAUUAUACAUAUAUUAAAGUAUUUUUUUUAUAUUAAAAACAUUAUUAAAAAAUUUGAAUUGAAAAUAUAUCAUUGAUUAAUAAUUAUUAAAAAGUGUACAUUAAAAAUAAAUAAUAAUUUUAAUUAUAAACGUUAAUUAAAACCUUAAUCUAUGUGAAUACUCUAAAAAUCUUUUCUAAGGAACAAAAAUAUAUAUAACUGAAUAGUUUUUAAAAACUUUUUUUUAAAAAUGGUUUGAAGUGUCUCAGACCGAAAUCCAGACUAAUAUUUAGGAAGUCGGCCAACUGGUGACAAUCAAGCUUGAUUGUUGUACGUGAGAGGUAGAUACUGUUGCCACCUGAUUGAUAAUCUGAAAGGUAGAUUUCAAAUUUAAAAUGUUUACACUUUUCCAAACCCGCCUUACUAUCCGACCAUACCGACCUGGUUAUUCAAAGAAAGUUAAGAAAGCAGGUUAUCUUAUUUCAUCAAUACCACUAGCUUAUAAUGCUUACAUUUUAUAAUCAUGAUAGAAAGCAUAAUCCAAAAUAAGAAUAUGUAAGUGAUUUAAUAAGAUUUCUAAUACUGUUGAGCGAGGUUCAUUAUUUCAAUGUUGUAACUGCCAUGGAAUAUCAAAUUUUAUUUUUAGAUCAGGCCUGAGUUUUUUUGUUGUUGUUGUCUAGAGAUUUUCUCAAACAAGUUUAAAAUGAUCUAAAACAUGUUUCAACAAUUUAUUAGUAAAUUAGUAAAUUAAAAUUUUAGAUGUAGAAGACAUAUACAAUAUGUACCUAGAUUAUCAUAUAGUUCUUCUUUUGUCAACCGGAAGAUUGAAACCUAACCAAUUAAAGUAACCGUAUAGGACGAAAUGUCAAAAGAGAAUUAAUAUCAUGGCCAAAGAAGAGCCAUUCUGAAAUAAAAUUAAGAAAACAAAAACGUGGGAAAUACAAAAUAAAACUAAUUUCCAGAAAAAAAGGAAGAAGGAAGAUGACAAGUCUCCGAGUGGAGAGGGUGACGAAACAGCGUUGAAGUCGCGAAUUCGCAAAGUUAAGUUCACAAUCUCUGACAUUCAUGUUAAAAAAGCGCGCUUUUACAAAACUCCUAGUCUCUUAAAUAAUGCCAUUGCCAUAGCUUCCGAUCAAACGUUCUUAUUCAGUCCCCUUCAAAAUCAAGUUCUCACCUUUUAUAUUCUCUUGAUCUUUGUGGGUUUAGUGUUGGUGAGGUGUCAGAGUAAUCAAGUUCUCACCUUUUAUCCUCUUUCUCAUUCUGGGUCUGAGAGUUUCAAAUUUUCAGUCUUGAUUCGUCUAUUGAGAGAUUUCAACACAGAUGAUGAAUCUUGGGUUACUUGGAAUUACUCUGCUUUGCUGUCUCUUUGUCUCUUUCCGUAUAGGUUCUGUCUCAUGUCUAAACUCGGAUGGUUUGGCUUUACUUUCGCUUCUCAACCACUUCGACAAAGUACCACCUGAAGUCAAUUCCACGUGGAAGAAGAACACAUCUGAAGCCACUCCGUGUAAUAACUGGUUUGGUGUCAUCUGUGAUGAUGAUUCAGGUAACGUCAAGACUCUUAAUCUGAGUGGGUCUGAGGUUUCGGGCCAAUUAGGCUCUGAAAUAGGGGAGCUUAAGAGCUUGAUCACUCUGGAUCUGAGUAACAAUAGUUUCUCUGGUCGGUUGCCUUCCAGUUUACGAAACUGUACUUCACUUCAGUACUUGGAUUUGUCUGAAAAUGGGUUUUCCGGAGAGAUUCCAGUUACUUUUGGCAGCUUGAAGAAUUUGACUUAUCUGUAUCUCACUUCAAACUUCUUCAGUGGCGAGUUGCCUGAGUCCUUGUUCCAGCUUCCCUUGUUACAAGUGCUGAAUCUUGACCGCAACAAUCUUACCGGUCUGAUUCCUGCAAGUGUUGGUGGGUUGAAAGAGCUUUCAGAUCUGACCUUGUCUUAUAAUGAGUUGUCUGGUCCCAUCCCUGAGUCCAUUGGGAACUGCAGUAAGCUGGAGUAUCUGUACUUGCACAAGAACAAGCUUAAUGGUUCGUUACCGGAGAGUCUCAACCUGCUCAAGAAUCUCAGCGAAGUGUUUGUCAGCAACAACAGCCUUGGAGGGAGGAUUCGUUUCGGUUCAAGCAACUGCAAGAAGUUGGUGACUUUGGAACUGUCAUACAAUGAUUUCGAAGGUGGUGUUCCUCCUGAACUUGGCAACUGCAGUAACCUUGACUCUUUACUCAUCAUCAAAUGCAACUUGACUGGUAAUAUUCCAUCAUCAUUGGGUAUGUUAAGAAAGGUUACGCUUAUUAACCUCGGCGACAAUCGUCUCUCUGGGAAUAUCCCUCAUGAGCUUGGGAGCUGCAGCAGCUUACAUACUUUGAAGCUGAAUGGCAACCAGCUCCAAGGCGAGAUACCCGCUGCAUUGGGUAACCUAAAGAAGCUACAAAGCCUGGAGCUUUUCGAGAAUAAGCUGUCUGGGGAGAUUCCUAUCAGCGUAUGGAAGAUUCAGAGUCUGACACAGAUGGUCGUUCACAACAACACUCUCACCGGAGAACUACCAGCUGAAGUUACUGAGCUGAAGAAUCUUAAGAAGCUUUUGAUGUUUAACAACAGCUUUCAUGGAGGGAUACCGAUGAGUUUAGGUGUGAACAGAAGCUUGGAGGAGGUGGAUCUUAUUGGUAACAGUUUUACAGGGGAGAUACCUCCCAAUCUCUGCCAUGGACAGAAGUUAAGGGUUUUUAACUUGAAUUCUAAUCAGCUUCAUGGUAGCAUUCCACCGUCUGUGGGUCAGUGUAAGACCCUCGAGAGAAUCUGGCUUGGAGGAAACAAGCUUUCUGGUGUUCUUCCUGAGUUUCCUGACACACAUAGUCUUGAGUUUGUGGAAAUCAAAGGCAACAACAUUGAAGGAUCCAUCCCUCACAGCUUGGGAAGCUGUAAAAAUCUCCAGACAAUCAUCCUUUCUCAGAACAAACUCACCGGUCUGAUACCUCCAGAACUGGGAAAUCUACAAAACCUCCAACGGUUAUAUCUGUCACAUAAUCACCUAGAAGGUCCUCUGCCAUCUCAGCUAUCAGGCUGUGUGAAAAUGCUGGAGUUUGAUGUCGGGUCCAACUCAUUGAACGGUUCUGUUCCAUCGACUUUCAGCAGCUGGAAAAGCUUGACUACUUUGGUUCUCAGCAAUAAUCGGUUUUCAGGAGCCAUUCCACCGCUCUUGGCAGAGUUUGGCCGCCUAAUAGAUCUCCAGGUAGCUAGAAACGCUUUUGAAGGUAAGAUUCCUUCCUCUCUUGGCUUGUUAAAGCACCUGAACAGCUUAGACCUCAGUGGAAACAGAUUCACCGGUGAGAUUCAAUCCUUUCUGGGAGGUCUUGUCGUUCUCGUAAGGCUCAACAUAUCCAACAAUAAGUUGACAGGGAACUUAUCCGUUCUUCAAAGUCGUAGUUUCUUUCAGCUUGACGUCUCGAAUAAUCAGCUCACUGGUCCUAUACCGGAAAUGCUGAUAAAUAGUUCAUCAGUAUUUACUGGAAACCCAAGCCUCUGCAUUCAACCUUCUCACUCAGUAAGUGCUGUGAUCCGGAAAGAGUUUAAAACUUGCAAAGGUCAAGCCAAACUUAGCACCUGGAUGAUUGCCCUUAUAGCGGUUGGUUCCUUUCUAUCUGCAUUGGCUUUGCUUUUUGCUUUAGCUUUUGUUUUUCUCUUCUGCAAACGAGGAGUCAAGACAGAAGAUGCUCCUGUCCUCGUCGAUGAAGAAGAAGGCCUUUCCUUACUGCUUAACAAAGUUCUCACAGCCACUGACAAUCUAGACGACAAGUACAUCAUUGGAAGAGGAGCUCAUGGAGUUGUUUACAAAGCCUCAUUAGCCCCAGGCGAAGAAUACGCCGUGAAGAAACUCAUCUUCGCGGAACACGUACAUGCAAACCAGAAUAUGAAGAGGGAGAUCGAGACGAUCGGGCAAGUUAGGCAUAGAAAUCUCGUUCGGUUGGAAAGGUUUUGGAUCAGGAAAGAAAAUGGCCUGAUGCUGUACAAGUACAUGCCCAAUGGAAGCCUAUACGAUGUUCUGCACAGAAGUAAUCAAGGAGAAACAGGUCUUGACUGGUCUACAAGGUUUAACAUAGCUCUUGGGAUUGCACACGGGCUACAGUAUCUACACCAUGACUGUCAUCCACCAAUCAUCCACCGUGACAUCAAACCAGAGAACAUACUCAUGGACUCGGAGAUGGAGCCGCACAUUGGAGAUUUCGGAUUGGCUAGGAUUCUAGAUGACUCUACUAUUUCAACAGCCACCAUCACAGGCACCACUGGUUACAUUGCACCAGGUACAUUUAACUUCUCAGCAUAACGUUAUUUAACAUUUUGUUUUACUGUUGGUUUUAAUUUAUUGUUGCUAUCAAAACAGAAAAUGCGUACAAGACAGUGAGAUGCAAGGAAUCAGAUGUUUAUAGUUAUGGAGUUGUUUUGCUCGAGCUGAUAACGGGAAAGAGAGCAGUCGACCGAUCUUUCCCUGAGGAGACUGAUAUUGUGAGCUGGGUCAAGUCUGUGUUAAGCAGCUACGAGGAUGACGAUGAUUAUACUGUUAGUCAAAUCGUUGAUCCAAAGCUUGUGGAUGAGCUUCUGGAUACAAAGCUUAGAGAACAGGCAAUUCUGGUUACAGACUUGGCGCUUGUGUGUACAGACAAAAGGCCAGAGAACAGACCGUCAAUGAGAGAUGUGAUGAAAGAGUUGACUGAUGUGAAAGAUCUUGUAAGAAGCACUUCUGGUUCUGUUCAAUAAUUUUGGGUUUGACAGAUUUAUCAUAGCCACUAGUACUGAUUUAUUAUAAAUUAGCAUUGAGUAACAUUUGAAGAUCUGAGACAACAUAUAUGAUGUAUCCAAAAAUGCCUUUUAUAUUGCUUAAAUGAAAAUUGAGUAAUAGAGUUACAACAACAAGAGAGGCUUAUACACAUUUUCUUAUUUCAAUAUGUUUUAGCCUGUGCUACCAUUUAGCUCACCAGAGAAAGCACUAACAUAAGAUGUGAAGUUGGUUGGUGCCUGCCAUGAUGUUGAGAUCCCCCGAACCUUAAGUCUUUGCCUUAGAGGUUGGCUUUCUAUGGUUGCAGUAUCAUCUGCUCUCUGCAGCUCUGGUAACAGGGAGAUAGAGAGAUCCAUAUAAAGGCUUAACCAAUAUCAGUAAUGCUUGAACAUAAUUGUGGACAAAGCUUACUAUCUAAAUCAUUUCUCUCUAUAGCUCUUAUGCCUCUUGAUAAUCUUUGAGAUCCACCUUAGGCUGAAUUAUUUUGUCUUAGAACGUUGCCUUUAGCAGCAAAGCUCUGCUUGGCAGUUUGACCCAUUCCAUACUGUGUGUUGGGCCUGAAAGAAAUGAGAAGACGUCAGUUAGUGGAAGCACAACAAAAAGGGCAUAUUUGGGCCUAAACUACAGCCCAGCCUAUUAAGCAUACAAUUUUUUUUUUUUUAAUAUCUAGAGACAUAAUUUUCGACGUUAGGUUAGGUUUUGUCCAAUCUUUCACUAAUCUCCGCCUCGUGAGUAGAUGAUGUUAGGGUUGGCAACUCCGCCUCUAAGUUCUCUUCUAUACAACACGGUGAACCAUUAAUCUCCUUCUCCCGAACGGUUGGGUAAACGUUUAUCUUUGUAUAUUAUUAUUUUUCUCCUUUUCUCGCUAAGCAACCUGUAUUUUUGUUUUGAGAAUCUCACUUUUAGCCUUUUGGUAGGCACCACCGCACCAGACAGGAGCAGUGAAUCACAAAGAGAUCUACUUUGAUUGGUGGAAGUGAUAAUAGAUGCAGGAGAUUGUUUAAUUAGGUUGGUGAUUAAAGAGUGUUGAUAUGCCUUGAAUCUGGAUGUUACAUCUAAGCGAUGAAUGUUACAUCACGUAAAUCAUACCCGACUCAGUUGCAUCAAGAGCGUUGCAUCAAGUUAUUAUGGAUGUUGCAUCUGAUCGUGGGCUUAAGCCCAUGAGUCCGUUUAGUCUAGGGUUUUAGAUGCGAGAUGUUACUAUAUAUAUCUUGUAUUCGAAAUAACCCUGAACUUGCACUCUGUAAACUCAAUAUCGCCUCCAAUAAUAAGAUCUCUCUUUGCCCGUGGACGUAGCCAAGUUGGUGAACCACGUUAAAUCUAUGUGUCGUUGUUACAUCGCUUUUAUUCAUCUGUUUCCGCAUCUGUAUGUGUCGUUGUUACAUCGCUUUUAUUCAUCUGUUUCCGCAUCUGUUUCUUCUCACAAUUGUUACAACAAACUGGUAUCAGAGCUUCGGGUUGUGAUCUAGUGAGAAGAUGUCUGGAAUAAGAGCGAAGAUCGACAAGUUUGAUGGGAGAAAUAGCUUCAGUCUUUGGCAGAUUAAGAUGCAGGCGUUGUUGAAGCAACAAGGCAUCUGGGGACCAUUGUCAGAGAAGAAAUCUGAAGCAGCUGAUUUGGAGACUCUAGAAGAGAAGACGUUCUCAACAAUUUUGUUGUGUCUAGCAGACGAGAUCAUCAUCGAAGUGUCGGAUGAGAAAACUGCUGCUAGUUUGUGGCAGAAGUUGGAGAGCUUGUACAAGACAAAAUCUCUAACGAACAAGCCACUUCUGAAGUAACGCCUCUUUGCCUUGCGUAUGCAAGAAGGUAUUGAGCUUCGCGACCAUCUUGACAAGCUGAAUUCGAUAUUACUGGAGCUGUGUAACAUCGAUGUUAAGGUGGAGGAUGAAGACGCAUCACUAAUCCUGUUGGUAUCUCUGCCGAACUCCUUCGAGAACUUCGUGCAAUCGUUCAUUGUUGGCAAAAAUACAGUGAAACUGGAAGAAGUUAGGUCGGCGCUUCAUAGUCGGGAAUUGCGCCAUAAGACAUCCAGCUCAGGGACAGACAAACAAGCAUCGGGGUUGUUUGUCAGUGGUGUGAAGGGACAUCGGAACAGAAGGACUUCGAAAGAUAGGAAGUCGUUUCCAAGAGGUCCUAAAGCAUCUGAUAUUUGCAACUAUUGCAAAGAGAAGGGACAUUGGAAGUCAGACUGUCCCAAGAUGAAGAAGCAUCAAUUUGGGUCUGUUGCAGUAGCCAAGGAUGAAACCAAGUCUGACGCAACAUCGCUCUUGUUGUGCACGGACACACACACUCUUCUGAUGUGUGGGUUCUUGAUACGAGAGCAUCCUACCAUAUGACACCGAGGAGAGAGUGGUUUUCAGAGUACACAAAGGUACUUGACAGCAAGAUUAAGAUGGCAAACGACUUUGUUUGCAAGAUUGUUGGGAUCGGCUCAAUCAAGCUCAGGACACAUGAUGGUAGAUUAUGCACAUUGAACAAGGUUAGGCAUGUUCCAUCAAUGACAAAGAAUUUGAUAUCCGUGAGUCUUCUGGACAGGAAAGGGUUCAAAUAUUUGGGUGGCGAUGGAGUUUUGAAUGUCUACAGGGGUUCUGAUGUGAUUCUGAAGGGUUUCAUGAACGGUACUCUGUAUUUGCUGAAGGGUACAACGGUUACCGGUUCAAGUUCUGAUGUGAUUUUGAAGGGUUUCAUGAACGGUACUCUGUAUUUGCUGAAGGGUACAACGGUUACUGGUUCAGCAAAUGUUGCAUCGCCAGAGAUCCAAGAGGAAGAUAUGACUAAGCUAUGGCAUAUGAGGCUUGGACAUAUGGGUGAGCGUGGGAUGCAACAUCUGUCGAAGCAAGAUAUGCUUCAUUCUGAUAUUAGUUUGGAACUCUGCUCGAAAGAGUUUAAACAAUUUUGUAAGGAUGCAACAUCUGCCAAGCAUCUUACAGGCAGGGGAACACCACAGCGGGAUGGUGUUGCAAAAUGGAUAAACCAGAUAAUGCUAGAGAGAGCGAUGUGCAUGCUCUCGAGUGCUGAUUUAAAGGAUGUAAGAGUGAGUACAAGGAAAUGGGUUCUCUUGGUUUUCUUAUGUUUGACAGGGUAAAGCUUCUUUGAGUUCAAGUGAUCCUACAGGAUUGGAUUCUGUAAGGGAUGAACCAGAGGAAGGGAUGGAGGAUCAAGAUGAGUUCUUCAUCGAAGACUUUGAUGCUGCUGCAUUUGUACGGCAUGACAUUUUCGUGAAGACCCCUCAGAUUUUGAGGGCAAUUUGCUUUAUGCAGCUCGUGACAGGACUAGGCAGCUCAGAUCAUUCAAGGUCCUCGCUCUCUCUCUUACUCUCUUAUGUUUCUUGUUUACCAUAAUCAUCAGACAAAGGAUAAUGGAUGCUUUAACUUCGUAAAGAAUAAGAGAGAAGGAAUAUGAGCAGCUUGCAAUAUGGUUUGGAGAUGCAAACAUGGGUGUUGAUGUGACGAACAGUAAGAAACAUGCGACAACAUAUCCAGACCCUAAAAACACAGCGUCAAACCUGCCAUUUGCAUCAGACGAUUGAGACACCUUCUAUGCAGGCUUGACUGUCAUGUGAUGCUUUAAAGUUUGAAGAAUAUUAUACCAAGAACCAAUCUGUUUCUUCUAAUAUGAAAAACAUUAAAUUCUUCUUAAUGCACCUUCUAGUUUCCUUUACUGCUCUAAACAAUAGAUUUGUUCCACUUAAGACGCAGGGAACAAGCAUGUUGAUUAGAGGAAGGCAUCUACAGUUCAUUCUUCUGUACAGUAAAACAUCUUAAUACAGAAACCAAUCCAAUUGGGGCAAACUCAUCGACUAAGAAAAUAACAUGACAGCUCUGAUUCUAAAGCUAAACACUAUCUUGACUUGUCAGCUCUAAUUACCAGUAUCUGAUCCACGUCCAGAGGAGCUGUCACUGUCAGAAUCUGCAGAACAAAAAAGAAAACUGAUGUGAGUAGUGAUGCUGAUAAUGGUGUGAUAAAAAGAGCUGACACAGAGUUUCAACAUUUACCACUAGAGCUAGAUCCUGAGUCACUGCUGGAACUGUUAGAACUACUUGAUCCACCUGCCUUGUUUUCUUGCCGAACAGGAGAAGAAGACAUGCGAAUAGCUUUCCCUGGUUAGAAACAAUCAUUAUAUAUAUAUUCCAUUGGUCUUUCCUUUUCGUGUGAAAAUAAAUACUAACUACAUCCGAAUUUGGUAUGAGCUAGUGACCUAAAACCUUACCUGAUUCAGUAACUCUCGAUCUUUCGGUGCCAGUUGCCUGAAACGAAUGAUUAUGAGGCAAAAUCAAUAAAGACCUGAAAUAAAUAACAUUUGGCUAAGGAAGGAAAUCUUUACCGGUUCUUGGAUAAUGUUGUGAGCAGAUUCAGCAUCUCGUUCUGAACCAAACCCCUGAUCCUCCUCCUUUUUAUUGCUCAAGCUCUCCUUAUACCCAGUCACAAAACUAUAAAGCUCCCAAAGCGUCUGGAUGUCAAGACUAUCAAUAUCCAGCUCAAUCUCAUCAUCCUGUUGAGAGAGUUCCGGAUUACCCUUCUUUACAAUCUGAACAACUGUCUCUAGUUUGUCAUAAGGCAAGUUUCAUUGAGUCUCCGUUUCUCAUCCAUCGUCAGGUCCCUAAUAUCAACAGGCGCCUCCUCCUCAUCUCCUUCAGGCUUCUCGAGGGCAGUAGUAGUGACAGUUUCAGGUUCCGUCAUAGAUUCAGCAAUCUCCAAAGUCCUAUUUUCAAGCAUUGCAGGCGGAGGAGACGGAGGAGGAGGAGGAGACGGGGAAGGUGUAGGAGCUGGUAAAGGCUCAACAACAGGAGCAGGACGAGGCAACACAACAUCACGAGCCGGUUUGAUCUCCCUGUGAAGAUUAUGAUACUGCACUUCAAUAGGAGUCGGUCUGGUUUUCAAAUUGAAAUCAGUCGUAGUGAAUUGUAGAAAACCCAAUAUCUACAAUUGAUUACGACUAAUAAUAUAAUGGAACGAGUUCUCUGUUGUAACAAUUGUGAGAAGAAACAGAUGCGGAAACAGAUGAAUAAAAACGAUGUAACAACGACACAGAGAUUUAACGUGGUUCACCAACUUGGCUACGUCCACGGGCAAAGAGAGAUCUUAUUAUUGGAGGCGAUAUUGAGUUUACAGAGUGCAAGUUUAGGGUUACUUCGAAUACAAGAUAUAUAUAGUAGCAUCCCGUAUCUAAAACCCUAGACUUUAUGGACUCAUAGGCCUAAGCCCACGAUCAGAUGUAACAUCCAUUAUAACUUGAUGCAACGCUCUUGAUGCAACCGAGUUGGUAUGAUGUACGUGAUGUAACAUCCAUCGCCUAGAUGUAACAUCCAGAUUCAAGGCAUAUCAACAAAUCUUCACCUUGAGUUGAAUCCUCCCAAUAACAGAUGUACCAGAUGCACCUUCAAGUGCCAGAUGUACCAGAUACGUUUUUCUGCGCCAGAUGUACCAGAUGCGCCAUCAGCGCCAGAUGUACAAGAUGCAUUUUCAAGUGCCAGAUGCGCCAUUAACGCCAAAUGUACUUGAUGCGUUCUUCAACGCCAAAUGUAUCAUCGCUCUCUUUGCCUCAGAUGUCCCUUCAGCCCAGAUGUGUUGCUAUGACGAACCAGACACCCUUUAACGACCAGAUGCUCAACUAGAGCCAGACGUUCGUCAUCAGCCGGAUAUCCCAACGGACUAGAUAUCCCAACGGACCAGAACGUCCAAACGGACCAGACGCCCCAACGGGCCAGAUGUCCCAAUGGACCAGACGUCCCAACGGACUAAAUGCCCCAACGGGCCGGAUGUCCCUGCGGACCAGAGGCCCCUUCGGGCCAUAUGCCCAUUAGGGCCAUACUAACAGUUUGAGAUGUUUAGCAAGUCUAAGCAAUGCUUAAACUUGCUGUGAGGAACCAGCUUUGUGAACAUGUCAACAGGAUUAUCUGCAGUUCCUACUUUCUUCACUUCAAUUCGCUUCUCAUCUCUCAAGUAGUGAUACCUCACAUCAAUAUGCUUCGUUCUCUCAUGAUGAACCUGAUCCUUGGCUAAGCAUAUAGCGCUCAAACUGUCACAAUACACAGUAGCCUGAUCUUGAUGCAAACCGAGUUCAUUAACCAAUCCUCUAAGCCAUAUUCCUUCAUUCGCAGUUCUGUCAGCACCAUAUACUCUGCCUCAGUAGUAGACAAUGUCACUGUAGACUGUAAAGUCGCCUUCUAGCUAACCACAGAGCCGCCCAAGGUGAACACAUAACCGGUCAUAGAUCUUCUGCAGUCUACAUCUCCAGCAUAAUCAGAAUCGGAAUAGCCUGUUACCAAUCGCGGAUUGUCGCAUCCAUAGAUGAGACCAACAUCAGAUGUACCCUUCAGAUACCGGAAAAUCCGCUUCACAGCUGCCCAAUGCUCCUUCCCAGGUUGUCCCAUAAACCUGCUAACCACACUGACUGCAUGUGCCAGAUCUGGUCUUGUGCAGACCAUUGCAUACAUCAAGCUUCCUACAGCGCUAGCAUAAGGAACUCGAGACAUAUACUCUGCCUCUUCUUCAGACUGAACCUCAUACAUGGUAAGAUGAAGAUUUGAUGCACACGGAGUACUAAUAGGUUUACAUGAAGACAUUUCGAACCUUGUCAACACCUUAUUAAUGUAGGCCUUCUGUGACAAGAACAACUUCUUCUUCCCCCUAUCUCUGAAGAUCUCCAUCCCUAGAAUCUUCUUUGCUGCACACAAAUCCUUCAUCUCAAAUUCAGAACUCAGAAGCUCCUUCAGCUUCUUGAUGUCACACAUCUUCUCUGCAGCUAUCAGCAUGUCAUCCACGUAGAGCACCAAAUAGAUGAAUGUGUCAUCUUUCAAUUUUCUUAUGUAGACACAACAAUCAUAAGGACUUUUGAUGUAGCCCAACUUGAUCAUAAAGCUAUCGAAUCUCUUGUACCAUUGUCUGGGAGACUGCUUAAGUCCAUAAAGGGACUUCCGAAGCUUACACACAUAGUCUUCUUUUCUAGGAACUCGGAAACCAUCCGGCUGAGUCAUGUAUAUCUUCUCCUCAAGCUCUCCAUGAAGAAACGCAGUCUUCACAUCGAGUUGCUCAAGCUCCAAGUCCUGACGUGCUACCAGCGCUAGCAACACUCUGAUGGAAGUAUGUCUGACCACUGGUGAAAAUAUCUCAUUGUAGUCUACUCCCUCUCUCUGACUAAAACCUCUUGCAACAACCCGAGAUUUAUACUUAACUCCUUCUGUCGGCGAUGCUCCAUCCUUAAUCUUGUAGAUCCACUUGCAUGUAACAACUCUUCUCCCUGGUGGUAAUGUGACCAAAUCCCAUGUAUGAUUCUUCUCAUGAGACUCCAUUUCGUCUCCCAUUGCUGCAUGCCAUUUCUCAUACUCGGGACAAGAAACAACUUCCAUGUAAGUGGAUGGUUCAUACGUAUCCACUUUCUCUGCAACCUGAAGUGCAUAACCCACCAUAUCAUCAAAACGAUAUCUCUCUGGUGGCCUGACAUCAACCCUUCUUGGUCGAUCCUUCGCGAUGCUACGCUUCGUAGCAUCAUGCGGUUGAGUCUCUGUAGACUCCAACUGAACUUCUUCUACAUGCUCCUCUUGAUUUUCUGUGUGUUCCUGCACAUUGAUCACGUCAUGAUCAUCUCGCAGCUCCACCUGUUUAUCAGUGCUACCUUUCUCUGCUUCAGAACUGGACCAUGAGCUUCUAACCAUAGAUGCUUCAUCAAAAACAACAUUCCAACCUUUCUCUGCUUCAGAACUGGACCAUGAGCUUCUAACCAUAGAUGCUUCAUCGAAAACAACAUUCCUGCUUAGAAUCACUCGGUUUUCUGAUGGAGACCAGACCCUGUAUCCCUUGACUCCAUCGCCGUAGCCCAUAAAAACUCCCUUCCUUGCUCUCGGCUCUAGUUUACCUUCACUUACAUGAUAGUAAACAGUGCAACCGAACACUCUUAGAAGUGAAUAAUCAGCAGAUCUACCUGACCACACUUCAGAAGGUAUCCUGCACUCGAUGCCUGUGUGGGGACCGAGAUUUAUCAAGUAACAAGCCGUGUUGACUGCUUCAGCCCAAAACCGCUUCUCCAGACCAGCAUUCGAGAGCAUGCACCUUGCUCUCUCUAGCAAUGUCUGGUUCAUUCGUUCUGCUACACCAUUUUAUUGUGGUGUUUCUCUGACUGUACGAUGCCUUGCAAUCCCCGCAUCCUUACAAAACUGAUUGAACUCUGCUGAGCAGAAUACUAGACCGUUAUCAGUACGAAGUCGCUUCACUUUCUUCUCUGUUUGAUUCUCCACCAAUAUUUUCCACUCCUUGAAGCUACUGAAUGCUACUGCACUUCAAUAGGAGCUGGUCUGAUUUUCAAAUUGAAAUCAGUCGUAGUGAAUUGUAGAAAACCCAAUAUCUACAAUUGAUUACGACUAAUAAUAUAAUGGAACGAGUUCUGUAUUCCAUAUAAUGAUUUAUUCAUCAAUUCCUUUUGAACUUUAUCAAAUUGACCUACGUUAAGAAAUUUCAUGUGAAUGCUACAUCUGGUCUACCAGUUGGAUGACAAAUUUUAGUUUGAAUCCCAGCUAAUAUAUAUAGAUGCAUGAGUUUGCAUUUUAGUAAAGACAAUACGUGUGUUUUAGUACGCGUGCAUUUCAGCAUCUUAGCGGCUUAGCGCAUGUGUUUCCGCUUGUACUUAUCGACAGCUUUUAAAAAUUGUUUCUCCUAUCUUUUCAAAAAAAAAAAAAAAAUUGUUUUUCUCGAAANNNNNNNNNNNNNNUAUCGACAGUUUUUAAAAAUUUUUUCUCCUAUCUUUUAAAAAAAAAAAAAAAAAAUUGUUUCUCCUGUAAAUUACUUCUAUCUAUCAUGUACUGUUUGUAUUUUUCUAGAAUGAUUAAUCUAAUUGAUUAUUGACAUGUUUGUUUUGUUUUUCGACAUGCUUUGUUUCUCUUUAUCAACGAAGAAAGAAAAAACAAAUUCUUAACCGGGCCUCGUGGUCUGGUGGUAAAGGAACCUCGGCUGAGGUGCCCGCCAUCACGAGUUCGAGUCCCGGCCACAGCGGAUUUAACAUGGUUUCCGUUUGGCCUCCAGGACCUUCCUCGCCAGUUCCGGUUGGACGCGGUGGGAUAGUCGGACUAAGGUCCGGAUACCUGGAUUAUCAAAAAAAAAAAAAAAAAAAAAAAAAAAAAAAAAAAAAAAAAACAAAUUCUUGUUGUGUUCUUGGCAAAUUAUUAUCCAUUAUCUAUCUAUCUCUCCAGCAAUAUGCGAGUAUCGGUUUUACAUUUGAAGCUGUUGGAAAUUUUAUUCUAAAAUUUGUUGUAUAUACAUAUCAGAAUAUAUAUCUCGAGUUUACACUUGUGCGUUAAAAUGUGUAUGGUUCGUGUAAUGGCUUUCUUAAAUAAUUAUCUCUAGUAUACAGUGUGCGUAAAAAUGUGUAAGGUUUGAGUGUAUUAUGUGUAACGUUAAAAACAAUACCGUAAUUGUAUGUGUACAACUAUGAAGAAUUUCUCAAACAAAAAAAAACUCAUGACUAUGAAGAAAAAAGAAUUGUAAAUAGGUGCUGCAGAUUAUAGUACUGUGCCACAAACUACUGUUUGGGAUAUUGACCUUUUCCAUUAUUCAUGUUCUACGUUUCUGUCUAAACGUUAUUAAGUAUAAUGAAUUUGCUAGAUAUGAUACUGUACUAGUAAUAACAACAAAUUUCUCAAACAUAUAUGUGAAACAGAUUUUUUUUUUUUCAUUCAAUGACUCAAAACAAAAGAACAGUCAGAAGUUUGGUAAUUUUUGGAAUGUUUAUCUCAAACCAUUCAAAUUUUGAAAGUUAUAUAUAGAUAUAUGUUAUAUUAUUCUAAUUUAAAAUAGAAGAAAAAGAUUUUUUAUGUUCAAGUCAAAAAGUUUUAAGGCAAAACUGGUAAUACCAUUAAUGGCUAUUAUUAGAUUCAUUGAAUAAUACAAAAAAAAUCUAAGGUUGUUUAUGAUUCAAAACCUUAGACGGUUAAGAUGAAUUAAGCUAGAUCUAAAGGCUCUUAUUCUUCUUGUAGACAACACCCUAUCAUGUUGAAAUCCUUUUAAAUAGAGGCUCUCUCUUAUGUUGUUCGUCACUACCAACUAUCAAUAAUCAGUAUAUUUGUUACUUCAACAUAUUCUAUCAGUAUAGUUUUCCUGUUUCUCCAUUUACCGAUCUCUCUUGUUUCUUCUUUUCUUUUGAAAGCUGAGCUACUUCUCAUCAUUUCUUGUCUUUCAAAGGUAUUUGUUACUUUUCUCUUUAAUAUAUAGUUCAUGUUGAACUUGUUAUAUAAUUUACUUAUCCUUUUUGUUUAUUUUAUGUGUAUUUAUUUUUGGUGAUGUUAUCAUUGAGACUAUAUUUUGUAAAAUAUGAUUUAAUAAAAAAAUCAGAUUAAUUUUCUCUUAUCUCUACAUUUUAGUUUUAAUAAUCAUCCUACCAUUGACUAUCCUUUAUUUUUUUAAGAAAAUAAAAAGUAAAAUGAAAGGACUAUCGUUAGUACAUUGCUGUUAACUAUAACUCAGAUCUGAAUAUGUUGGUAUGUAGUUUAGUAAUUAUUAUGCGGUUCAAAUAUUGUGAAGAUAAGAUCGAACAUUGAACUUGUUCUGUGUUUUUAACCAUGCGUCUGUAUUCGGGUGGUGCGUUCCGUGGAUCUCAAAAGAUCCGAGUUCGAAUCCGCACCACACCAGAUUUUUACAGCGCGUGGUCACCGGGACUUUCACAUUCUCUUUCCGGAGAAUGGUUUACCAUUUUUUUUGCUCUGUGUUUUUUUUCAAGUAGACCCUAACGAUCAUUUCUAAUCUUUUAUUCUUGAAGUUUUGAGAUUAAAAAGAAAAAUAAGACUUGAUAAAAAAAAGACAAAAUAAGAAAAAAAAAGAUUUUUUUAAGAAAAAUAUUAUAUUUUAUUAAAAAAAGUUUAUUGAAAUUGUACUUUUCUCAAAAAGUAAAUUUGAUGUUUGUGUUAUGAUUUUAUAUAUGUAGAGCUAUUUGUUUUGAUAAUAUUUUCUCAAAGCAUUUAUCACUGAGAUUAAAAUAAAAAGGAGACUUAGCAGUUGACUUCAAAACAUUAAUAAUUAUAGUUAUGUGGUUGUUUAAUGAUGAUGAACUUUUGAUAAUUAUUUUUUCCUUAAUGCAGGACUUACUUUUGCAAUGGAUGAGUCUACUCCAAUCGAAGCUACACCGUUCAGCUAUCUAAUCCCGAGCUUUGCUGACGAUGAAGACAAUCUGAUGGAGAACAUCUCAUCACCAACUUUCCAAGGGGUUACACCACUUCAAACCGUUGAUGAUGAGACCCCUUACACAACACCACCUCCCAUUCCUCAAGCCUCACCGCUUCAACCCGCUAAUGAGGAAAACUACAACACACCAACACCCUCUCAACCUCUAUUACUGGCCACACCACUCAGCUUCGUUCCACCAUCUGAUGAAUCCAACAUUGUUGAUGUCGAUCCCAGCAUAGGUCCUAUCAAAAGAGGACGAGGCCGACCAAAAGGUUCAAAGAAUUCAAAGCCGUCCAAGAAGAAGCUGGAAACGUCUCAUCCCAACAAUGAAGUGGUUGUAUCUGGUCAAAAUGAUGAAACUCACAACAACACAUCAUUAUCCCCUCAUCCUCCUCUAGUGGCCACAAAUCUUCAAGCUAUUGUACCAUACGAUCACUCGGACAACAACUCUUUGGCUGAUGAUGAUGCUGCUCCGAGUAGCGAUGCUAUUAAAAGAGGACGGGGCCGACCAAAGGGUUCCUCUGUGAAGAAGCUGAAACCCAACAAUCCCGACGACAAAAUGGUAAUAUUUUGUCCGAGUUUUGACUCAAUGAUAACCGAAGAGGAGAAAGAAAAUGGGAAUGAAGAGCUGGUGGACUCCGUUCGGAUGCGUUUCAACGCCGUUUGUCGUCGCUUAGGCCACGUAAGCAGUGAGAAAGCUGUGGUCACAACUGCCUUCAGUAUCUUUAACAAACAGGGUGUCAGGACUAACAAGAAGAAGAGAGUCGGUCCGGUUCCGGGAGUAAAACCAGGAGAUAUAUUCUACUUCUGGGGAGAGAUGUGUUUGGUUGGACUUCACACUCAGAUGCCUGCCGGUAUCGACUAUUUACUAACAAAAGAUGGUGCAGCAGAAGGCUUAACAACAAGUGUCGUUACAUCAGUAGGACACUACAACGACAGAACGGACGAGCUUCAUACUUUGGUUUACACCGGGCAAGGAGGAACGUGUAAGGAUGGUAAACCUAGAGAUCAAGAGCUUACAAGAGGAAACCUAGCGUUGGUCGCAAGUCAGAAAAAAGGAAAUGAAGUUAGAGUGAUUAGAGGUGUAGAGGAUCCGAGCGAUAAAAAGGGGAAAGUAUAUAUCUACGAUGGUCUCUAUGUGGUAACCCAUUAUUGGAUAGAGAAAGGGACCACCGGCUUUAAUGAAUUCAAGUUUAAUCUUGUGAGACAACAAGACCAGCCUCCUGGUUUCGCUACGUGGAAGUUAGCUGAAGAAUUGAUGAAGUGUGGUUCGAGUAAUCAGUUGAGGAAGGGUUUUGUGUUUGGAGAUAUUUCUCUUGGAUUGGAGGCGUUACCAGUUCCGAUCGUGAACGAGGUCGAUGAGAACGACAAGGAGUGGCCUCUAGACUUCAACUACAGAGUCUCUUCCAAAAAUUUAAGUAUGAUGAUCGUUCCAAACCAUCAAUCUACUGGAUGCAACAACACUUGUAAAGGUGGUCAGUCAUGUGGAGAUCCGAUGUGUUCUUGUAUUCAAAGAAACGGCGGCGAGUUACAGUAUGAUAACCGCAUUUUACUAUAUCGCAGACCGAUAAUUUACGAAUGCAGCGACCUUUGUACUUGCCCCGCGGACUGCAAGAACAAAUAACCGCAUUUUACUAUAUCGCAGACCGAUGAUCUACGAAUGCAGCGACCUUUGUGCUUGCCCCGCGGACUGCAAGAACAGGCUAACUCAAAGCGGGUUGAAGCUCCGGUUGGAAGUGUUUAAGACGAAGAGUUGUGGUUGGGGGUUACGUUCGUGGGAGCCCAUACGAGCCGGGACUUUUAUCUGCGAGUUGAACGUGUAAGGAUGGUAAAGGGUUACGUUCGUGGGAGCCCAUACGAGCCGGGACUUUUAUCUGCGAGUUGGUUGGCACAGCUAAGGGAAGAGAUGAGAUUGAAGAAGACGACGAGUACGUCUUCGACACCUCUCGAGUUUACAAAACGUUUAGGUGGAACUACGAAACACAGCUAAGGGAAGAGAUGAGAUUGAAGAAGACGACGAGUACAUCUUCGACACCUCUCGAGUUUACAAAACGUUUAGGUGGAACUACGAACCAGAACUUGUGGGUGAAGACUGUUGGGACCAAGUCUCUGAAGUUUAUAAACUUCGGUCGGAAAUCUUGGUCAGUGCGAGAGCGUUUGGUAACGUUAGUCGGUUCAUGAACCAUAGCUGCUUGGCUAACGUUAUGUGGCAGCCUGUUGAGUAUGAAAAGGAUGGCCAACCUUUGGUUCAUAUUGCCUUUUUUGCAAAGAGACAUAUACCUCCGUUGACAGAGUUGAGAUACGAUUAUGGAAUGUCUUAUGAUACUGGAGAGAUCGAUGAAGGUGGAAGCAGGGUUUUUACAGGUAAAAGGGCUUGCUUGUGUGGUUCGGAAAAUUGUCGUGGUUCUUUUGAGUGAGGUUGAACAUUUUUAUUAUUAUUGUUGUUGUCUUUUUUUUUCUGUUGUUUUGAUUAUUAUGGUCUUGUGUUUCCUUUUAAUCAUUCAAAAUAAAAAACUUAUUUAAUUUUUUAAUCAUAUUGUAUGUUAUUUCAUUAUCAGUUAGAUUUGUAUCAUUAGAAAUCCAAAUCAUGUUUAAGUUAAGCCAAUUAAUAUAAGUCAUUUCUAGUCUUUUAUUCUUCAAGUUUUGAGAUUGAAAAGAAAAAUAAGACUUGAUAAAAAGAAAAAAAAAAGAUCUUUUUAGAAAAAUAGACUUGAUACAAAAGACAAAAUAAGAAAAAAAUAAUAUUUUUUCAGAAAAAUAUUAUUUUUAUAAAAAAGAAGUUUAUUGAAAUUGUAAUUUUCUCAAAAAGUAAAUUUGAUGUUUGUGUUAUGAUUUUAUAUAUGUAGUGCUAUUUGUUUUGAUAAUAUUUUGUCUAAGCAUUUAUCACUGAGAUUAGAAUAAAAAAGAGAUUUAGUGGUUGUUUUAGUCUUAAAUUCACGAUUGACUUCAGAACAUUAAUAGUUAUAGUUAUAUGAAAGGUUAUUUAGUUGAUUUUUUAUUUGUUAGUCUUGCGUUUUUCUCAAGCUAACAAUUAAACUCGUCAUGUCACGUACUUCUCAAGUUUACAAAACUUUAGGUGGAACUAUGAACCGGAACUUGUGGGUGAAGACUGUUGGUAUGAAGCCUCUGAAGUUUAUAAACUUCGGUCGGAAAUCUUAGUCAGUGCGAGAGCGAUUGGUAAUGUUAGUCGGUUAUGAACCAUAGCUGCUCGGCUAACGUUAUGUGGCAGUCUGUUGAGUUUGAAAAGGAUGGCCAACCAACCUUCAGUUUGUAUUGCAUUUUUUGCAAAAAGGCAUAUACCUCCUUUGACAGAGUUGAGGGAUAAUUAUGGAAUGUAUUAUAAUACUGGAGAGGUUGAUGAAGAUGGAAGCAUGGAAGCAUGGAAGCAUGGAAGCAUGGUUUUUAGAGGUAAAAGGGGUUUGCUUACGUGGUUCGGGAAACUGUCAUAUUUCUUUUGAGUGAGGUUGAAAUUUCUUAUUAUUAUUGUUGUUUUGUCUAUUUCUUUUUUUUNNNNNNNNNNNNNNNNNNNNNNNNNNNNNNNNNNNNNNNNNNNNNNNNNNNNNNNNNNNNNNNNNNNNNNNNNNNNNNNNNNNNNNNNNNNNNNNNNNNNNNNNNNNNNNNNNNNNNNNNNNNNNNNNNNNNNNNNNNNNNNNNNNNNNNNNNNNNNNNNNNNNNNNNNNNNNNNNNNNNNNNNNNNNNNNNNNNNNNNNNNNNNNNNNNNNNNNNNNNNNNNNNNNNNNNNNNNNNNNNNNNNNNNNNNNNNNNNNNNNNNNNNNNNNNNNNNNNNNNNNNNNNNNNNNNNNNNNNNNNNNNNNNNNNNNNNNNNNNNNNNNNNNNNNNNNNNNNNNNNNNNNNNNNNNNNNNNNNNNNNNNNNNNNNNNNNNNNNNNNNNNNNNNNNNNNNNNNNNNNNNNNNNNNNNNNNNNNNNNNNNNNNNNNNNNNNNNNNNNNNNNNNNNNNNNNNNNNNNNNNNNNNNNNNNNNNNNNNNNNNNNNNNNNNNNNNNNNNNNNNNNNNNNNNNNNNNNNNNNNNNNNNNNNNNNNNNNNNNNNNNNNNNNNNNNNNNNNNNNNNNNNNNNNNNNNNNNNNNNNNNNNNNNNNNNNNNNNNNNNNNNNNNNNNNNNNNNNNNNNNNNNNNNNNNNNNNNNNNNNNNNNNNNNNNNNNNNNNNNNNNNNNNNNNNNNNNNNNNNNNNNNNNNNNNNNNNNNNNNNNNNNNNNNNNNNNNNNNNNNNNNNNNNNNNNNNNNNNNNNNNNNNNNNNNNNNNNNNNNNNNNNNNNNNNNNNNNNNNNNNNNNNGUCUCCGCUUCAAGCUCCUGACUUCAAGCUUCGAAAUUGAGCUCAAGCUAACCUUCAACAUGGGAGGAUGAUCUUCCUCCUCCGACGCGAACGGGUUUGACGGAGAGAGGAGAGCAGCCGAUCGCGCGUGUUGAGGAACCACCAUCGGCUUGGUCCGCCUGUGCUUCGUCGUCUUCGAAGCUCCACCUCCUGAAGACAUUUCUAGGUUUAGCUCGGAGGACCGUGAUUGAGGGGAUUCAAGGUCGAUGAAAUCGAAAUCGAAAUCGAAAGAGAAGGUUUGAAUCUACAUGAAGAUCGGUUCUCGAUUUUGCAAUUUACGAAAACCCUAGGGAAGCAAGCAAAUACUGUGGCAACAAUAGCUCACGCGCUUGAAACUCACGCGCCAUUACCAAUUUUUUACUACUAUAUAAUAAAUCCUUUGUUUUCUGAAUGAUACUUACUUGCAAUCAACAAUUGAUAGUUUGAUAAUAAUACCUUUCCAACACUAGCAGUUUAUACACUGUAGUGUUCAAGUACGAUGGAGUAUAUAUAGCUCCAGCGAGGAUAAGAUCCAACUUGUUCACGGUGGUAACUAUUUUAUUUGAACAUACAAUCAUGUAGGCUGUUCUUUAAUUGGCCUCAAAACUCAAUAAUUAAUCAUCUAAUAGGUCUCUAAAGCAAGUUUUUAAUCAGAUACAUACAGUUUAAUCUAUCUUCUUCUUCUGUUUUUUACUAAAAGAUUGUAUUACAUCAUGGUUUGUGAUGUAUCAUGUGAUUGAGAGUACUUUCUGUGAGUCUGUCUCACAUGAAAUGACAAAAUAGGUGACGAGGAAAGCCGAAACCGGAUCGAUAUUUUAGAGAACUGUAACUCGAUCCACUUGUCACACAUGCAUAGAAAUGUAGUCACAACCUGGAUAGUUAUACAAACACAUGUACACUAGGAACUGUACAGAUUGAGAGAGGAUCAGGUAAGAUCGAGGAAUGGAUAGACACGAACAGGAUCCACGUGCUCAGCUUUAGACACUCUUUAUAUCAACAUCUGUCUCCAAAUUACUUAUAACCACUUUUGCUUCUUUUAAGCCCUCGCUCUCUUAUGUUACUCUUCCCUUUCCUCUUCUUUAUCAAAGAUAUUGGUUUGAAUCUUUCAUUUAAAUAAAGAGUUCUUAAAUGGCAACAUAUGCUAGAAGAACAUACGGAUUUGGGAGAGCUGAUGAGGCGACGCACCCGGACUCCAUUAGAGCCACUUUGGCCGAGUUUCUCUCCACUUUCGUCUUUGUCUUUGCUGGAGAAGGCUCCAUCCUCUCUCUAGGUUCGUAGUUCUUUUAGCUAUAUAUGCGUAGGAGUUAUCCAAUAACUUUUAGCCAAUUAGUAUUGCCAUCUUUUCUUACAAAAAUAUUAAUCACAACGUCAGAUAUUUAUUUAUAUCAAACAUUUUUAGAUUUAUCAAGAUUUUUUUUAUUAUUAUUUAUCAAGAUUUUUGUUCUAACAAAGACGGUAGAAAGAAGAAAACAUUUAUCUUAUUCGGUAAUUAAUAUAUUGGUACGAGCAGACAAGUUGUAUUGGGACACUGAGGCUCACACGGGGACAGACACGCCGGGAGGGUUACUUUUGGUGGCGUUAGCUCAUGCAUUGGCACUAUUUGCGGCAGUUUCGGCGGCCAUCAAUGUCUCUGGUGGUCACGUGAACCCUGCGGUUACUUUUGCUGCUCUAAUCGGUGGCAGGCUCUCAGUGAUCCGAGCUAUCUACUAUUGGGUUGCUCAGCUUCUAGGUGCUAUCCUCGCUUGUCUCUUGUUGAGGCUUUCCACUAAUGGCAAGGUAUAUCAUUUCUCAUCGAAUUUUGAAAAUAUAUGCUCCUGAGUCCUGACUGUGACUGUGAUGCAGAGACCAAUAGGGUUCCAUGUAGCGUCUGGAGUCAGUGAGCUUCACGGGCUAUUGAUGGAGAUCAUACUUACAUUCGCAUUGGUUUAUAUCUUCUACUCAACUGUAACCGAUCCCAAGAGAGGGAGUAUUGGGAUCAUAGCCCCCCUAGCCAUCGGGCUCAUAGUUGGGGCAAACAUGUUGGUAGGAGGACCAUUCGACGGAGCGUCAAUGAAUCCGGCUAGAGCCUUCGGUCCAUCAUUGGUUGGAUGGAGAUGGGAAAACCAUUGGAUAUAUUGGGUUGGGCCCUUCAUUGGAGGUGCACUCGCCGCACUUAUCUAUGAGUACAUGAUCAUCCCCAACGUGAACGAGCCUCCUCGCCAUAGUGUCCACCAACCAUUGGCCCCGGAAGAUUACUAGACCGUACCAAGCUACAUGUCGAAGGUUCUCUCUUUGUAUCAAGAAUCUCUGUUUUGCUUGUGUUGUUGUUUGUAUAUUUGUUUUUUUUUUCUUGCAUGCAACUUUAUAUGUAUAAUUGAGUCCAGACCAGGACAGUAUCUGUGUGUUCUUGUAUCAUAUGUAACUAUUUGAUAAUAAAAAAAUUCGGUAUUUCAUUAAAAAUGGUCAAUUAUGGGAUCAAGACGGAGACAACGAUGGCUUUUCUCUCAGAGUACUGUACACGUAACAGUGCCGGUCGGUUUCUAUAAAUCAGUUUAUGUAUCUGAAACCUGCGAAGGUUUCUUUCUUCUCAUGUUAAGAAGGUCCUCUCAUCUUGUCAACUAUCUGUCUACUCUUUUCCUCCAUGUGACGCCUCUUCUCAUCCAACUUCUCCCCCAUUUUCUUCCCAAGACUCAGCAUCCUUGCUCUCCUUCCCAGUUUCUUUCCCUUUGAAUCAUCGUCUUCGCUUGAAACUACUGACCAAGAUGGUGAUGACUGAACAAAAGUGCUGCCUCUUGAGUUCGUCUCCUGCUUUUCGCUGCUGCUGGGUAGCAGCAAUGGGGUUUUCAGUUCUUCCAGAGAUUUGUCACUCUCUACUGUUUCAGGUCUGGAGGAACUUGACACUGCGGUAGACAUAACCUCUGCUUCUGUAUUCGGUUUCUGGACGGCAUUGGCAGCUUCAUGCACUUGAUCAGACUGAGCACAGGAGGAAGAAGACACAGUCUCCGCUUCAGAAAUAACCGGCUUCGUAGAUGGCUUGUCAGAUUUAGACUUCCCCUCUGUUGCCUGGUGAUCGCUUUCUUGAUUCAGCCACAUGAAUGGAGCGGCUUUGCGUUGAACCCAAUCGUCUUUUUCAGCAAUCAUCCACGGAACCGUUAGGCUUUCACAGUUUGGAAGAACCACUGCUUCUCUUAUUGCCGUCUGCAAGAAUCAUAAUGUUAUCUCACAUUCUGUUAGCUCAAAUUUCACUAGAUACCAAACAAAAGAGAACCCAAAGGAGAAGGUGUGCCUACCUUAAACCGGUUGAUCAAGAACAUAGCAACAUGGCUGUUGGUGAUUUUGUGUUCCCCAACAGAAGAUGCGAGAUCGAAUUGUACAUCGGGCAUGCUCGUGAAUCCAAACCAUAGUUGAUCAGAAGGAGGCGGCUUCAUGUGUACACGCAGUGUCCCUCUAAGAGAAGAAAUCCGUAUUGACAAAGAGAUUGGUACCUGCAAUUGAGAAACAGAUAAAAUCUAAGAUCCCACACUGAGGAAAAGUUACAAAAAAUCCAACAAAACAGAACAAAAAAUCAUCUUGUAGAUAUUUAAAAAAAAAAAAAAAAGAGAAGAGGAGAACCAACCUGGGAAACUUGCUCAGCAAUAUUUUUUAGAAUAGACUUCCACCUGGAUACACCAUUUGGAGAAGCUUUGGUUCCUUUUGAGCCAUUGGAUUCAUCUGAAAGCAACAAAAAGAGGGUAAGAACAAUUGUAAUCAUCAUCCUGAGCAAUACUUUUGAACAUGCAUUACGCUAGCAAGAACUCGGUAGGUGAAACGAGAGGUGACUGCAGUAAUCAAUAUUCAGUAAACAUUGAACUUGCUUGUUUUUACCAUUUUUCACUUCUCCUGCAUCAACAGGGAUGACUAAUUGCUUUUCAAAAUCUUCAACACCGUUUGACGAGACUUCUUCCCCAGCAGAACUUGGCUGUAGCCUUGUGUCGUUUAUGCCUUUUUGAAGAUCCACCUCCCGGAUAUUAACCCGUGUUUCAACGUCAAUCACCGGUUCACCAGAGUAUUCAAUAUCUACCUCGAACGCCCACACACCACUCAUCUCCAUUGGAAGAACCCGAGUACCAUGUAUAUGAGGUGGGAGAUUACCAAGGUCAACAUCGGAGCAGAUUAGUUCUCCUAUGUAACUCGGAGUCCUCAUGUUGGAUAACAUCCUCUGUUUAAAAACCACAAAGACGUAAGGAAAUCAAUUCAUCUCAAAUUUUUGAGUUCAUGAAAGCAUGCAGACCUGGAUUCGCGCUUGCAUUGAGUCCUUCACUCCUGUUUUCCGUAUGAGAUCGAAGAAAAGCCUGGAGAUUAGCAAGUUCCACGCCAAUGUUCCUUCAUCAAUGUCAAACUUCUCUUCAGAGUCUCCAUCCGAAACCCCGGAGAAAUGACUUGUAUGGCUCACGGAACGUGAAAAGACAGGCGCAUCAGCUUCAUCUCUGACAUCAUCUCCCACCCUCUUCCCUGGAACGCUGCUUCCAUUUUGUGAAUCUUGGUAAGAGCGCACAGAGGUUCUCCUCUCUUCACGAUUUGAUCGCUUUCUUGAAAACCUCCUCAAGAACAAACGAACUUUGGAGGAAGAGCCGUCCGUUCUGUUCCCUCUGUCAAUCGUCUCAAAACUAAACCCAAGAGACGGUUUCAUAAACGAAGGAUACGCAGCGUUGAGAGACGUGACGUAACUACGGAAGUCUUGUUGUAACUUGGUGGAGUACCAAAUAAACCUUUCCGGAUUCUCGCAAGAAGCAAGACGAAGAGCUUUACACCAUGAUUCCUUUUCACAAGAAGUCUCGAGAUAGAUGUAAAACACCUUGUUUCCUUUGUAUACGUCUGAGGAACUCUUGGUUUCGACUUUUAUAGGAAACCUUUUGGCCCUGACAAAAGAACAAUCAAGCUUCAAUAUAUUCCACCAAAGCUUCACAAUUCAAAUUGAUGUAUUGUAUGGAUAAGAGUUGGUGGUACCAUUUUCUUGUAGGGAGAUCAGAGCCUGAAACAGCCUCCACAGAGCAGCAUUUUAAUGAAACAGUAGUGAGAGUGCCGUCAGACUCUGACAAGAUGAGUUUGUGGUCUUUGAUCCGAGCGAAUUUGCGAGUUGGAUGAAUCUCCAAGAAAGCUCUCUUCCUCUUCUGCUCUGCUGGUAACUUCUCCUUCCACAUGUUCUUGAGACCUUCAUCCAACUCCAAAACCCAGAUCGUUCCCUGGAAAAUAUUAAAAACUUUCAUUACAGCAAAACAAGACCGAACAGAAACUGUCUGGUUCUAAUGAUCCAAAAACUCAAAAUUCACGGUCUCAUCCGAAACAGUUGACUUGAACUCAACAACUCGCAAGUAACGCAACAUGCAAACAUUCGGAGAUUAGAACCUAGAGUUUAGAGGAUUAAUCGAGGAAUUAAAGAUCGAUCACCUGUUUGUUGGAUUCUCGAGGAUUGCUGAUCUCCUUGGUAGAUUGAUCGGAACCGGGUUUUGAAUCAACCCGGUUAUCUCUCUUCCGGUUCAAUCGGUUCAGAAGAUACAUCAAACCAGCAGCUUCAGCCCCCAAGACGGCGACAAUUCCCAGGAAGAACCCGGAGAGGAACACGAAACUCGUGAAGGAAAACAUAUCCUCCGGGGAAGCUGGAAAGGCUUCAAUGAGAUGAAGGUUUCUUGUGAGGGAAUCAAGAGGAGGAGAAGAUUCGUGGCGUCGGGGUUGUUCAUGUCAGUGUGCAAUAACAAGGACAAUGCCAAAAGAUAGGAAGAGGAGAAGAUACUGUGGGAUUAGUCAUCUCUCUCUCUCUCUCUCUCUCUGGAAACGUAAUUCUCAACUUCCAACCAAUACUAAUUUGACGAAUCAGAAACAUAUUUAAUCUCUUAAGUUAAUUAAUAAUAACUUCUUCUUUUUUUGUCAUCAAGUUAAUUAAUAAUAACUAGUUGAUAUACUAUACUUAAUAUUUAAAAAGUCACGACCAAGUGUUUUUAGAAUUAAAAUUUCAUAAGAAGUAGAUAAAUAUAUUUUAAACUUCAGGUGCAAAAAAAAAAAACUGUUUCAUUGGUCAAAAUAUAUAAAAUAAAACAUGUUUUAUCAAGUAAGAAACUAUGAUUAUAUAGUAGGCUUGAGAGUUCUUAACUCAACCCGAAGUACCGACCUUAACCCGAACCGGAAAAACCGAAACCGAAUCUGAAUCUAAACUUAGCCAUACUAUGCACCUCAUGCCCAACAGGAUUAUACAAGAUGGCAUUGUUGAAAGUAAGUCUAACAUCUUCAGCAAACUCCAACGGCGACUCAUACAAACCUUCCCCUAACUUAGCCUUCACUGUACCCAAAUCCAUAGGCUCUUUAACAAUGGUGUGGUAAUCAUGCAAACCAAACCCUUUGGCAUCAACGGGCACAUUGAACACCCAUCCAUCCUUAUGCUUCAUCAACUUCGUCAGCAAAUUGAGACAUUUCUUGAAAAUCUGAACCGUACCUUUAUCACCUCUCUUAACUCCAUUCCCAGUUUUCAGCUUCUUGUUUCCCCCUUUACCCAUGGACCCGGUUGUAAAGUUUCCGCCUUGGGGAUCGAACUGUGCGAUCAAGCUCCGAACUUCGUCUAGCUCAGCUGUUAGUCUCCGCUUCAAGCUCCUGACUUCAAGCUUCGAAAUUGAGCUCAAGCUAACCUUCAACAUGGGAGGAUGAUCUUCCUCCUCCGACGCGAACGGGUUUGACGGAGAGAGGAGAGCAGCCGAUCGCGCGUGUUGAGGAACCACCAUCGGCUUGGUCCGCCUGUGCUUCGUCGUCUUCGAAGCUCCACCUCCUGAAGACAUUUCUAGGUUUAGCUCGGAGGACCGUGAUUGAGGGGAUUCAAGGUCGAUGAAAUCGAAAUCGAAAUCGAAAGAGAAGGUUUGAAUCUACAUGAAGAUCGGUUCUCGAUUUUGCAAUUUACGAAAACCCUAGGGAAGCAAGCAAAUACUGUGGCAACAAUAGCUCACGCGCUUGAAACUCACGCGCCAUUACCAAUUUUUUACUACUAUAUAAUAAAUCCUUUGUUUUCUGAAUGAUACUUACUUGCAAUCAACAAUUGAUAGUUUGAUAAUAAUACCUUUCCAACACUAGCAGUUUAUACACUGUAGUGUUCAAGUACGAUGGAGUAUAUAUAGCUCCAGCGAGGAUAAGAUCCAACUUGUUCACGGUGGUAACUAUUUUAUUUGAACAUACAAUCAUGUAGGCUGUUCUUUAAUUGGCCUCAAAACUCAAUAAUUAAUCAUCUAAUAGGUCUCUAAAGCAAGUUUUUAAUCAGAUACAUACAGUUUAAUCUAUCUUCUUCUUCUGUUUUUUACUAAAAGAUUGUAUUACAUCAUGGUUUGUGAUGUAUCAUGUGAUUGAGAGUACUUUCUGUGAGUCUGUCUCACAUGAAAUGACAAAAUAGGUGACGAGGAAAGCCGAAACCGGAUCGAUAUUUUAGAGAACUGUAACUCGAUCCACUUGUCACACAUGCAUAGAAAUGUAGUCACAACCUGGAUAGUUAUACAAACACAUGUACACUAGGAACUGUACAGAUUGAGAGAGGAUCAGGUAAGAUCGAGGAAUGGAUAGACACGAACAGGAUCCACGUGCUCAGCUUUAGACACUCUUUAUAUCAACAUCUGUCUCCAAAUUACUUAUAACCACUUUUGCUUCUUUUAAGCCCUCGCUCUCUUAUGUUACUCUUCCCUUUCCUCUUCUUUAUCAAAGAUAUUGGUUUGAAUCUUUCAUUUAAAUAAAGAGUUCUUAAAUGGCAACAUAUGCUAGAAGAACAUACGGAUUUGGGAGAGCUGAUGAGGCGACGCACCCGGACUCCAUUAGAGCCACUUUGGCCGAGUUUCUCUCCACUUUCGUCUUUGUCUUUGCUGGAGAAGGCUCCAUCCUCUCUCUAGGUUCGUAGUUCUUUUAGCUAUAUAUGCGUAGGAGUUAUCCAAUAACUUUUAGCCAAUUAGUAUUGCCAUCUUUUCUUACAAAAAUAUUAAUCACAACGUCAGAUAUUUAUUUAUAUCAAACAUUUUUAGAUUUAUCAAGAUUUUUUUUAUUAUUAUUUAUCAAGAUUUUUGUUCUAACAAAGACGGUAGAAAGAAGAAAACAUUUAUCUUAUUCGGUAAUUAAUAUAUUGGUACGAGCAGACAAGUUGUAUUGGGACACUGAGGCUCACACGGGGACAGACACGCCGGGAGGGUUACUUUUGGUGGCGUUAGCUCAUGCAUUGGCACUAUUUGCGGCAGUUUCGGCGGCCAUCAAUGUCUCUGGUGGUCACGUGAACCCUGCGGUUACUUUUGCUGCUCUAAUCGGUGGCAGGCUCUCAGUGAUCCGAGCUAUCUACUAUUGGGUUGCUCAGCUUCUAGGUGCUAUCCUCGCUUGUCUCUUGUUGAGGCUUUCCACUAAUGGCAAGGUAUAUCAUUUCUCAUCGAAUUUUGAAAAUAUAUGCUCCUGAGUCCUGACUGUGACUGUGAUGCAGAGACCAAUAGGGUUCCAUGUAGCGUCUGGAGUCAGUGAGCUUCACGGGCUAUUGAUGGAGAUCAUACUUACAUUCGCAUUGGUUUAUAUCUUCUACUCAACUGUAAUCGAUCCCAAGAGAGGGAGUAUUGGGAUCAUAGCCCCCCUAGCCAUCGGGCUCAUAGUUGGGGCAAACAUGUUGGUAGGAGGACCAUUCGACGGAGCGUCAAUGAAUCCGGCUAGAGCCUUCGGUCCAUCAUUGGUUGGAUGGAGAUGGGAAAACCAUUGGAUAUAUUGGGUUGGGCCCUUCAUUGGAGGUGCACUCGCCGCACUUAUCUAUGAGUACAUGAUCAUCCCCAACGUGAACGAGCCUCCUCGCCAUAGUGUCCACCAACCAUUGGCCCCGGAAGAUUACUAGACCGUACCAAGCUACAUGUCGAAGGUUCUCUCUUUGUAUCAAGAAUCUCUGUUUUGCUUGUGUUGUUGUUUGUAUAUUUGUUUUUUUUUUCUUGCAUGCAACUUUAUAUGUAUAAUUGAGUCCAGACCAGGACAGUAUCUGUGUGUUCUUGUAUCAUAUGUAACUAUUUGAUAAUAAAAAAAUUCGGUAUUUCAUUAAAAAUGGUCAAUUAUGGGAUCAAGACGGAGACAACGAUGGCUUUUCUCUCAGAGUACUGUACACGUAACAGUGCCGGUCGGUUUCUAUAAAUCAGUUUAUGUAUCUGAAACCUGCGAAGGUUUCUUUCUUCUCAUGUUAAGAAGGUCCUCUCAUCUUGUCAACUAUCUGUCUACUCUUUUCCUCCAUGUGACGCCUCUUCUCAUCCAACUUCUCCCCCAUUUUCUUCCCAAGACUCAGCAUCCUUGCUCUCCUUCCCAGUUUCUUUCCCUUUGAAUCAUCGUCUUCGCUUGAAACUACUGACCAAGAUGGUGAUGACUGAACAAAAGUGCUGCCUCUUGAGUUCGUCUCCUGCUUUUCGCUGCUGCUGGGUAGCAGCAAUGGGGUUUUCAGUUCUUCCAGAGAUUUGUCACUCUCUACUGUUUCAGGUCUGGAGGAACUUGACACUGCGGUAGACAUAACCUCUGCUUCUGUAUUCGGUUUCUGGACGGCAUUGGCAGCUUCAUGCACUUGAUCAGACUGAGCACAGGAGGAAGAAGACACAGUCUCCGCUUCAGAAAUAACCGGCUUCGUAGAUGGCUUGUCAGAUUUAGACUUCCCCUCUGUUGCCUGGUGAUCGCUUUCUUGAUUCAGCCACAUGAAUGGAGCGGCUUUGCGUUGAACCCAAUCGUCUUUUUCAGCAAUCAUCCACGGAACCGUUAGGCUUUCACAGUUUGGAAGAACCACUGCUUCUCUUAUUGCCGUCUGCAAGAAUCAUAAUGUUAUCUCACAUUCUGUUAGCUCAAAUUUCACUAGAUACCAAACAAAAGAGAACCCAAAGGAGAAGGUGUGCCUACCUUAAACCGGUUGAUCAAGAACAUAGCAACAUGGCUGUUGGUGAUUUUGUGUUCCCCAACAGAAGAUGCGAGAUCGAAUUGUACAUCGGGCAUGCUCGUGAAUCCAAACCAUAGUUGAUCAGAAGGAGGCGGCUUCAUGUGUACACGCAGUGUCCCUCUAAGAGAAGAAAUCCGUAUUGACAAAGAGAUUGGUACCUGCAAUUGAGAAACAGAUAAAAUCUAAGAUCCCACACUGAGGAAAAGUUACAAAAAAUCCAACAAAACAGAACAAAAAAUCAUCUUGUAGAUAUUUAAAAAAAAAAAAAAAAGAGAAGAGGAGAACCAACCUGGGAAACUUGCUCAGCAAUAUUUUUUAGAAUAGACUUCCACCUGGAUACACCAUUUGGAGAAGCUUUGGUUCCUUUUGAGCCAUUGGAUUCAUCUGAAAGCAACAAAAAGAGGGUAAGAACAAUUGUAAUCAUCAUCCUGAGCAAUACUUUUGAACAUGCAUUACGCUAGCAAGAACUCGGUAGGUGAAACGAGAGGUGACUGCAGUAAUCAAUAUUCAGUAAACAUUGAACUUGCUUGUUUUUACCAUUUUUCACUUCUCCUGCAUCAACAGGGAUGACUAAUUGCUUUUCAAAAUCUUCAACACCGUUUGACGAGACUUCUUCCCCAGCAGAACUUGGCUGUAGCCUUGUGUCGUUUAUGCCUUUUUGAAGAUCCACCUCCCGGAUAUUAACCCGUGUUUCAACGUCAAUCACCGGUUCACCAGAGUAUUCAAUAUCUACCUCGAACGCCCACACACCACUCAUCUCCAUUGGAAGAACCCGAGUACCAUGUAUAUGAGGUGGGAGAUUACCAAGGUCAACAUCGGAGCAGAUUAGUUCUCCUAUGUAACUCGGAGUCCUCAUGUUGGAUAACAUCCUCUGUUUAAAAACCACAAAGACGUAAGGAAAUCAAUUCAUCUCAAAUUUUUGAGUUCAUGAAAGCAUGCAGACCUGGAUUCGCGCUUGCAUUGAGUCCUUCACUCCUGUUUUCCGUAUGAGAUCGAAGAAAAGCCUGGAGAUUAGCAAGUUCCACGCCAAUGUUCCUUCAUCAAUGUCAAACUUCUCUUCAGAGUCUCCAUCCGAAACCCCGGAGAAAUGACUUGUAUGGCUCACGGAACGUGAAAAGACAGGCGCAUCAGCUUCAUCUCUGACAUCAUCUCCCACCCUCUUCCCUGGAACGCUGCUUCCAUUUUGUGAAUCUUGGUAAGAGCGCACAGAGGUUCUCCUCUCUUCACGAUUUGAUCGCUUUCUUGAAAACCUCCUCAAGAACAAACGAACUUUGGAGGAAGAGCCGUCCGUUCUGUUCCCUCUGUCAAUCGUCUCAAAACUAAACCCAAGAGACGGUUUCAUAAACGAAGGAUACGCAGCGUUGAGAGACGUGACGUAACUACGGAAGUCUUGUUGUAACUUGGUGGAGUACCAAAUAAACCUUUCCGGAUUCUCGCAAGAAGCAAGACGAAGAGCUUUACACCAUGAUUCCUUUUCACAAGAAGUCUCGAGAUAGAUGUAAAACACCUUGUUUCCUUUGUAUACGUCUGAGGAACUCUUGGUUUCGACUUUUAUAGGAAACCUUUUGGCCCUGACAAAAGAACAAUCAAGCUUCAAUAUAUUCCACCAAAGCUUCACAAUUCAAAUUGAUGUAUUGUAUGGAUAAGAGUUGGUGGUACCAUUUUCUUGUAGGGAGAUCAGAGCCUGAAACAGCCUCCACAGAGCAGCAUUUUAAUGAAACAGUAGUGAGAGUGCCGUCAGACUCUGACAAGAUGAGUUUGUGGUCUUUGAUCCGAGCGAAUUUGCGAGUUGGAUGAAUCUCCAAGAAAGCUCUCUUCCUCUUCUGCUCUGCUGGUAACUUCUCCUUCCACAUGUUCUUGAGACCUUCAUCCAACUCCAAAACCCAGAUCGUUCCCUGGAAAAUAUUAAAAACUUUCAUUACAGCAAAACAAGACCGAACAGAAACUGUCUGGUUCUAAUGAUCCAAAAACUCAAAAUUCACGGUCUCAUCCGAAACAGUUGACUUGAACUCAACAACUCGCAAGUAACGCAACAUGCAAACAUUCGGAGAUUAGAACCUAGAGUUUAGAGGAUUAAUCGAGGAAUUAAAGAUCGAUCACCUGUUUGUUGGAUUCUCGAGGAUUGCUGAUCUCCUUGGUAGAUUGAUCGGAACCGGGUUUUGAAUCAACCCGGUUAUCUCUCUUCCGGUUCAAUCGGUUCAGAAGAUACAUCAAACCCGCAGCUUCGGCCGCCAAGACGGCGACAAUUCCCAGGAAGAACCCCGAGAGGAACACGAAACACGUGAAGGAAAACAUAUCCUCCGGGGAAGCUUGAAGGUCUUCAAUGAGAUGAAGGUUACUUGUGAGGGAAUCAGGAGGAGGAGGAGAAGAUUCGUGGCGUCGGGGUUGUUCAUGUCAGUGUACAAUGCCAAAAGAUAGGAAGAGGAGAAGAUACUGUGGGAUUAGUCAUCUCUCUCUCUCUCUCUCUCUCUGGAAACGUAAUUCUCAACUUCCAACCAAUACUAAUUUGACGAAUCAGAAACAUAUUUAAUCUCUUAAGUUAAUUAAUAAUAACUUCUUCUUUUUUUGUCAUCAAGUUAAUUAAUAAUAACUAGUUGAUAUACUAUACUUAAUAUUUAAAAAGUCACGACCAAGUGUUUUUAGAAUUAAAAUUUCAUAAGAAGUAGAUAAAUAUAUUUUAAACUUCAGGUGCAAAAAAAAAAAACUGUUUCAUUGGUCAAAAUAUAUAAAAUAAAACAUGUUUUAUCAAGUAAGAAACUAUGAUUAUAUAGUAGGCUUGAGAGUUCUUAACUCAACCCGAAGUACCGACCUUAACCCGAACCGGAAAAACCGAAACCGAAUCUGAAUCUGAACUAUUUUACAAAAAUAUCCGAAUGGGACUUAUGAGCUUACUACUUUGGACUUUGGUUAUAACCCGAACCGAACCGAAAUCUGAAUUAGGAACCGAAUAUAUCCGAAAUUAGUUAAAUAUGUUAAUGUUUUUAUAUAUAUUAAGGUGAUUUAGAUAUUUUAGAUUACUCAAAAUAUUUUUGUAGUUUGUUUUAUUUGUUAUUUUAAAUACUUUUUAGUUAAUUUAGAUAAUUUAACUAAUUUUUAAUUAAAUUUGUAAAUAAUUUAUAUAUUUUGAAAUUUUUUUGGUCAAUUUUCGAGGUUUUUAAAAAUAUAUUUUUGUACGAUUUUAAACAUUGGUUAAAUCCGAUCCGAACCGAAUCCAGAAGGAACCGAACCGAAUCCGAUCCGAUAAUUAGUAAAAACCGAAUGGUACUUAUGAGCAUAACACCGAAAAUCCAAAAAUCCGAAUCACCUAGACCGAAACCGAAUGGACCACCGAACUCCCAGACCUAUUAUAUAGUAUCUUAUGGACUAAGAUGCUUGAGAUAGCUUUCAUUACAGAUUCUUGUGUACUAUCACAGAUUGUUAAAUGUUAUUAGUUGUCGUAAGCAUGUUUCACUCAUUAGACAGAAGUCAGAAGACACAAGUAACACAGCUCAUAAGGUUCAUUUCCAUAUACAUAUAACACCGGUUUCCAACCCGCAAACGCAGCUUUUGUGGUUGGUUGUUUGUGUUUUGAAACAAUUAUAGAAAAUGGUACAAAUCGUUUCAAAUCGCUCUGAACCUUUUAAAAUCAAAAGUUGGUUCCAGCUAUCGUUUGAGAUUGCAAACGGUUGUGUAAUGUUUUUUUUGUUUUAAGAAAAUAAAACUAAAAAAUAUUCAGUAAAAAUGUGAAUUCAAAUAAUAGAAAUUGUAAAAUGUAUAUGUAUUAUAUUUUAAAACUUUAAAAGAAAAUAUUUUCUAUAAUUUUAAAAAAUUUAAUAGUAUGAUUUUAUAGAUAUAAUUUUAUAUAUUAUGAUUUUUAAUAUUUUUAUAAUUAUUUAAAAUGUAUCAGUCGUACAAAUCUCUAAAAAAACGUUUAAAACUGCAACCACUUGUAUCUGCAAACUCUCGCAACCACAUGCGGUUACACCUGCCCGACCCUUUGUCUCUCACAAAACAAAUAAAAAAACCAUUGUUUAUCUCAUCAUUUGUAAACUCAAAAACAAAACCCAUGUUCUUUUUUUUCCAUGCUACAACACAAGGACGAGAAACCUCUACAUUAUGUACCUAAGAAAACAACAAAAAACAGAGCUAAAAACCAGAGCUCUGUCACUUGGACCUCUACAAGCUCUUGUUCACAGAGAAAAAGCUGUAGUCAUGGUGAUCAUGAACAUUAAGCUGUUUCAGCCAUGACUCCGCUGCCCUUCCAAGAUAAACAACCGCUCUUGAUCACCAGAUUCUUGUUUCCCCCACAAACCUCCUUGCAUUUUGUAUGUAACUAAACCAAAAGGAGCCAAAGGGAGUCUCUUGGUCACCACCGGUUCAUCAUCAAACCACAAUGUUUCUUCUUCCAUGCUUUUUUUAUUCUUAUCCUCUCCCUCUACCAAACUACCUAAUAAAUCAAACAGAGCUAGAUGUUUCAACAUUUUGUACCAAGAUAAUGUCUAUAUGCUAAGAAAUUUUAUUGCAAUCUAAGUAUAUUAUAACACCUGCAAGAUUAUUUUUUUUGGGGGCAAGAACAUUAAUAUUAUAUACCUUGUAAGGCUGAAGAUAGCGUAUGAUAACUCAAAAAACACGUUGAUAAGUCUUUAUCGGCCUUCUGAGAUGGAAUAUGGUAUAUCGGAUACCUAAAGCCACAACGAAAGUUCAAGACUUUGUCAUGAUCAAGGCCGAAAAACACUUGCAGGCAGAGAUCAAACAAGCAGAAAAUUUUCUAGACUCACCAAGCAAUGGCCAUCCAACUCGCUGGAGACAAAUCAACACUCCUUAGCGUCAAAAGUCUCGGAUACUUCUCAGCCAAUUCAGUAACCUAAAACCAACCAACAUAAGAGAGAAUUUUCUAAGUUGUUAGGUUCUUUAAGCACGAUAAAGAACAUAGGAUUACUACAAAUGAAAACCUUGGUGAUAAGAGGAACUCGCAAGUGCGGUUUAGUUGACUCAAAGUACUGAAACUCAAUGGAACCGAGCUUAUCUCGCAUUGAAGGAGUGUCACAAGCCGAGUCAUCCGAAACAGAAUCCCAUAUUUUGCUAGAACCACUACUCGUUGACCUUGAUAACUUCUCAAUCUCACUAUCAUCACUCCAGCAUUCACUCUCAAAAUCAACCACAUCACUUUGGUUCCUGCAACAAAACCAUAGAUUCACUUCUCAAGUUUUGUAACACAUAGAACACUAUUAUCCCCCACUAAAUUCACUAUAAUCAAUCUAACCUGGAAAAGGCUGGAGAUUUGCUAGUAUAGAGUUGAAUGGCUGAUAGAUAUGGAACAUAGUACUGCGUAACGGAUUCGCCAUUGUUCAACUCAACCUUUGAUCCAAGUCCAUACGCGCUUAGCUCAUCAAAACAGUCCCAAAGUUCACUGAGCCUGAAAUAUUCAGUCUCAUCUUUGCUAUGUUGAGUCCAUACACUAUUCAAGUCAUUCUCGCAGCUCUGCAAAUCACACCAACCAAAGAUCAAACUCGGAGACUAACUGUAGCUUACAAACAAUUUAAUCCCUCCACGUGUUUAGUGAUAAUGCUAACGUAUGCCAGUGUAUUUCAACAAUGGUAUUAAUGAAACCAUAUGCUAUUAACCACGCAUUAAAUAUCAAUAAUUGCUGAAUGAGACAGUCAUCUAAUGAUAGUAAAGAUGAAGAAGACACGUUUACAGGAUUUACCUCUACCUGUCUAGAAUAUUCAAACCAAUUUCAGUAUUGAAUAUCCAUUAUUUAAUUUAUUUUUUGUAUAUAGUAUUGUAUCUUUCUCAAUCACAUAUUGAUGUCGCGAGUUUCCACGUGGUGAAAUAAAACUUCACGAAAUGCCAUGAAAUCCUAUAAUUAUCUGUCAUUAUCUGUAAACUUCACCAAUUGAGUAAAGGAGAUUUGGUGUUCAAAAAUCUACUAAAAUGAUUAGUUGAAACCUGAGAAUAUGCUAUAUGGAUUCUCUAACAUUCUAGGAAGGUAAAAAUUAAAACAAAAGCAGUGUACCUUUGACUUAGAAGAAGAAGGAGGCUUUGGAGUGAUUCCUCUAAGAAACCUCUCUAGAUUUGAUCGGACUUUCGUCGGCGAUGAUGACCACCACCACAUUCUUGUCCUGGAAUUUUCUUAAAAAGCUAGAUAAUGAGGACAACCUAGAAAGAAGGAAAGAAACUACAGAAACAGUUUAAAUGGGUUUGUGUUUUGUUUUGUUUUUGGGUUUGUAAUAAGGAAAAAUGAAAAAUGAUCUCUUAAAACUUUAAAGAUGAAGGGGAAAUUUUAGAUGAAUUGUUUAGAGAUUUCUUGGGAGAAAAGAGGAAUAAAACUUUGCAGCAGAGUGGAGAUUUUGGAGUAUGAUUUGCUUCUAUUUAAUGGAAAGUGAAACAUGACCAAACACUUCCCUCUCCUCUUUCUCUCUCUUUCUCUCAUCCUAAUCUAUUUUUACUAUUUGUUAGGUAAUUAAUUUAGUCAUUGACUAAAAGGGACCUUUUUGACAACUAAAUCUCCUUUUUGCUUUAUCUUUUCUCUCUAUCUCCCUCUUAAGAUCUUAUCGUUAAUAAUAUUCUUUUAUUCUUUUACCUUUGUUAGGUAAUUUUCCGCUAUAUAUCUCUAAUAUUACAAAGUUUGUGUUUUAGCCCGUAAAGCUAUUUUAUUAACGGAAAUUAACUGGAAAGCAAAAUGGCCAUAGUUAUUUAUAUAUUUAUAGUCGACAGAAAAUCUAUAUAUUGAUAUGGUUUAAAUGUAAGGAUUUUUCUUUAGAAUUCUGUCUUUAAAUGUGUGAGCUACCAAGUAUGCAUGUCCAUUCAGUUAAUGUCAGAGAACAGUACUUUUACUGAAUCAGAAGGUCGAAGUUACAAUACUUUUAUGUAUGUGAAAUAUACUUAUAAUAUUUACAGAUGAACUUAAUCCACAACACUUCACAUGAUAAAAAUAUGUAUAAACGUAUGAUUGUAGUCAAUCUCUUACGUAAAAUAAUUUAGUAUUCCUGAAUAUCCAAUCCGCAUGAACUAAAAAUCGUCUAAAAGUUUUACCAAAGAAAAAUCUUCUAAAAUAAUUUUAAUUUUGUAGAAAAAGCAAUUUUUUCGUGAAAAGCAUCGCAAAAAUUUACAUCUCACAAGCCAAAAUAUCCACAAAGUAUAAUUAAUUACAUGAUGCCAAAAAUGAUGAACAAGCUCAGUUAUGAAGCUCCCAUAAAGAAUAGUCAAUACACUAAUCUCUGACCAUUGAGCUAAAAAGGACAAUAAACAUUUUAGUUACAUAUUUUAAUCUAGUGAGGAGUUAUGCGAAUGAUGCUAAGAGUUUUCAAGGUUCCUAAAACAAAUGUUGUAGUAUAAAUGAUUAUUGAACCAGUUCUGAGAGAUAUCAAAACACCGAGAAUGCAAGUACUCAUUUAAUCUAAGUGCAACUAAUGAUUUAGAUGGGUUUUAAACUACUGCUAAUACUAGAAAGCAAUUUCAGAAUUAUACUUUCUUGACUAAGGGAAAAGAGAACUCAUGGGCAUAGGGAUUAGACCUUGGAUGAUCAAGUAUCGAACUAAAAAUGGCAAAUGAUCAAUCAAACUAUCGAUCUUAAGCCUAGACACAAUUCUAAGCAAGCUAUAUGUCUAGAUGAAUGCUCAUUUGCUAACAUAUCUCAAACAUCAAAUGUCUUUGGUUGAAUAAUGUGAAAGCAAUCAUUACUAACAAGUCUAUUAAUUAUCUUAGCACCUUUAACAACAAAUGUCUUUGGUAAAGUAUACUAAAAGCCUAGGAGAGUUGUCUCAGGCAUUUCAUCAAACACAUUUUGGGUGGAAAAUGCGUAUUGAUCAACUUUUGAGUGGCCAACUCAGAAGAUGCAUUAUGAAUAUUCUACUAGCAUGGAACAAGAAUGAUCUACACUAAAACAUCCUAGAACUAACCUAAUCACUCUUGAUCUCCCUAACCCAUGAAUUCAGAAGGUGAUUACUCACUAAUCUCCAUGAUUCCUCUUAAACCCAUAUUGGAUUUCAGAUUAAUCAUGUAGAGAAAUAGANNNNNNNNNNNNNNNNNNNNNNNNNNNNNNNNNNNNNNNNNNNNNNNNNNACCCAAAUGUCUCCAGGAACUCCAUGUGGUACUCCAAUACCUAAUAGAGACAUAUGUAUGCAAAAUGCAACCUAGACAUGGCUAAAUCCUAAUCUAUAUGAUGAAAAUGCACAUGAAAUAAUGGAUAAAACAAUGUAAAUAUGCAAGAUAUCAACUCCCCCAAACUUAUUCUUUUACUUGUCCUCAAGUGAACUUUCUAGAACUCAUAGGGAGAGAGGUUUGAAGGUGGGAGCUCAUAGCCAAAAGAAACACACAAAGCACUCAAAUCAACAUCUAAAUUCAGCAUUAGUACACCCUCUCUUAUUAUAUUCUAGCUUCUCUAGGCCUAUCUCAACUAUUUUCAUCCCUACACUCAUCAUCAUGCAUUCACACAUGCAAAUCAGCCAACUCUAAGUUCAUUAAGCAUAGCAUCAAGUGAAUUCUUGCAAAUGGUCAAUUGGUCCAAAUCAUUUGGGUAAGGAGAUGCUUUUUAAUCAAGUGAGUCAAGGGGUUCAAGAUAUAUGAUAUUUAAGGUGGUAUACUCUCAGGACAAGUAGCCUUGACAUUGCACAUAAUAUAUCUAAGAAAGGGAUCAACUCAUGCAUACAAUGCUCAAUCCCCAUUGUUCUACCCUUUUCCCAAACAUAUAUGAUACACAUUCAUUUCCUCAUUCCAAACUCAGCUCACAUCUCUCACCCAAGGACUCUAAAAGCAUUUCCCAACAUAAAACUCUCUCUCUUUUUUUUUUUACAAGAGAUUUCUUACACUUUUUGAACACCUCUUAGCUCAUACUAAUUUUGCUAGCCCCCUUUUCAAAAUGCUUUUUUUAUAUAUAUAUAUAUUUUUUUUUUUCGGGCCAAGACUUUUCACAAAUUGAGCUAGAAGUUUCUCUACUUAUUCCAUAAAGACUAGUCAAUCAAACACAAGAGUUCACUCUUUUCCUUCAACUUUCUCUUAUUCCCAAAUCAAACUUUACAACACUCACCCCCCAUCCUAUGGCUAGACAAUAAUGUGUCUAAUCUAGCAAGAAUGAAGAUCAAGCAUUGUCGUUCCCGAUACUUUCAACAUUAUGUGCAUGUAAGACUUUCUGAAAAAUGCCUCACUCAUCAAUCAAUGAAGGCUUAAAAGGAGGAAUUGACAUUGCACAUAAUAUAUCUAAGAAAGGGAUCAACUCAUGCAUACAAUGCUCAAUCCCCAUUGUUCUACCCUUUUCCCAAACAUAUAUGAUACACAUUCAUUUCCUCAUUCCAAACUCAGCUCACAUCUCUCACCCAAGGACUCUAAAAGCAUUUCCCAACAUAAAACUCUCUCUCUUUUUUUUUUUACAAGAGAUUUCUUACACUUUUUGAACACCUCUUAGCUCAUACUAAUUUUGCUAGCCCCCUUUUCAAAAUGCUUUUUUUAUAUAUAUAUAUAUUUUUUUUUUUCGGGCCAAGACUUUUCACAAAUUGAGCUAGAAGUUUCUCUACUUAUUCCAUAAAGACUAGUCAAUCAAACACAAGAGUUCACUCUUUUCCUUCAACUUUCUCUUAUUCCCAAAUCAAACUUUACAACACUCACCCCCCAUCCUAUGGCUAGACAAUAAUGUGUCUAAUCUAGCAAGAAUGAAGAUCAAGCAUUGUCGUUCCCGAUACUUUCAACAUUAUGUGCAUGUAAGACUUUCUGAAAAAUGCCUCACUCAUCAAUCAAUGAAGGCUUAAAAGGAGGAAAGGGCUUUGGGAAUGGUGUACCACUCGAGUUUGUCAAAAAGAUUGGCAUAAAGGAUGUGACAACUCAAGUGUGUAUAUCCAUUACUCAGUACACAAGGGACCAUAAGCAAGAAGCAUUAAGUUCGUUCAGUUCAAACAAGGUUGUAGUUGGCUUCAAAGGUUGAGUUUCAGCAAUCAACAAGUUUCAGGAAGAGUUUUCAAGGCUCGAAGCAUACAAGUCUUUUUGAGAGGUGCAUAAGCUACUCAGGUGCAAAGUAGUGUUCUUUACAAGGCAUUUAAAAUCAUAAAUCAUCAAAGCAAACGUGAUCAAAUACUUGGUACCUCCCCCAAACUUAAAUGACACAGUCUCUGUGUUGUCAAGGAGAGAGAGAUACCCAAAAAGAGAAAACUAAUAUGCAAAAACGAAAUGGUAUAUACAAGGGAAAGUAGUGGGUUACCUUUUAUGGGGAAUGAGUAGAGGGAGAUGCUCCCUCCUCGUCGUCCUCAGGUGGUAACUCUUCAAGGUGCUCAUCAGCAGGAGUGCUCAUCUCUUCAAUGUAGAAGGCUUGCCCGAACACAGUUGGUUUCUUCAUUUUCCCCUUGAUGUCAAAGUGGAGAACAUGCCCUUUACCCAAGUGGAGAUCAAUUGUGCCCUCUUUCACAUUAACAAUUGCUCCUGCUGUAGCUAAGAAUGGUCUUACAAGAAUCAAUGGGUCUUGAGCCUCCUCAUCCAUCUCAAGCACCACAAAAUCUGUAGGUAUCUCAUACCUUCCAAUCUUCACAGGGAAGUCCUCUAAGAUGCCCACAAGGUACUUCACUGAACGAUCAGCUAACACCAGAGAGAGUCUACACUUCUUGUACUGAUGAAUCCAAGCUUUUUUGCAACAGACAAAAGCAUCACGCUGACACUAGCUCCCAAAUCGCAGAGACAUUUCUCAAAUACCAUAGGUCCAAGAGCACAAGGUAGUGUGAAGCAUCCUGGAUCCUCUAACUUCUCUGGAACAUCAAGCCUCUGGAUGAUGGCACUGCACUCAUGGGUAAGAAUCAUCAUGCCUUCCAUCUCCUUCUUCUUUGCAGCUACAACAUCUUUUAGGAACUUGUUGUACUGAGGAAUCAACAUGAAAGCAUCGAUGAUGGGCAUUGCAACCUGAGCUUCACUCAUUUGCUUCUCAAGCAGAGCUUUGUACUUCUCUAGCAGCUGCCUCUUGAAUCUACCAGGGAAUGGCAGUUUGGGUUCAUAGGGAGGAGGAACAAAAGAAUUCUCAGUUGCUGGAGCAACAACUUCACCAUCUUUCACUGUUUUCUUUUCUUCCCCAACCUUUCAUUUACCUUUAGCUUCCAUAAUCUUCUCCAAAAUCUCAUCAUUGGUCUUCUCAUCAACAAUUACCACAUCAUCAUCUCAGUUGAUGGUCACCUCCUCACCUAGUUUCUCAGCAUCCCUGGUGAGGGUUGUAGGAGGUAACUACUUACCACUCC
RNAcentral lists this long non-coding RNA (93015 nucleotides) under Brassica napus (rape). Its description in RNAcentral is "long non-coding RNA (BNAP_LNC017138)". The record is from RNAcentral. Lineage: Eukaryota; Viridiplantae; Streptophyta; Magnoliopsida; Brassicales; Brassicaceae.